This 116277-nucleotide long non-coding RNA is filed under the name Coffea arabica (coffee). Its description in RNAcentral is "long non-coding RNA (CARA_LNC000649)". Lineage: Eukaryota; Viridiplantae; Streptophyta; Magnoliopsida; Gentianales; Rubiaceae. The record is from RNAcentral.
GUAGGCUUCCACAGCCUUGAACAUGGCUGAGGACGUUUCUUUUGCUGCCUUAAUUUCCUGAUUUGCUCCCUCAAUAUGUUCGUUGGUAUUGCGCUUGAGGUGGCAUGUCCUGGUGGUCUUACAGAUUGACCCUCCAUCAGGUGAAGCUUCGAUUUUAAUCACGUUAGCUACUUUUUCAAUCUUAUCACUGAAGGCAUCACUUUCAAGAAUAGUAUGGCUGAAGGUGAAGUUGUCUUUGUCAAUUCCAUCGACUCUUUGUUUUAAACCCUUAUAAGGACUACCUAAACAUUCAACAAAGUUCAAAAAAAAUAUAUAUAUAUAUAUAUAUAUAUAAUUAUAAGAAUUUAUGGACAAAAAAUAAUGAAAUGAUGAUUAAGUGAAUAUUUAGAACUAACCUUCACCAAAAGUGAUCAACUUGAUGGAUCCAACUCCUCCAUCUCCUUCAACGAUUUCGACGCUUUUAAUGGCCUGUGGCAGCAUCUUGGUAAUGAGGUGGUCAUCAAGGAAGAAGGCCUUGAACAACCUUGCAGGAGGGAUUGAGCAGGGGACCUCAAAAUCACAAGUGAGAGGGGCCAUGAUGCCUUGGUGUUUGGGAAUAAACAAAAGUUCUCUUCAGGAACAAAGGGUUUGAAGAAAUGUGUAGUUCUUGAAGAGGAUCUGGGGUGCUAAGCAAUGCGACGGGAGAUGGUAUUUAUAGAAUGAAAUUGUAGUCAGGGGCGGAGGGAAGGGGGGGCCCGGGGGGCAGCCGUCCCCCCUCCAAUUGUUAAAAAAAAAAUUUCUAAGUAAAAAAGUUUUUAUUAUUAUGUUUUGCUCCCUCAAAAAUUGAUCAAAAAAUUCACUUUGCCCCCCCCAAGGGCCCAAACAAAAUGUUUGAAAGUUAUUUGGACUUGAUCCAAAUAAUAGAGGCUCACCCCCCUCCCCCAAAAUUGGCUGCCCCCCUCCAAUUGUUAAAAAAAAUUUCUAAAUAAAAAAAUUUUUAUUAUUAUGUUUUGCCCCCCAAAAAUUGAUCAAAAAAUUCAAUUUGUCCCCUAAGGAUCCAAACAAAAUGUUUGAAAGUUAUUUGGACUUGAUCCAAAUAACAGAGACUCACCCCCCCUUCCCCCGCCCCCCAAAAUUAGUUCCUAACUCCGCCACUGAUUGUAGAUCAUUAUUGUUAGCAUUAAUGCAUGUGAUCCGAGUUUUGCCCUCAUAUAGAUAUACGGUAGGUAAAUGACUAGAGGCAUGCGGAUUUAAUUAUGCCUCUAUCUUCCGCAUUUUACUCCAAAACAAGUAGAGCGCAAUCGCUAGUGCAGGCUGCUAUUUAGAAAAAAUAACGUUAACAAGAUCACUUUUUCCACAUAAAUAAACAAAUGUUCAUUCCAAUCAUGUGUGUUCACACUAAUAAAUAACCAUAAUCAUAUUGCAAAUGACUGAAUGAGACUGGUAGAGAACAACAUUUUGCUAUCGCAAAAGGUUCAUUCAGACUGGAAUGAGCUCAGGCAGCAUUCAACUCUCACAUUUCACAUCUAACGUGCUUAAAAUACAAGCAGUAUUGUCAUCAAUAAGCUGGCUUCAACUCUUUUUUUUCCUUCUGACAUUUUCUUACUGAAGUAAGAACUUACGUAAAUAAACCUAAUCCCCACAGUAACUCCAAAAGCCGGUAACUUUUGGAGUCCUGUGAGGGACUUAUCUACCCAAACCCCAACCCCCCCAAUACCGAUGUGGGAUAGAAAACCCCACAGGGUGCCCCGCUGCUAAGAGAUAAAGACCCCCCAAGCCCCUGAGAAUGAGUUUUCUUUCUGAUAUUUUCUUACUGAAGUAAGAACUUACGUAAAUAAACCUAAUCCCCACAGUAACUCCAAAAGCGGGUAACUUUUGGAGUCCUGUGAGGGACUUAUCUACCCAAACCCAACCCCCCCAAUACCGACGUGGGAUAGAAAACCCCACAGAGCUGGCUUCAACUCAGUAUUGUCAUUUUUACAUUAUUUUGAAGCCUGGAGCCCCACAAUUGCAUCAGCAGAGUCUUACCCAGCUCCACCACUUGCAGAUUCCCAUCUAUAAAAUAUGGUGUAUUAUUGCACUAAUUGGCUUCCUCGUAAGUUCAGGGCAUCUUGUGAUUAAUUUAUUGAUCUCCUUCAAUUUGGUUUUUAGCUCUAUUGCCCAAAAGGACAUUUUCAAGGAUGAUUCUUGAAAGCUCAAGGAUCUUGUGAUUAAUUUACUGAUCUCCUUCGUUUUGCUUUCUAGCUCUUCUAUCCUAAAGGACACCUUCAAGGAUGAUGCCAGCUUUUGUACCGACCAUUGACUUUUAUUGAUCAAUAUGGUGUACCUUGUUAAUUACAAAGAUUCAUCUAUAUAUCUAUAUCUAUAUCUAAAGGCAUCUUGUGAUUAAUUUACUGAUCUCCUUCGUUUUGCUUUCUAGCUCUUCUAUCCUAAAGGACACCUUCAAGGAUGAUGCCAGCUUUUGUACCGACCAUUGACUUUUAUUGAUCAAUAUGGUGUACCUUGUUAAUUACAAAGAUUCAUCUAUAUAUCUAUAUCUAUAUCUAAAGGCAUCUUGUGAUUAAUUUACUGAUCUCCUUCGUUUUGCUUUCUAGCUCUUCUAUCCUAAAGGACACCUUCAAGGAUGAUGCCAGCUUUUCUACCGACCAUUGACUUUUAUUGAUCAAUAUGGUGUACCUUGUUAAUUACAAAGAUUCAUCUAUAUAUCUAUAUCUAUAUCUAAGCUAAAAGAGCGAGUUCGUUUUGAUGGCUGAGCGUUUGAGUUUCUCUUUUCAAGAUCGCCCUUCUUACAAAAUAAUUAGGACUGCAUCAUGUCCCUAAAUUUGAAUGCACUUUCUAAUAAGUAAUAUCAUUGAGGGUAUUUAUGUAUUGUCAUAAUCAAGGUCUCAUAUUCAAAAAAGAAUUUAUGUAUAAUAGUAUACAUAAUUUCCCGCAAAGAAGAAAGAAGGAAAAUAGAACACAAAAUUAUGAUUUGGCUUUGUCGACCGUAUCUUACUUUUUCUUUAUAUUACAGUAAACUAAAUGACUAAUUAGAUUGGAUGCGACGAUUCUAAUUGGUAAAAAAGAGCCGCCUUUCGUCCUAUCUAGUAAUAGUAAGGGCAAUUGUGGUUAACUACAUUGUUAUGGAUGAAAAAAAACGAGGGAAAAUUAAAAAAGAAAACAAAAGAAAGAAAGAACUGAGAUGAGAGAUUAAAUUGGUGAUCACGAGAUGCUAGCACUAACUUGGUUGCUGUGGUGCCAUAUUUAUAAGAGGUUGUUGAUAAAUUUUAUUCAACUCCGUACGAUUACAUGUGAUCUUGUUUUGUAAUUUGAACUUAAUCAAGUUAUUAGUAGUUAAUUGGAACCCCAAUUGUCAUGUCAGUCCAGGCUACCUAGCUCAAUAAAAACUUUUGAAGUUUAUUUAAUUACCGGUUUAAAACACUUGGGCCAAGUCAUUAGUAGCUCAUGGAUCCUAAGUUUAUUUUCAAUUUUCUUCUCGUUAUGCUGAUUUAUGCUUCUAUCUUCCACAAUGUUCACACUUAUAUGAGCUGUUAUUAACAAAAUGGCAAAAACAAGUUUUGGAGUUGUGAUGCCUUUCACUUGACCAUUAUUUCAACAUCAGAAAGUUAAUUUAUUGGGUUUUAAUUUCUGAUGUUCUCGAUGAUUUUCCUCUUUAAUUUGUUGUUCUCCUUUUCUUUUGGAAUGCCAUGGUUGACGAUCCCUUGAAUCUAUGUCUAAUUUCUCUCAAGGCGUUUUAUUUUUAUUUUUCAAUUUUGUGGUUGCCUCGUUGGUUUUGCAGAUAUCGCCCUAGACUAGAUACCAAAUAUGCCUCUUGUGAAAAUAUCUAUCAUGUGUACCUAUUAAAAGCACCGGUGUGAUUCGGUGUUUUAAUGAUUUAGUUUUGGCUUUCCAAUAACACCCUUGUAUACUUAAAUAAUGAAACAUACCUUAAUUUCAAACACGAAUUGGGUGAGGGAUAUUUAUGGAUAUUAUUAGUGUUGAUGUAAAAGCUGUCUUUUAAAAUUUAGUAUUCUAAACGGAAGGAAUUCCAAACAAAGUUAAACAAAAAAAAAAAAAAAGGGACAUCAUAUUGUAAAACAAAGUUAAAUCCCAAAAAAGGGGAACCAUGUUGUAAAAGGAAAUUGAAGAAGUAUUUCUACUUUAUUAAUUUUUGUAAAAAUUAAUUUUUGUUUUCCAACAUUAAUCCUCCCAUAACAUAUUAAGGCUAGUUUCAAAUUUGAAUGACUUGCGUAAUAUCAUCCUUAAGUUUUUAUUUUAGAAAGAGAACGAUAUUACAUUUUUCUUACUAAAUAUAGUUAGAUUUGGAAUGAAAUUACUUAAUUAAACAUAGUUUCUACCAAAUAACGUAAUGCUACUUAAUCUUAUUCUACUAGAUUCUGGAUAUAACAUAAGGGAUAACAAAUCCUAAUUUGAUUUUGACUAGCAAAAGAAAACAAAAUUUUUGACAGUAGCAGAAGCCGGAAAAAACCUACCACAUAUUGCAUUGAAUAAUGCUUAUAUGUCAACUGAAAGUAAAUACAUCAAAUAAAACAUAGGAAUUUCUAAAAAGAAACCAUGAAUCUAAUAUUUGGAAGUUAUUAACCGAUAAAAAGUAAUAAUAAAACCUGGCCAGGAUGAGAGGAAGACUCUAACUAAGAAAUUGAUUUGCUAGGAUGAGUGUAAGACUCUUAACUAUUUCGUAGAUGUUUGUCAUCGAUUAGUUUAAGAUUCUAGCUUAUAAGAUGCUCUGAUCACAUUCGACCAAAUCAAUUAUCGUUUGUUUGUGUAGUACUUUCUUGCAAGCAUACAAGCUAUUGGACCCUAAGCUUUGCUCUUUUCACAAGUAUUUGUGACUAACCAACAUAUACCAAACCUUCUUCUGGUCAUUAGUCACGUAGCUGUUAGACUGCAAGUUCAAUUUGAAUUACCUUGUAUUAUAUAUAUGAUAGUACAGAGUGAAAAGCAUUGGUGAGAUAAUUAUUGCUCACCCAAUUGUUUCCUUUUUUUAGUGGUCAACAUGAAGUCUUUUGUGAGAUUUGCAAAAAUGUUCACCUCAACUCUAUCACUAUUAUUGUCGACAAUGUGAUCAGACUUUUCAUCCUUAUUCCACUUUUAACAUGUUUCUCUUUGUGUUAAUUUUUAGUUAUUGUUUCUUUCAAAUUGGUAUUGAUUUACGAAGGUAUUGUGGAUCAAAUGAUGAAAAUAAGUUGUAUAAUGGAAUUGCAUUUGAUGAUAAACAAAUUUAAGUCGUUAAAAGGAAAAAAGAAAGAGUUUGUAAAUCUAAUGAGCUGAAGCCUGUCAAUGCCUAGAAUACCGACUGACUGGAAGCCAAAUCUUGUAGUAAUCACCCUUUAGUGGAGAUUCUUGGUGGAAUGAAAGAAGUAAAGCAAAGUAAGUACUUAACUGUGCAUUUUGAGUGAUUUAAAUGUGUUUUAUCAUUUAGUUAUGAUGUAUUUUAUUCAUUUUUAUAACUAAUUAACUAGGUUUCUAGUGAAUUAUGCAUUUUGUGGUUCCUUUUUUUUUUUCUGGGAAUGAUAGAUGAAUUUUAUAGCAAACCAAACUUUACAAUAUUUGAGCUACGGCUCAACCACUUAUACAAAGUGUACUAUGACACUAAGAAGAGACAAAAAUUCUCUCUUCAUCCAAAACUAUGCUUAGAGCAUAACGACUAAUGCUUUGACAUAGAGACAUAUUACUAUUUUUUCCUACUUCAAAAAAGCACAUUUGAAACAGAUUAGCUAGAGCAAGUAUAUCUUCCACUAACGUGACUGUAUUCAGAUUGUCUCCUUUCCCACUUUUCAGCAUGGCAAUAAGAUGUUGAUUGGCAUUUAUGACUUUAAUCCUGUUCCAACCAAGCUGCCUUACUUUGAUGAGUGCUAGUCGCAUUGCUGCAGCUUCAUCUUGGAUUUUCAGUAGCGAUGUUCUGUCCACUAGCACCCAGUCAGCUAUGAUUCUUGUUCCAUUCAGCUUGGCCACAACACCAAUUCCCAUCUUGUGUCCCUCGGUUGCUUUCUGUGUUGCAAUGUGAAGUUCCAUCAAGUCCCUUACCUCCAUUCCUUCCUCCCUUUGCCUUGCAUCUGCUGCAUCUAUUUCUGAUGUACUCCUAGCUUCUUUUCCUGUACCAGCUUCCUCAAACUCCAUCCACUCAUUACUUGCCUUUUGCACUACUUUAAUUCCAUCCUUCUCUUUCCCUUCAAAUUCCAGCUCAUUCCUAUCCUUCCAUAGCUGCCAAAGUAUGUUAGCAGUCAAAGCUAUAUGCUGUUUGCCUUCCUUCCUACUCCUAGCUUGAAUUAAAGCUGUCCACCACUGCUUAAAACAACCUGUUUGAGUCUGGAUGCUGUCCCAUUGAACUGGAGCAAGCUUCCAUACCUUCUGAGCCUGUGCACAAUGAAACAGAAUGUGUUCCACCAUUUCUAUCUUGUCUCCACAUCUUGAGCAGCAUGGUGAGCCUUGUUUCGUUCUCCUGAAUAUUGUUUCCCUUGCUGUUAGUGUGUUAGUAAUACACCUCCAAAUGAAUAGCUUAAUCUUAUGCUUGAUAUAAAAUAUUCAGAGUAUAAAAACUUUAUAAAAUAAUAUUCAGAGUAAUACAUCUCCAAACUUUAUAAAAUAUUCUCUUAUGCAUUUUGUGGUUCAAAGUAUAAAAAAAUGAGUUUCUAUGUGUUCAAAUGAUGAAAACUUUAUGUUUUUGUAGAUUUUAAUGAUUCAAUAAUCAAAUGUAAUGAAUGGAGAAGAUAUUUAGAUGAUUCUUUAUGAAGUGAUUUAAAGAGAAUAUGAAAUGCAAAAUGUUCAAAAGAUAAAAUGCAAUCAAGUAUAAAAGAAGAAAUAUUUGACAGCUUUGACACUUUUUGUAUUUUGGCUAUAUCUUGAGUUAGAAACAUCGGAUUGAAAUGAUUCUUGAGCCAUUUUGAAUAUAACACAUAGCCCUAUAUUUAUUAUGAGACAUUGAAAUCCAUUUCUUGAGUUUUUCUAGUCAAAAAUCGAAAUAUAGUCGGCCAUUUUUUGUUGUCGAAAGGUGAAACAGGGGAUUGACUAGUCAUGGGUAUUUUGGUCAUUUCUCAGUCUACAGAGCUCAAAAUUACAUGAUUCUUAAUGCAUUGAAAAGCUAACUCAAAGAGCUGCAAUUAUCAUUUUUGUACAAGAGCUAGUUUAGCCUUCAUUAUUGAGAAAAUACCAAUUAAAUUUGGCACAAAAAUAAAGCAAUGUUGAAGACCGAUUAGAAAAGUGCAAACCUGCAGGGGAGGCAAUACGUGAGUACAAUAUGCGGGCUCAGCCCACAUUUUGAUGGUGUGUAUUCACGUUUUGGUUGCUUUAUAGCUGGAACUAAUUGUACUUCAACUUGCAGCUUUUUUCUACUACUUUUGGACCAAUUUUCUGAACAAAUUUCGGUUGAAAAGUGCAAGAAGCAUCUUGAAAAUUUGGAGAAACAAAUCUUGGGAAUCUCCAGAGCCAAUUAGCACAACUUGAAACAUGAUUGCUUUAAGUUUUAAUUCUCUAUAAAUAGGGCCUGGCUUGUUUAAUAACUUUGGAAGGCUAGAAACACUACCAAAAUGUAGUUUUCACUAGUUUUUCUUAGUUCAUUAGUAUAGUAUAAUUAGUGUAGUUUAUUCUUCUUGUGUUUGUAGCUAGAUUUGGAUGAAAAAUUAAGAAGCAAGAUGGAGAGUUUGGAACUCAUGUGAUGAGAAUGACUUCUUUCCUAUGACUUUGACUUUUGUAUUUGAGUUCAUGUUUAGCUAUAAUACAAGUAUGUUCUUUUCUUUCAUUCUCUUCAUAUUUUGCUAAAAUUUAUGCUUAGAGUUAUGGAUGAAUUUUCUAUAUUUUGUUUGUGAUAUUUACUUGGUUAUUUGAUGAUAUUAUUUUGAAUAAGUUAGUUAUCACUUUAGCUUUUUUAAUCAUGAUUUAUCAGCCAUUAAUUGUGAUCAUUUUAAGGUGUUAAGUUUGCAAUGAGAAUUGGAAUUUGACACUAGUUCAAAGAAGUGUUAAACGUAGGGAGUACACUCAUAAGAGUAGAGGUACACUUUUGUGGUUUUCAUAGUUUAUUCCAUAUAAUUUCAUAGAAAAAUAAGUUUGUAGUUAAUUUCAUAACCAUGAGAGUAGGUAUGGUUUAACCAAAAGUAUAGUUGAUUCACUAUGAAAGUAGGUUUCACAAAAAUUAUGAAAUUACACUAUAACUAACCAAGUUAAUAACAUUUAAUUAACCGAUAAUUUCACUUGCAAGAGUAGUAAGAAAUUUCAUAACCUUAAGAGUUUUCUAUUGUUAUUUUUAUAACUCUUAUUUCAUGUGUGUAGUGUAGAUUUAAUCUCUUGAAUUUGUGGUAGUCUAAAUAAUAAAGGAAUUCAAAACCAUCGGUAAUUGACAAUCUUCUAUGUAAGAUCGACACUUAAGAUCCCUAUACUCAAUAAACGAUCUGUAUACUUGUAGUAAAUAGGAUAUUUAGAUUUUAUUAAAAUUUGGUGCAUGGUAGAAUCUCAUCAGAUUGCCAAUGGUAAUUGGUAGGUCCAAAAAGCAGGUCUUUAGCUACAUUAAGGAAAAGGUGAUAGAUAAACUGAAAGGGUGGAAAGAAAGGUAGUUAAAUCAAGCAGGCAAAUAGGUGCUUUUAAAGUCAAUUAUCAUAGCUAUGCUAACGUAUGCAAUGGCAUGCUGAAAAUUGCCUAAAGGAUUAUGUGAGGAGAUAAGUAAAGAGAUGGCAAAGUUCUGGUGGGGGUAAAAGGAGAAGGAGAAGAGAAUUCAUUGGAUGACUUGGAAAAGGAUGAUAGAAAUUAAAGGUAAAGGGGGACUAGGCUGGAGAUAUCUUCAGGAAUUCAAUAGUUCAAUGUUGGCAAAACAGUUAUGGAGUACUAACUCAACGUAAUUUGAUUAUGAGCAAGGUGUUGAAGGGAAAGUACUUUAAGGGACAAUCAAUUUCAGAGAUGAAGAUUAGAGCUAGUGACUCAUGGAUGUGGAGAAGUAUUAUAAGUGCGAGAGAUUUGCUUGAAAGGGGCGCUAGAAAAAGGGUGGGAGAUGGACGUACUAUCAAUAUUUGGAGGGAUAGAUGGAUAAUGGAUAGAGAAAAAAGGAAGGUAUUUACUUCAAAGCCACCAAAUUGUCAACUGUAGAAGGUGUAUGAAUUAAUACAAAAUGGAAAGUGGAAUGUGGAUAAGAUAAAAGCAGUGUUUAGUGAAGAAGAUUGCAAGCGUAUCACUAGUAUCCCACUCAGCAUCUGCAAUGGAAAAGACAAACUAGUGUGGCCAUACUCAAUUACAAGAGUGUCUACUGUUAAAACUGGGUAUAUGGUUGCAAAGAAGAUCCAAAGGAAAAAAAUGGAAAGGAUACAGCAAGAAGCGAGCAGUUGUAGAAAUGAGCAAAACACUAAAGUCUGGAAGUCUUUAUGGAGUCUAAAUAUGAAGCAGAAGCUCAAACAUUUCAUAUGGAAAUGUUUACAUAGAAUAAUCCCAGUGAACGAGGUGCUAAAGAGUAGAAUAGGAAAAGAAGAUGAUAAGUGCAUAUGUUAUAGAGAAGGUAAAGAGACAAUUGAACAUAUGUUUUUCUUUUGCAGAGAUGCUGAGAUGAUAUGGAAAAUGGCUCCAAUUAAAUGGGAUGAAAUCCAUGAGUUUGGAAAUAAGUUUUGGUUGUGGUGGAAUAGCAUCCUGGAAGCCAAGGAUAGAGUUGAAGGAAAGAAUCAUAUUAUACUAACAGUAAAUAUCCUGUGGCAGAUUUGGAAGUUAAGAAAUCUGAUUCACCCUGGUUCCGAAGAGUUUGUUUAAUCUGAUAUACCAGAAUUGACUAGCUGACAAAAAAUUAUUAACUCGUAGAUAGUGGCAAGUAGGGUCGAAUCCACAUGGACUGGGGAUAAUUCGUUUCUUCUAAAGUUCAGAAUAAGGGAGAUAUUUAGAAAAUAUAAAAUAACUAAUUAACCAACUAAUAGAAAUAAAUAGAAAUUAAUUAAUAACCAAUACGACUCUAGUCAAAUGUGCAACUUUUCAGAUACUGUCCAUUCAACUGAUCAUCGAUGCAAAGAUAAUUCAAUUACUCAUUAAUCGAUUGGAUAUAGUUGUCAUACACGCGAUAAACAACCAAUCUUUCCUUACUUUUUGAUAGUCAAGGUACGACCAUUAACUAUUUUCCUAACCAAGAAAUAACUUUAGAUACGACCAUAGAUUUUAAUUUCUCGAUUACAAUAAGAAUUAGAAAAACCCAACCCUAACCAAUAAAUACGCUACGAGGGUUUGUUUAAAUUAGAUCAUACGUUUUCCUAAUAUGAAACCAAUCACACUAGUCGUCACUAAUAUUAAUCAAUUGAACAAUUACGGAUUCAAUCACUUAAUCUGACAGUAGAUUAUUAGGUUAAUUCGAAUAUCUGGCACUUGACAUUCAAAUAAUAUAACAAUCGUAAGAAGUUAAAUCAGAAAACAUAUAAUACCAAUGAAUAAAAGAAAUAAGUAAAAUAAUUCGAUCUCACAAAUGUUUGGAACCGAGUCUUCAAGUUAACCUUUGACUAGAAAAGAAGAUUUAGCUACGCAUCCUCAAGGGAAAUCUGCAGGACUCCAUUGAUAACAAUUGCAUAUGAUUUUUCCUCUAAAACUAACGAAAAGGCCAAGAGAAGAGCCUCCAAGAAAAUGACGGCCGUGUGUUGUACUUCAAAAAAGUUCCUACCGAAUUUGUUGCUGGCCAACUCCUUAUCAUGCGAGAAUCUGGCUUUUUAUUCCUUGUUUCCUACUUAAGCUCAACUACUAAUAAUAAGAUAUGUUUCCCAAAAUAUAAAAAGGAAACUACUAAAAAUAAUAUUACAAGUUUUCUAAUCCAAUACUAAGACUAAUAAUGAAAAUUAAAAUCCUCAAAAUCUUCCUCCAAUACUGCCUAGAAUUUGAUUUGGACUUGGAAACCGAUUUCGAGUGUGCCACCAUCAAAUUGAUUGGAAAAUUACCCUUUUUUGUCAUAUUUUGCUCAUUUUCCUACAAUUAACACCAUUAACUAAAUAUAAGUAGAAACUGACAGUUAAAAUAAUAUUUGGCUAAAAUCAAGGGAAGAAUAAUUAUAAAUUUAGCAACAAAUUGUGACCUAUCAAUUUCCCCCACACCUAAACCAUACUUGUCCUUGAGUAUGAGAACAACAAAUCAAGCAAUCAAAUUCAAACAAUGAUUAUUACUCAAAUCUUCUAUUGCCAAGAUACAAUUAAAACGCAUGUCAAGCAUUAGUGAUUAAGUUUCAAGAAAUAUCUCUCCGGUUAUCUUUCAAAAUCAAAAAAAUUUUCAAUUUUCGACUAACUAAUCUAAGAAUAUAAAAUAUUCAACUAACAUUCGUCAGCAACCGAUUCAACUAUUAAGCAAAAUCUCAAUAUUAAACUCAUGGAUCAGUAGGCUAACAAUUCAUUCAAACACUUCAACAUUUUUCACUAUUAGCUCAAAAUUUUUUUAAAUAUCCCUAAACUUGAGCUUUCAUUUUUUUUUCUUCUCUCUUUUUUUUUUUUUGUAGGGGAAAGAUCUUAGUCCUUAGCCAUUCAAGUCUUUUGACGCAAACUCCUAUUAAAUGAAGGAGUCCGAUUACUCAACUUUUAUCACUAAAGGACCACAUACUCAUAGUUUUCGUCACUUUUUGACACAAAAGUUGACACUUGUGGUGAAGACUCUCGGUUACUAGGCAACGAUAUCUAGCGGAGUAUAGUUAAACAUGAUUCAAAUAAGCACCAAAAAUAAAAUUAAAAACCACACAAACCCGUUUCAUUUCUUAAAUAUGGAGAACUAAGAUUAAUAGUUGAACCAAUUUACAUGAAAAAUGCUAGAAAAGUAUUUACAAUCCUUAGAAAAGUUAAUCAAAAAUUGUAAAAAGUCACAAAAUCUCAAAUAUUUACCAAAGAGAUACCCUUAAAUUUAACCAUAUCAUAAUUAACACCUUUAGAGUAUAAAAUCGUAACAAUAGAAAAUUUUGAAACAUCUAAUCAUCGUUUAUCAUGAACAACCACAAAAAUGCAUAAGACAUGGUAAAAUUUGGAUAAAAUUUGACAAAUUCAAACAAAAAAUUCCAACAAAAAUGCCUACACUUGCACUUUUUCAAUAAACUACCAAUAUACUACUCCCCCCAUACCUAAAUCUUACUUUGUCUCUAAUGUAAGAAAUGAAAGAAAUAGAAUACGAAGCAAAAAGGAUAAUGAAACUUCUCUGGUAAUUGAGUAGGGUUGUGGACAGUUAUGAUGGAAGGGGCAUUGUGAAGUGAUAGCGAAUGAUCAGCAAUGGAUGGCGGUGGUGUCCUGUGACCCUUGGCGGUUGUGAAUGGUGGAAGCAAUCCGCGAUGAAUGAUGAACUAGCAAUGGAUGGCAAAAAUGAGUGGCGGCGGCCAGGGUUUUAAGUUGAGCGGCUCCACUUUACCCCAAACGAAGAUUAGAGAUGCCAAAUUAACGACAAAAUCAAAGAUGGCCAUGGAAAGUGGCCAAUGGCGGCAGCAUGGAAUUUGAGGUCCUAAGGUUGUGGUCUUGUGGCUGGAAAAGGAAAGAAUGGAAGAAAAAGGAAAGGGAGAGAAGAAGAAAAAAGGAAGAAAGAAGAAAGAAAGAGAAAGAGGAAGAGAAAAAGAAAAUGGAAAAAAAAAGGAAAGAAAGAAAGAAAGAGACAAGAGAGAGAGAGAGAGAGAGAAAAUUUUUAGAAUCAAUGCGUUAGACGUGGGCACGCCUAACUGCCCUCGAGUUUUCUGACCAACUCUCGAAAAUUAAGUUCCUUAAACGUGACCAUAUGAUGCGGGCACGCCUAACUAUUGAAGAGUCUUCUACCAUUGACGAAAAUUGCCUUCCUUAGGUGUGACCAUCUAGCGUGAGCAUGCCUAACUAGUAGGUAGUCUUCUGUCCGUCAAAUUAAAAAUUUUGUCCUUAGGCGUGACCACUAGAUGCAGGCACGCCCAACUACUAGCUUCCUGCAACAGAAGCAACAAAUCACUAAACGCAACUAACACUUAACAAAAACUCUAGAAACAUAAGAAAAUUAAAACACAUGACCAUGGGUUGCCUCCCAAGUAGCGUCUUUCUUUAAUGUCUUUGAUUAAAUAUUGCUAUGUUUAUUCAUGGGGGAUAAAAUCGUGUAAUUCAUUUCAAUGCUUCAUCUUCUAUCCCUCAUAAAUAGAGUAAUCCUUGAGCACACGAGCUACGGUCUUCCAUAGAUUAGUAGAUGGCGCCAAACAAACAAGUAAUGACCUUAAUUUUUCACUCACUCUUCUAUCACGAUCACUUAUUGGUUCGAGAUAUUUUGCCAUUAUAACUCUUAACUUAUUCCUGUCAUGAAAUUCAAAAUCUUCUGGUAUAAUAAAGUCAAUCUCACUAACAGGAAUUAAAGAAUAAGAGUCGGGAGAAUAUUGAUUAAGCAAUGGAGGAGAUGUCACCGUAUUUGGAGAUUGUUUACUAGAUGCAUUCACUUGAACAAUUUGAUAUUGGGGUCCCAUUUCUUAUACUUCAACUUCCUUUUCAACAGCAUCUUUAGAUCAUUCUUUUUAAAACUCUUGCAGUUCCAUGUUAUUAUCAAGAUAAUUACACUCUCAUCUUCUUUGAGGUCGAUGUUGGUUUGUGAGGGCAAUUUUUCACACAUUUGAGAAGUUAAUUGCAUUAUCCUAGAUAUCAAUUGAUUCACUUGAUCUGCCAGGUUAUAAAUGCUCGUUUGUGUCUCCUAAUGAAAUCUAUAUGUAUUAGCAGUUAAUAAUUUCAUUAUUUCCUCAAGAGACAUACCUGACAUGGAUGACGAUUCUUGAGACUCUUGUUGUUGAAAACCCAUUGGUCUGGUUGCAUAAUUAAAAUUGGAAUCAUCCCACCAUCCUUAAUCAUACCCGUUUGAAUAAGGGUCAUAUCACGUUCGAUAUUGAGGUGAAAAAUCUUCAAAAGUAUCGAUUGGAGUACUUAAGCCAGCUUGAAAUAGGGGGUAUAUUUCGGUUGAAUUAUCUGAGGUAAAAUAAUUUUCACAAUUUGUAACAACCAAUUGAUCAUUAGAAAAAGCAUGAGUCUCAUAACCCUUUCUAAAAAUAAAAUUUAGUCUAUCACCAGAAUACGGAAUACUAGCAGCUAUAAACUAUAUAUAUAUAAAAAAAAGAGAAAAAUAAAUAAAAAAUGAAAAACAAGAUGAACUAAAAAAGAAACAAAUUAAUCAGGUAUCAGUCCUCAGCAACGGCGCCACAAAUUGAUAGAUGUUGAGCCUGUACAAUAAUAAAAAUCUAACUACCACCAAAAGCAGUCAACAAUCAAUUCCAAGUAUUGGAGUAGGGACUCUGGAUGUGCAAUAGAUUACUUGAUUCACUCUGGUUCCGAAGAGUUUACUUAAUCUAAUAUACUAGAAUUGACUAGCUAACAGAAAAUUAUUAACUCCUAGACAGUGGCAAGUAGGUUCGAAUCCACCAGGACUGGGGAUAAUUCUUCGUUUCUUCUAAAGUUCAGAAUAAGGAGGAUUUUUAGAAAAUAUAAAAUAGCUAAUUAACCAACUAAUAAAACAACUAAUAGAAAUAAACAGAAAUUAAUUAGUAACCAAUACAACUCUAAUCAAAGGUGCAACUUUUCAAACACAGUCUAUUCAACUGAUCAUCGAUGCAAAAAUAAUUCAAUUACUCAUUAAUAAAUUAGUUAUAGUUGUCAUACACGCGAUAAACAACCAGUAUGUCCUUACUUCUUCGAUAGUCAAGGUACGACCAUUAACUACUUCCUUAACCAAGAAAUAACUUUAGGUAUGACUAUAGGAUUUAAUUUCUCGAUUACAAUAAGAAUUAGAAAAGCCCAACUUUAACCAACAAAUACGCUACGAGGGUUCGUUUAAGUUAGAUCAUACGUUUUUCUAACAUGAAACCAAUCACACUAGUCGCCACUAGUAUUAAUCAAUUGAACAAUUACGAAUUCAAUCACUUAAUCUGGCAGUAGAUUAUUAGGUUAAUUCGAAUAUCGAACAUUUGACAUUCAAAUAACAUAACAAUCAUAAGAAGUUAAAUCAGAAAACGUACAAAUACUAAUGAAUAAAAUAAAUAAGCAAAUAAUUCAAUCUCGCAGAUGUUUGGAUUCGCGUCUUCAAAUUAACCCUUGACUAGAAAAGAAGAUUUAGCUACGCAUCCUUAAGGGAAAUCUGCAGGACUCCAUUGAUAACAAUUGCAUAUGAUUUUUCCUCUAAAACUAACGAAAAGGCCAGGAGAAGAGCCCAAGCAAGUGACAGCCGUGUGUUGUACUUCAAAAAAGUUCCUACCGAAUUUAUUGCUGGCCAACUCCUAAUCACGAGGGAAUCUGGCUUUUUUAUUCCUUGUUUCCUACUUAACCUCAACUACUAAUAAUAAGAUAUGUUCCCCAAAAUAUAAAAAGGAAACUACUAAAAAUAAUAUUCUAAGUUUCCUAAUCCAAUACUAAUACUAAUAAUGAAAAUUAAAAUCUUCAAAAUCUUCCUCCAAUACUGCCUUGAAUUUGAUUCAGACUUGGAAAUCAGUUCUGAACGUGCCACCAUCAAAUUGAUUGGAAAAUUGUCCUUUUUUGUCACGUUUUGCUCCUUUUCCUACAAUUCGUACCAUUAACCAAAUAUAAGUAAAAUUUGGUAGUUAAAACAAUAUUUGGCUAAAAUCAAGGGAAUAAUAAUUAUAAAUUUUGUAAUAAAUUAUGACCUAUCAAAAUUAGAUACAUUUCAACAGGAAAAGAAAGUGUCUAGGUUCGAUAGUUUGGGGCAAUGUAGGAAUGGUUUGAAUGUUAGAGUGUACAGAGGGAGAAAGUAGAUGAAGAGGGAAACACAAGAGACGAGAACAAAUUGUUACCACCGCAAGAAGGCAUAAUCAAGCUCAAUACUGUUGCAACAGUAGAUACAAGGAAAGGCAAGGCUAACUGGGUGAGAAUAGAAAGACCCAGUCUUAUAGAGCUCUAGGGGAUAAAUUAUUUCACUAAAGUUUGAGACUUGAAAUAUUGGAACAUAGAAUGAGUAAACCAUAAUAAUGAGCUAAAAAAUGCUAAAAGGAUUCCAAAAGGUGCCUCAUCAGAGCCUAUAUAUCAACGUCUUUAUUGGCAAUCAAGAACCAAAGCUUACUAUGCCUUUCUCAUCCUCAAGUUUUUUUCUUUUUUUAUUUUUUUACCUCUUUAAUAUAAUUCUGGAAGUCUCUACAUUUUCAAUGCAAAGUUUUCCAUCUGCUAAAGGUAUAUUGCCACGGCAUGUUGAACUAAAAUGACUGUAAUGUCUUUCAUAAUAUAGAAAAACUGUUGACUGCCACUGAAACGUUUGGUCAUUAGGUGAAAUAUUGUUGUGGCACUAAAAUUGUUAGGGCUAAUCACUUUGUACUUUCCAACUUGUACCACUUAUGUACUUGUACCCUAAAUUUCAAUUUUGAACACUUUAUGCCAUAAACUAUCAAUUUUAAAUACUUUGCUCUAUAAAUUCUCAAGUUUUCAUCUCUCCUUCUCCAAUGCUCAUCUAGCAGGCAUUUUUGUUCUUCAUUGCAUUCAGAUUUUGCCAUCAAAGCACUCGACCAUGCCCCAAGUAAUAUUUCAGAAAGUAAUUCAAGAUGAGUAAUAUUUUAAGUUUGCACCAUAUUUGUACUCUCUAAAUUUCAUUAAAUUCUCUUUUUUAGUUGUCCUGCCUCAUUAAAUUUAAGAAAAUUCAUUUCUCAAUAUAGAUUAUCCUUUGAAAUUUUAUAUACUCCCCCUUAUUCUACAUUUACCCCCUAAAGACUCUUGAAUAUGACCUCAGGUUGUUAGCUCUUGAAUAUGACCUUCAUACAAAGGAGUUGUCAAAGGACCUGGGUCUAAUCUCCGAGGUCACUCUGACAAUCAAAUUAAUGUGGUUUCCGAGUUAUUGAUGUUUUUAGAAUAGGAGAAGUAGAGGGUUGAGUGAGUAUCAGAUGCUCUAAACUUUGGUAGUCUGUACUAGGAAUGAAAGAAUCAUGAAUGAAUCUUUUGGUGAUUAUCCCAUGAUCAUAUCAUGAGUUCCUGAUAAAAUUAUCCCAUGAUCAUAUCAUGAGUUCCUGAUAAAAUUAUCCCAUCUUUUGAAAUGUGAGCAAAGCAGUUAGUAUGUUUAGAUCAUUUGGCCUUUUUCAUAAAUACUAGCUGGAUUUAGUCAGGGUGCUCUAUUGACCAUGGCUUCAGUCAGUCCAUCUGAAUUGAAUCAUGUGUUGUGAUCACAAUCAAAAUCAAUGAAUUAUGCGAAAGUCAAAUAUGAAUUGGAAUUUAAUGCAUUUUUAACCCUUAAGGUUAAGCCAAAUUGGAUAUCCAUUGGGUUGAGCUUUUAGCUCCAAGAAAGGGUAUUCAAUUUGUUUACCGUAGUUAAUUUUGUCUAGGGAAUAAUGAAGAAUUGACCUUGAGCUGAUUCAUGCCUUACUUAUUGAGAUACCUAUUUAAUAAAUUCUUUUUUCUAAAGAGUGUUUUGGCACCUUUUCAUGCUUGAAGAUGCUUCAUUGCCAUCAUUUGAAUCCCAAAACCUAUAAGAAUGUGCCUGAUCACUAUGUGUCCAUUAGAGAAAUAUUCUUUCUAUAAAAUAAACAAAACUCUUCAGAAUAUUUGUCAUCUCACUUUCUUUAAAUCUUAUUCUAUCAUAGAGGUAAUUUGCCUUAACCUAUUAGCAAAUAUUUUGUUGUAGUGGAGGCAAAUAACAUGUUAAGAAUAGUGUCAAAUACACUUCAAGAUCACCGUCUUCAACUUCACUUUCUUCGAUAACUUUGUGUUAGUCAAAAGAUUUAGUACUUUGCCUACUAAUUACAUCAACAGCAAAUCAAAGAGCAAUCGAGCGCCAUUUCUCAAGGGUAUUAUUAUUGUUACAUUCAUUCAACUCUUCCGCAUCUGAAAAAGCUAGCUGCUUAGGGCAUUACUAAUUUCUUUUUCUAAUUUUCUUUUGAUUUUUAGUAUCAAUUGGGAAUUGAUUUUUGCAAUAGUUGUGGGUGAUUGUUUCUCCAGGCAAGUUGGUUAGAUAUAGAAAUUACUUGUUCUUGUUAUUAGCGAAACCAAAAUCUUAAAUAAGUAUAUAUUAUAUCUACGGACAUAUUUUAGUUAUAUAGGUACAACUAUUUUAUUUCAUCAAAGGAAAUUGGAAACAAUGUGGAAGAAGGAAGUUGCCAUUCAUAAUUAACCUUGUAGUUACUUUCCAUAAAAGAAAUGGCCGGUUCAUGGUUAUUUCCUUUCUGUCAAACCUUUCCUUAUUUUCACGUUCUUCCAACUCCUAUAUAUAUACAUAUAUACAUACCGUGUUUAAGAGUAUAUCCCAAAGAAUUCAGAAGAAAUUAAGCCAUGGAUUCUGUCAUGCAACUUGUCUUCCUAAGCUUUGCUGCCCUCUUCAUCUGUGGUAAGUAUCUGCGCCAUAUUACACGAGUACUUUAUGUAUGCAUGAUUUGUGGGUACAACGGAUUUUUGUGAAUGCAAGAAUGUAAAAACGUCCCAAGGAAAAACCCAAAAAAAAAAAAAUGCAAAGAUUUUUGUAGCAUUAUUGUUUAAAAAUUAUAUCAAGAGAACUAAAUUCAAACAUAUAAACUAUUGCCCUUAUCAAUAUAAACUGAAUGUUUUUGUAGCAUUGGUAAUGAUGUAGCAUUAGUUUGUGUAGAAAAAUUGUACUUUUGUUAUUACGAUUAGGGGAGAAGCUUCUGCGUUAACCAUAAAUUUCUUUAUUUCUUUAGAGAUCAUACUUGUGGAAGAAGAAUGCUUCUUUUUUUUUUUUUACUUUUUUUAAUCAAGGGAGAGAUGGAAUAUAAGAAGCGAGGAGGUAGGACAAGGAGUGGGAGAAGAAUGCUUACUUAUAUCUAUAGAUGUAUAAUUCAUUCAAUAAUAUCUCUCUUCCUAGAUUUUAAAUACAGUUGCCCCGACAUGUCAUAUGCAAGCUUAGUACUUUAAUCACUAUAAUAUUUUGAAAUUUUGACAUAUUAAAUCUUUAUUAUGUUUAAAAUUAUGUUAAAAAUUUACAAGUCUAAGAAUACGCUGGCAUUUUGAGUAGAGUUAUCGCUUAGUAAAAAAGGUACACUUUACUGUAUAUUUUUUGGUUUUGGGUUGGGGGGGGGGCGGCGGGCGUUAUAUGUGUUGCAUAUUCACUGCACUUUUAUUCUCUUCAAAUAAUAAUAAUAAUAAUAAUAAAGUCUCAGUUGAGAUGGAAGUGAAUAUUUUACACCAGCUGUGUUAGAACAGAUAAGCUGGAUAUGUUAAGUGUUUCAUGCUUUCUUUGUCAUGACCUAAUAUUAAGAGAUUCCCUAACAUUAUACUGCAGGUGUUCAGUCAGUUCAAUUCACCUUCACAAACAACUGCCCCUACACAAUAUGGCCAGCAACCGUAUCUGGUGGAGGGGUAGCACAACUGCCCACAACUGGAUUCGAGUUACCCUCCAAGUCAUCAGUCUCCAUAGAAGUACCAGCACAAUGGUCAGGGCGUAUUUGGGCAAGAUCGUUUUGCUCUAACGACAACUCAGGUAAAUUUUUCUGCAAAACAGCAGACUGUGGAUCAGGUGAAGUUUCAUGCAAUGGUGCAGGUGCAAUUCCACCGGCAAGUCUGGCAGAAUUCACAUUGGCAGCAAACAAUGGGAUGGACUUUUAUGAUGUUAGUCUUGUUGAUGGCUUCAAUUUGCCGCUUUCGAUCACCCCACAAUCUGGCUCUGGAAGCAACUGUAGAAGCACUUCUUGUCCUGUUGAUUUGAACGCAAUCUGCCCUCAAGAAUUGGCAAUAAGAGAUGAUUCUGGGGGAGCUAUUAUUGGCUGCAAAAGUGCAUGCUUGGCUUUUAAUCAACCACAGUUUUGCUGCACAGGAGAGUUUGGAUCCCCACAAACUUGUCCACCCACAAUUUUUUCAUCAUACUUCAAGAACCAGUGUCCACAGGCUUAUAGUUAUGCAUAUGAUGAUCUAACCAGCACUUUUACUUGCACCGGUGGACCAGACUACCUUAUUACCUUUUGUUCUUGAGGGACUAGACUAGGAUUUUUGGGGUCUUGCUUAGAUCUUCUGUUAUUACUUAUUCGACCUGUUUCAAAUGAUUAGUUGCUAAAAUGUUAUAAUGCGAUUAGAUAAGGGAACAAUGUUGUCAUUUGAGUUGGACCUUUUACCUUAAUCAGACUUGUUUUGCAUUUAUUAUUUAUUCAUUGUUUUGCCUUUCUUUUGCUGCAAACACUUCUCAAUGAUGGUGUACUUGAUAAGUAUAUCAAGGCUAUUGCCAUUUCAUCUUGCACCAAGUACUUUUUCAUACAACUUCUUUCUGAAGUUUUAGCAACAAAAAGAGUUCAUUUAUCUUUGGAAAUAAGGCCGUUGUCAUGUACAGCAGCCACUCCACCAAGAAAUUUGAUUAUUGCUGUUAAAAUUCGGGCUCAGAAAAUAUCUGAACUAGUGAUGGGAAACUACAGAUCGAGAACAAUGCCCCUGAAUGUAUAGCAGGAUAAGUAAAGGUGAAAGGCACAAAACUACAAAUCACAAAUAUCACUAUCUGUCUGGUUACUAAAUACUGCUAUCUGUUGAUUGGCAGACAGAAAAUUUUAUUCAUCUUUAUAUCCUGAUGGUCGAAAGGAGAAAGAGUCAUCCAUAGAUCUGUGGGAUAUGUUUUCAUUCCCAAACGAACGUACAAAUGAUCUCCCUAUUUAUGAAGAAGCACAAGGGUAUCUGCAUCAUUUUGCACAAGGAGCAAUACCAGUCCAAGCAUGACUUUUUUGUUUUCAAGGCCAGAAAACAAACAGGAAGAAAUGUUGAGAAAUAUGUCUGAACAUAUUCAAAUCAAAGUAUCGGAGAAAAGUGAACUAGCAAGAAUUCAAGAAAAAUAAGAUUGAAGAUAACAGCUUUGCGCAGCAUCACUAAUCCAAUAUUCUGCUUGGUUAGUUGUCAGACACAGUAAUAUAUAUCUCAUGUUGAAGUUUCAUCCAUGCAUAAUUGCACAUGGGGUAAAUAAUAUGCGAUCUUUUUCCAGAGGGGAUAUUCCAGAUAAAAUCACAGAAGUGAUAUUUUAUCCUUAGAAAGCAUAUAAUUUUCUUUAAAGAUGCUACUAAUCGGCUUUAAACAAUAUAAUCUUUUCUGCUAGGGACACCAAGGUUAGAAAUUCUACUAUCAGAAGGAUGAGAAGUUGAGAAUCCAAUAACCACACUAUUGCAUAGCACCUACAGAAUCGACCGUUACCCCUAGAAAGAACUGAUGUUAGUACCAUAACAAUUCCUCCCGUCUCCAAGAACUGAUCUCAUUGAACUUUACAACCAACGAGAUUUCUUAGUCGUUCAAUCAAUCAGCAAUUUCUUUUACUUAGCUUCUCACAGAUAAGGCUUGUAUUACAUCGAGAAGCAAAGCGCUCAAGCUUGCAAAUGAAAGAUGAGAUUUCUUAAUCACAGUCAAAAGUUAACUGCUCGAGGCAUUAAUUAAAGGAGGAGUGGAAGAAUGCAGCAUGUGCUGCAUGAACUUCAGCAAUAUAAAGAACAUAAGAAAGUGCAUCUGCUUGGACAUGCACAUGUCCAGGUUGAAUGUACCAAAACAUAUUGUAGAGUUCAAUUCAGUGCAAGAAAUAUGGAGCUAGAUUAAGAAACUACUUACUUCACAUGGAUAUUAGAAACAAGGUCAAUAUACCCUUGUAGGGGCAGCAAUUUGAUUCCGCCUCCAAGUCCUGUUUUGAGGACUACAGAGAAGUAAAAAUUUCUCUUAUGGUUACAGAGUGGAAUGUUAAACCUCACCAUAAUCAUAGAGUCCAUUAACGCCUCUGCAGAUAUAGCGCAUUAGUAACAGCACAACUUCAAAGAGCAAGUAGUAUUUGUUAUCGAUUAUCCCACUGCAAAUUAGUAACACACGUGGAAAGUGUCAAGUGAUUGAAUAGGACACAGGGUCCCUGGAUUACAUACUAAUUGUUUUUACAAGGAGUAGCACAUAUGACUAGUGAUGAAGCAUGUUGGAGAACCAUUCCAAGUUCCAUGGUGUUUCAAAAAGGUUUCCGGGGGGUCCCUAGCAGACAAUAGGUUUUCUUUUUUUGCUACAACUUUUAAUUUUAAAUUUACAUUUAAAAUAAAGGAAAAGUGUCAGAUUCAUUUCACCUUGCACAGAUCCUCACCCUCCCCCAAUCACACACAGAAUUUCCAGCAAAAUCUUUGUCCAUUGUAUCCUGACAAUCAUUUGCUUCUCCCACAUCAUUGAGUCACUUUUUUCUUCACUGUUUUACUUUGCAGCCAUCACUAGACAAUUUUCAGCUCUGUCUUACAACCCCCCCCCCCAAACCUCUCUCUCUCUCUCUGACAUUUUUUAUGACAAUGUCACAUGAUUCUACCCAAAUGCCUGUCCAAUUUUUACAUCACAAUUAUCGAUUCACAUCCAAAAGAUUUCACUCAUUAAAAAAGUCCUAACUAAUUCACCAGCAUUUUGGAUUCUAAAAGAACUUAUAGGUAACUGUUUCCAAACAAUCGAUUAAGCUCAAGCCAAGUCAUGUAAAUGUCUGAGAGCUUUUUCCCUAGGUACCUGGGGCCGCAAGCAUGAAGAUAGUUUCUUCUCAUGCUUUAGCAACUGACAAAAAUUGGAAUAGUCAUGCCAGUUUGAAUGCAAAGAUAGCCAGCAAGAAUGGCUCAACUGAUAUUAGACAGUUACUUUGCAAGAACAUCAACCUGUUCAAUAAACUUGGAUAUACUGAAAACUAACACCAGCUUACUAUGAGAAUUGUUGCCAAACGAAAACAAUAAACAGAUUUGAUAUGUUGCCAACUACCAUAAUUAAAAUAACAGGCAAGUUUCCUUCAAAAGCUACUUUGACUGUUUGGAGCAGGAACCAAGAUUGAGGUAUUGCAAUUAAUACCUUAGUUGAACUGCUUCCUGAUAGCCUGAACUCAUUCUUUGCCAGAGUUGAUGGCACUGGAAUAAUCAGAUUAUCAGAGGCAACUAAAGUCCCCCACAACCCAUAUCCAAAUUCUCUGCUCCACUUUCCUUAGAAGCAUUUAAACUCAUAUUCAAACGAAAUAUCGAUGUAAAAAAGCUCUAAAUGAAGAAAGUGCAGGAAUAUUUUACUCUUAUGCAGGUUCAUUUUACAAAGAAGAUGAGCUCACUCUGAACGAGCAAGAACCAUUCAUCAGUCCAAAAGUUGCUACCAUCAUCAUUUCGGGUUGCGGUGUUUGCGACUGGCUUUGAUGCAUAUUAAACAUAGUUUGAAACCAAGAUGUAAAAAUGAUCUAAAUGAAGAAAGUGCAGGGACAUUUUACUCUUAUGCAGGUUCAUUUUACAAAGAAGAUGAGCUCACUCUGAACGAGCAAGAACCAUUCAUCAGUCCAAAAGUUGCUACCAUCAUCAUUUCGGGUUGCGGUGUUUGCGACUGGCUUUGAUGCAUAUUAAACAUAGUUUGUAACCAAUUGAGCAGUACCGUACAAUAGACACAUUUUGCUGUAACCAGCAGGAAAGUUUUUGACCAGCAAAUACUCAAAUAAAAAAAACCUGAACAAAAUGUAAAUAAAAUAUCAAAAUUAAAAAUAUCUUGCUGUGUUUCAUGCUUUCUUUGUUAUGACCUAAUAUUAAGAGAUUCCCUCACAUUAUACUGCAGGUGUUCAGUCAGUUCAAUUCACCUUCACAAACAACUGCCCCUAUGCAAUAUGGCCAGCAAACCUAUCUGGUGGAGGGGUAGCACAACUGCCCACAACUGGAUUCGAAUUACCCUCCAAGUCAUCAGUCUCCACUCUCCAUAGAAGUACCAGCACAAUGGGUAGGGCGUAUUUGGGCAAGAUCAUUUUGCUCUAACGACAACUCGGGGAAAUUUUUCUGCAAAACAGCGGACUGUGGAUCAGGUGAAGUUUCAUGCAAUGGUGCAGCUGCAAUUCCACCAGCAAGUUUGGCAGAAUUCACAUUGGCAGCAGACAAUGGGAUGGAUUUUUAUGAUGUUAGUCUUGUUGAUGGCUUCAAUUUGCCGCUUUCGAUCACCCCACAAUCUGGCUCUGGAAGCAACUGCACAAGCACUUCUUGUCCUGUUGAUUUGAAUGCAAUCUGCCCUCAAGAAUUGGCAAUAAGAGAUGAUUCUGGGGGAGCUACUAUUGGCUGCAAAAGUGCAUGUUUGGCUUUUAAUCAACCACAGUUUUGCUGCACAGGAGAGUUUGGAUCCCCACAAACUUGUCCACCCACAAUUUUUUCAUCAUACUUCAAGAACCAGUGUCGUCAGUCUUAUAGUUAUGCAUAUGAUGAUCUAACCAGCACUUUUACUUGCACUGGUGGACCAAACUACCUUAUUACCUUUUGUCCUUGCGAGACUAGACUAGGAUUUUGGGGUCUUGCUUAGAUGGUUCGUUAUUACUUAUGUGACCCGUUUCAAAUAAUUAUUUGCUAAAUAUACAAUAACGUAGAUAUUGCCACAGUUCCAGAACCAUCAGUUUCGAUUUAAUAACUGACGAUUCAAGUUCUUCUAAAAUAUAGGUAGAAGCUAAACCAGUCCUUAUAAGGAUGGUUAUAAUUACGGUUCUUGAACUUAUAGUUCUGGUUUCUUCCGAUUACAGUUCAGUUCUUUUAAUUAUGUUUAAAUACUUGUUGUUAUAAAAAAUGAACAUUAUGCAAGGAAAAAAGAAAAAAAUGAUACAAAUUUUAUGAAAAAAAUAUCUCAUUGUUGAUUAGAUUAAAUUAGAUUGAUCUUAGAUUUAGAUUAGUCAUGGAGUAUAGAUUUAGUAAUAGAAUGGGACAAUGGGUUGUUGGACUAGGUUUGGAGAUGCUUGUAUAAUGGUAUUAGAAGCUGACUAUUGAUGUUGAACUCUAUACUGCCAAAUAGGUUCAAGUAGCAAAUAUGUUUUUAGACGGUUUAAACGAGUUGCAAACCGCCGAUUUUGAUUCUGGUUCAAAAUUUUGGUGAACAUGAAUUUGAACCUCUAGUUACAAUUAUGAUUUUGGUUCCGAUUUCCAAAAUCCAGUUAAACAAACCGCCAGGUUAGUUCCGAUUCAUAUCUGAACCAUAGCGACCCCUACUAUAAUGCAAUUAGAAAGGGGAACAACGUUGUCAUUUGAGUUGGACCUUUUACCUUAGUCCAACCAUUUUUAGUUCUAAAUUCGGUGUAGGCUAUUUAAAAUAUGCAAGUAAUUUGGUCAAUCAGACUUGUUUUGCAUUUAUUAGUUAUUUAUUGUUUUGCAUUUUGUUUUUCUUUUGCAGCAAAUACUUCUCAAUAAUGGUGUACUUCAUAGGCUAUUGACAUUUCAUCUUGCACCAAGCACUUUUUCAUGCAACUUCUUUCUUAAGUUUUAGCAACAAAAGAGUUCAUUUACUUUAGGAAAUAAGGCCGUUGUCAUGUACAGCAGCAGCCACUCUUCCAAGAGUUUUUAUUACUGCUGUUAAAAUUCAGGCUCAGAAAAUAACUGAACUAGUGAUGGGAAACUAUAGAUCAAGAAUAAUGCCUUGCGUGGAUAACAGGAUAAGUGAAGGUGAAAGGCACGGACCAGGAACGGUUAAUUAUUUACAUUUUGCACAACGCGUAACUUUAUUUUCACAAGGCGUAACUUUGUUUGCACAACGUGUAACUUUAAAACAAAUUUUUACGAGCCACACACACGUUAUUAAAAACGACGUACAAGAAGUGAUUAAGACCAUACAAAUUUUUGAGGCCAAAUCUUGGCCAUGAACAGCUCAGGAACGGUCCGUCCACCUGAUGAUCGUCCCUACCCCGUAUCCGAAAGGCACAGACUACAAAUCACAAAGAAAAUAUUAUAAAGGUUAAUAUCUCCAUCUGUGGGGUUGCUAAAUACUACUAUUCGUUGGCAGACAAAAUUUUAUUCAUCUUUUCCAAAGAUCUGGUUGCUAAAUACUACUAUACGUUGAUUGGUAGAAAGAAGAAAGAGUCAUCCAAAGAUCUGGGGGACAUGUUUUCAUUACCAAACAAACAUACAAAAGGUCUCCCUACUUAUGGAAAAGUACAUGGAUAUCUGCAUCAUUUUGCAAAAGGAACAAUACCAGUCCAUGCAUGACUUUUUGUAUUCAAGCUGGAAAAGAUACAAGAUAAAACGUUGAGAAAUACAUCAGGACACAUUCAAACCAAAGCAUUGGAGAAAAUUGAACUAGUAAGAACUCCAGAAAAAUUAAGGUUGAAGAUAACAGCUUUGUGCAGUAUCACCCAUCAGUCUUAUUCUAGGUUAAUUGUCAGACACAGUAUUAUGUCUCAUGUUGAAGUUUCAUCCAUGCAUAUGGGGUAAAUAAUAUGCGACUUUUUGUCAGAGGGGAUAUUCUGGAUAAAAUCGUGGAAGUGACAUUUUAUCCUGGAAAGCAUAUAAUUUUCUUCAAAGAUUCUACUAAUCAGCUUUAAACAUUAUAGUCUUUUUGCUAGGGACACCAAGAUUAGAAAUUCUACUAUCAGAAGGAUAAGAGGUUGAGAAUCCUAUACCCACAAUACAGCAAAGCACCAAAAGAAUUGACUGUUACCCCUAAAAAGAACUGAUGUUAGUACCAUAGCAAUUGCUCCCAUCUCCAAGAAUCGAUCUCAUUGAACUUUAAAACCAAAGAGAUCUCUUAGUAGUUCGAUCAAUCAGCAAUUUCUUUUACUUGGCUCCUCAUGGAUAAGGCUCGUCUUACAUCGAGAAGCUAAGUGCUCAAGCUUGCAAAUGAAAGAUGAGAUUUCUUAAUCCCAGUUUUGAGGAGUUAAUUAUCCACCAAACAUGAAUCAUAAAGACGCAUUUUCAGGCUUUUUCCAUAAGCAGCAAUAAGCAAUGCCUCUGCUCGACCUACAAAAGAAUAUUUAACUGCAUCAGUAGCAUUUUAAUCUGUUCUAGCAUGGUCAUUUGCAAUUUUCUUAAGCAAGAGCUUGUAGUCACAAUCAUUAGUAAUUAACGAAACCAACGAAGUAAAUAGUUGCAUCAUUUGGUUCAAGAAAGAUGGUAAACAACAAGGAGAAAUUUUGAUUACACUCUGGUAGAGGACAUCCCUGGGCCUCCUGGCCUUCCUAAACCACUUCCGAGUACUCUCUUAUACAGACUAGUUGAUUAAGAUGGACGAACAAUUGGCUAAGGAAGGUUUGGAUAUCAUAAGAAAUAAACAAAUAAAAGGUAUUGCAAUGCUAUGGGACCUCAGAUUCUUGCAAGUAGCUCUUAUAUUUUGUAGACAAUGUGGAAAUAAUAGUGCAUAAGAAGUUAACUAAAGGUCACCUAUCGUGUUCUCUUUGUGCCAACUUCCACACCUUAAAAAGAACACGAAGAAACUAUGCGAAAAGAAGACUCGGAAUGAAUAGGAUAUUUUUGCAUCAAUGGGUGAAAAAGAAAAGCUGGUCAAGAUCCUAAUAAGGACCUCGACCUUGCAAACCGGCCAACAUUCUAGGUGGCUUUAAUAGAUAACUGGGUGAAUCAAUGCUGGUUUCAUCUGGAACAAGAAGGGUAAAAAAUACUAUGACUCAAGUCUGUAGAGCAGGCAUUCAAGUAUCCCUGCCCUACUUUGACUUUCUAUCCCCCCAAAUAAACAGACCAAAAGAUGAAAACUACAUAUUUUAUUCUCAGUGAAGAUGAAAACAAAGAACACAAUUGAGGAGUACACUAACCAUGAUCUUUCUUCCUCUUUAACUGAGAACUCAAAGAGGGAAACAUCAUGGACGCAGCUUCCCUGCUAUCAUCCUGCCAAUAUUUUUAAUAUCAGGAGAAUGAAAAUAUAAAAUUCCAAAUCUCGCAUAGGUUGUACUAAAGGAGACUGAAUAAAGCAGUCAAAAGAAGGAAGUCAUAAAGAUGGCAUGCAGCAGUCAAAAAUUAACUUCUUUGAGGCAUUAAUUAAAGAAAGAGUGGAAGGAUGCAGCAUAUGCAGCACAAACUGCAGUACUAGAAGAAUGCAGUAUAUGCUGCAUGAACUUCAGUAACAUAGAGAACAUAAGAAAGUGCAUCUGCUUGGCCAUCCACAUGUCCAGGUUGAAUGUAUCAGAAAAUAUUAUAGAGUUCAAUUCAGUGCCAAGAAAUAUGGAGGAACUAGAUUAAGAAACUAACUACUUCACAUGGACAUUGGAAACUAGGUCAAUAUACCCUUGUAGUGGCAACAAUUUGAUUCUCCUUCUAAAUCCUACUUGGAGGACUACAGAGAAGUACAAAUUUAUCCUAUGCUGAGACAAAGCCAAAUCUAGAAUAAACCAAAAAAAAAAAAAUCCCAAACCAUAAAACUAGGUAAGCCAUCACAUUUGAUAUGCUAUUCAUGCCCCUAAGAAAUCUCUUGUACAUGUAAAUGAAAACAUGACAUCAGUGCUAAACAUGUACUAGCUGUCACAUUUGGUUAGAGUUGAAGUGAAACCUCAACUUCUCAACUUCUUGCAACCUCAGCAUAAUCACAGAGCCCAUUAAAACCUCUGCAGAUAUAGCGCAUCAUUAAUAGCACUACUUGAACAAGCAAGUAUUUCUUAACUAUUAUCCCACUGAAGUUAACCAUUCCAAGUUCCAUAGUGUUUCAAAAAAGUUUCCUUGGAUUGAAUUGACAUGUAGGCGUCCAUCCCAACAGGUAUAGGAUCAUUUCAAGACCCAGCCCUCAACCUAAGAUUACAGCUUCAAAAUUGCCUCAUUAUUGUCAGACUAGAAUUCCAGAAACUUAACUUCAUCCCGACUAAUAGUUUUGACCGACCACAAGUUCAAUAAUUUUUUCUAACAUUGUACUUGAAAGCUACUUGCACAAAAGGGGGUAAAAUACAAUUGUAUGAAAAUAUGAUAGGAUAAGUACAUUAGAAGUGCAGUUUAGAAGUUGAGAAAGUCUAUAAAGGAUAGCUUUAUCUAAAACGUGUGGGUCCCUAGCAGAAAAUAGGUUUUUUUUUUUUGUUCCUACAACUUCUAAUACUAAAUUUACAUUUAAAACAAAGUAAAAGUGCCAGACUUCACCUUGCAUAGAUCCUCACCCUCCCCCAUCACACAGAAUUUCCAGCCAACACCAUCAUAUUCAGAUGUUUAUCAUUCCAUUCACCAUCUUUGUCCAUUGUUUCCUGACCUCAUUUGCUUUCUCCACAUGACUGAGUCACUUUUACUUCACCCGUUUACUUCUGCAGCCAUAACUAGACAAUUUUGAGCUCUCUCUCUGUCUCUCAUAGAAAUUUUUUAUGACAAUGUCAAAAAUCCGAAUAGUCUUGCCAAGUUUGAAUGCAAAGAUAGCCAGCAUGAAUGGCUCAAAUGAUAUUAGACACUUUACCGUGCAAGAACAUCAACGAGUUCAGUAAAUUUGACAAAUGAAAACAAUAAACAGAUUUGCCAUGUUGCCAACUACCAAUAAUUAAACUAAUACGCAAGUUUCCUUCAAAAGCUUCUUUGACUGUUUGGAGCAAGGAAGCAAGAUUGAGGUAUUGCAAUUAAUACCUUAGUUGAACUGCUUCCUGACAGCCUGAACUCAUUCUUCCACACAGCUGAUGGCACUGGAAUAACAGAAAACCCAGAGGCAACCAAAAUCCCAAUCCACAGUCCAUAUCCAAAUCCUCCGCUCCACCAUCCCUAGAAGCAUUAAAACUUAUAUUCAAAUGAAUUAUCGAUGGAAAAAAAAGCUCUGAAUGAAGAAAGUGCAGGAACUGAUAUAUGAACACUAGUGUAUAUAUACUGUCCCCGGAAGAAGACGGACAUUUUCAUAGAGAACAGUAAAAGUACUGAUAACAAAAUUGAAAGUUAAACUACUUGCAGAGAAACCAGUCCACAUUGAGACAGGAAUGGUUGACUGUCCAGUCAAGAAUUUAAAAAGUCUAGACUUAAUUGUCACACAGAAAUUCCAAUGUGCAAUCAAACUUCACAUUAAACAUCCGAAAUAUACGUGGCAGAAUUAUGCUGAGCAGUUGAAAUCUUUAUAUCCUUAAACAUUAGCUUGACAUAUAAUGGUUCACUUCAGUUCCAAAAAGAGGCCACAACUUCCAUUGUUACUGAGGAAGCCUUUAUGCAGACAAUAUGUCUAACGUUAUCAUACAUUAACUUCAACUUAUCAAAUCAUAGCAAGACAUUAAGGAUUCCAUAUUUGCAGUCCUUUCUUUUAAAAAAAAUAAGAUGUAUAUGAAGAAAAGAACAGAAGUAGACAUGUAUAUACACAUGACUGACUUCUAACAAGAGGAGAACCUUUUCAAACUCCUAUCUAUUUAGCCUGAUUAUUGCUAAUUUAGUUAAACAUGCAAACCAUUUCUCAAUUGAAACACCCAAUCUGAUUUAAUACUAUUUUAAGUACAGUCCUCUUCCUUGUUCUUAGAUAUGGCUUUUCAGAUGACUUCAUGAAAAUUCCUCACUCACAAUCAUAAAAUAGCAUUCUAAACAGAGGAUUCUUUUCCCAGACUCCCCAAAUAAGAUGGCUAUUUAAAGGCAGCAGCAGCACAUCAAAGAUGCAGGUUCAUUCUACAAAGAAGAUGAGCAUACUCCAAAAGCGUAAGAACCAUUCAUCAGUCAAAAAAUAGCUACCUUCAUCAUUCCCGGUUGCAAUGUUUGUGGCCGGUUUGGAGGCAUGUUAAACAUAGUUUGUGGCCCACUGGAGCAGUACCAUACAAUAGACAUAUUUUGGUAUAGCCAGCAGAAAAUUUUUUGACCAGCAAAUAGUCAAAUAAUAAAAACGUUAUCAGACAAUGGCCACAACUUCCAUUGUUACUGAGGAAGCCUUUAUGCAGACAAUAUGUCUAACGUUAUCAUACAUUAACUUCAACUUAUCAAAUCAUAGCAAGACAUUAAGGAUUCCAUAUUUGCAGUCCUUUCUUUUAAAAAAAAUAAGAUGUAUAUGAAGAAAAGAACAGAAGUAGACAUGUAUAUACACAUGACUGACUUCUAACAAGAGGAGAACCUUUUCAAACUCCUAUCUAUUUAGCCUGAUUAUUGCUAAUUUAGUUAAACAUGCAAACCAUUUCUCAAUUGAAACACCCAAUCUGAUUUAAUACUAUUUUAAGUACAGUCCUCUUCCUUGUUCUUAGAUAUGGCUUUUCAGAUGACUUCAUGAAAAUUCCUCACUCACAAUCAUAAAAUAGCAUUCUAAACAGAGGAUUCUUUUCCCAGACUCCCCAAAUAAGAUGGCUAUUUAAAGGCAGCAGCAGCACAUCAAAGAUGCAGGUUCAUUCUACAAAGAAGAUGAGCAUACUCCAAAAGCGUAAGAACCAUUCAUCAGUCAAAAAAUAGCUACCUUCAUCAUUCCCGGUUGCAAUGUUUGUGGCCGGUUUGGAGGCAUGUUAAACAUAGUUUGUGGCCCACUGGAGCAGUACCAUACAAUAGACAUAUUUUGGUAUAGCCAGCAGAAAAUUUUUUGACCAGCAAAUAGUCAAAUAAUAAAAACGUUAUCAGACAAUGGCCACAACUUCCAUUGUUACUGAGGAAGCCUUUAUGCAGACAAUAUGUCUAACGUUAUCAUACAUUAACUUCAACUUAUCAAAUCAUAGCAAGACAUUAAGGAUUCCAUAUUUGCAGUCCUUUCUUUUAAAAAAAAUAAGAUGUAUAUGAAGAAAAGAACAGAAGUAGACAUGUAUAUACACAUGACUGACUUCUAACAAGAGGAGAACCUUUUCAAACUCCUAUCUAUUUAGCCUGAUUAUUGCUAAUUUAGUUAAACAUGCAAACCAUUUCUCAAUUGAAACACCCAAUCUGAUUUAAUACUAUUUUAAGUACAGUCCUCUUCCUUGUUCUUAGAUAUGGCUUUUCAGAUGACUUCAUGAAAAUUCCUCACUCACAAUCAUAAAAUAGCAUUCUAAACAGAGGAUUCUUUUCCCAGACUCCCCAAAUAAGAUGGCUAUUUAAAGGCAGCAGCAGCACAUCAAAGAUGCAGGUUCAUUCUACAAAGAAGAUGAGCAUACUCCAAAAGCGUAAGAACCAUUCAUCAGUCAAAAAAUAGCUACCUUCAUCAUUCCCGUUUGCAAUGUUUGUGGCCGGUUUGGAGGCAUGUUAAACAUAGUUUGUGGCCCACUGGAGCAGUACCAUACAAUAGACAUAUUUUGGUAUAGCCAGCAGAAAAUUUUUUGACCAGCAAAUAGUCAAAUAAUAAAAACCUAAAUAAAAUGUAAAUAAAAUAUCAAAAUGAUAUUGUAUACUCCACAUAUAUGGCUAUGCUGAAACAUACAAGUGCUAUCAAACCAUGUAACAUGCCUUUUCUGAACCUUCAAACCGUUUGAAACCAUAAUCAAUACAUUUUAUUAAUUGUAUAACAAUAAAAAUAUUUUAGAAUCUCACUGCAUUUGGGUACAGAUGAUGUUAAUAAAUAAGUGUAUCACCACAUUAAGAUAAAAGUACACAAGACAGCAAAAACAUAAAUCAUUUUUGAAGCCAUGAGAGUUGUCAGAAGGACAAUUAGACAAACUUGUCAGCAUCUAAACAAGGAAUUUAAAAUAUGAAUAAUGGUCUCAGAUGGUAACAUCUUUUUUACAGGAAAGAACAUAUCUUGCUGUUGGUAGUAUUUGCUAACCUGCUUACCAUCUUUUGGGUAUGGAAUUGAUUGCUCUAUAUAGGCAGUAGUUCCUGAAAUAGGAGACUUGGCUUAGAGAGAUGUCUUUCCAGCUAAUAAGUAAAUAAAUUUGACACAGGAAAACAAAUUAUUACAAAAAUGCCACAACACAGUAUCUAGCUAUAUAGCAGAUAAAGCAGAAACAUAAGAAAACUGAUCAUUUCAGAAACUACUGCACAAAUGAAAACCUGAAAAGCUUUGGAACAGACAAAUAUACGUACCCAUUGGAGCAUUAAAACUAUUAAGCAACUGUACAAUAGACUUUGUGUCUAAACGCUUCCGCAAUCUCCUGCCAAUUGGUACUUUCAAGUGAGGGGAAUCAAAAACCUAGAGUUUUGCAGAAAGAAAACAGAAGACUGUAUAAGUGGUGAAGGAUCAUGUGGUUGAUAUCCCAAAGAAUCAAAGAAUGCUCAUUUACCAAUCCCACUCAUCUGACUUCCCAAAAAAACAGAAGGAUACAUACAGAGGUUAAGGAAAGGGUGAUAAUUCAAAACAUUGGAAAGAAGCAUUUUUAACUUCGCUGCAAAUGGGAGAAGAAAAAGAAGAUUAUAAACAAGCUGGAUAACAUGGGAAAAAAAUGAGUCUAUUAACCCCUUAGGCAGCAGAAAGUCGUAAUUAAAGCUCUUCCAAUUCCCAGACUUCCAUCAGUGUAGAACUCAUUUCAAUGCCAAAAAGUGAUUGACUAGAUUUAAAGACAAGUACCAGUACAUUCUACAAUAACAAAGACGGGAACCCCAAAAGCCAUAUUCAUUCAUAUGUAUUUAGAUGUCAACUUGAAAUUCUACUUUUGUCAACUCUAAAGCAACAAAAUGACAAUGCCCAAAUCUUCUUACCAACAUAUUAUAACCUUCUCAACAACGGCUUAACUAAAACAUGAGCACCAUGAACAGCCUCAGUUUUGUUUUGUUUUGUUCUUCACUCAUAAGCAAUUUUAUAUCAAGUAUCUAUCAGUAGACUUCUCAAUAUUAGACACAUCUGUCAGUACUAGGACAAAAACACACAAACUGGAACCUUACUUAAAAGUUAAAACCUUUCUUCUCUUUCUUGUGGAAACUCAUUCCCAGGUAGUUUCAUGCGCUAUCUAUUGUAAAUCAUUGAAAUGACUUGUAAAAACAUGUUGCGCAGCAAACUCAGUUCCACGAAGUUGUCCUUAAAUACUUCUACAGCAAGAUUCAAUAGCAGGGAUAUCAGUAUCAAGCCUAAUUAAACUAUAAUCCAGGACUUCCCUGGCAAUUUUAACACAUGCUUAUCUUUGCUAAUAAUAAGAACCCAAUGAUUAAAACGCUGAUUAAAGCACAACCCUUGUGAAUUAGAGGCACCUAUUCAGCCAAAAUAGACAAAACCAGAGCAGUGCACAAAUGUAUAAUCUCCAAAGAACAAGGUACCAGCAUUCAAUGCAGCCAAACACAAUUGGCAUCUCAUUUGGUUUCUAGCACUGAUCAAAAGCAGAACAAAUUUCAAAUUCAUACCAUUAACUAAAGAACAAACAAAAUCCAGAAAGUACAUAGACACGGGACGCCAUACCUGUGCAGAAUGAUCCGGUUUCAAGAGAGCCAAGGCUCCGGAAGCAUCAGGGUCAACUCCAAUAACCCAUUCGGAACCCAAAUUCGGACUCCCAUUGCCAUGGAAGUUCAGAAGAUCACUAGAACAAUUACUAUUACUACUACUAUUAUAAUCAAUUUUCUCAGGGAAAGGGCAGGAGAGGGAAUCCAACCAAUUCUGUCUAAGUUGAGCCUCUGUAAUCAACUUAUUCCCCUUCUUCCCUCUUGAGCUUUUUCGCCGGGGCGGCGGGAUAAGCUGGUCAGGAGUUAUAACUACAGCAUGGUCUACAGAAGGGGUAAGAGUGGUGGCAGUGGAGAAGAGCUUGAAAGUGGUGGCUACGGUAGAGGAGAAGCGGAGGAGGAAUGGUUGGGCGAGUUUGGUGGAGAAAGGGGUCAUGAAUUCAGAAGGGAAAUGCGAGAUUUGGGACUGGAAGUGGAAGUGGGAAGUUUCCAUGAACUGGGAAGAAAGGAAGGAAGGGUUUGGAGAGAAAAGGAGGGAAAGAGGGAAGAAAUCAAGAGAGAAAUAUGGGGUUGGGUUGGUUAGUUGGGUAAUUGAGGUUUUGUCUGGAGUGAGGAAAGUUUGGUACAUAUGGGCUAAAGUUCGGUUUGAAUCCUUAACCCGGUCUGAAAGUGUUCAAUGAUAACCCCACUGAGUCUAAUCAAGUCAAAACAUCUAACGUUUAAAAAGUGGAAAAAUGAUCGGUUUCAUUCUUUAUAUUUCACAAAAAUAUUCUUUUUAUCCCUCACUUUUAAAACGAAACAAUUUCAUCCUUAACAUUUAAAAACUAAAGUUAUUAUAUCCCUGAACUCAAAUUUCAAUAUGAAUCAAACCACCAAUCAACCUGAUGACAAAUUUUGGGGGUGUAAUUGGUAGAUCACUUGGUUAAGUCAACUUGAUAUUCAUGUGAAAUUUAAUGAACCUAAAAAUAAAAAAUAAAAAAUUAUAACAUAAAAAAGAAAAAUUAAUCUUUCAUACAUUAUCAUUGUAUACACUGACGGUUUUAUGUACCGUCAUAUCAUUUUAAUUUAUAUUUAAACAUCAAAUUUUAUAUUUAUGAUACACAUCUAGAUUCGCAAGCGGAUAUACUAAUAGUGCAUAAAAAGAUUUACCAAAAAAAAAAAAACUCUAAUAUUCCAAGACAAAGAAUGGCCUUUUAUGUUAUAAUUUUUAUUUUUUUGGUUUAAUAAAUGUCAUGUAAAUAUGAUGAAGUUGACUGAGUGAUCUGUCAAUUCUAUUUCCGAAAUUUAUUACUGGGUUAUUGGAUGGUUUGAUUUAGAUUGAAAAUUAGGUUCAAGGAUGUAAUAGCUUUAAUUUUUAAAUGUCAGGGACAAAUUUGCUUCAUUUUAAAAGUGAGGGAAGAAAAGAAUAUUUUUACGAAAUGUGAGGGAUGAAACAUGUCAUUUUCCCUUAAAACUUUAUUCAUAACACGUUUAAAAUUAAUAUGUGUUCAUUUAUUUUUUUUAAGGAAUUUGAACAAACUUUUAUCGAGUUAAAAUAAUUUGAACAUUUUAUAUGUGAAUCCCAACAUUCCUACUUAUUAAGUCAUUGAAGCCAAACAUGACAUUUGACAGAAUAUAAAUAUUGUUUAUGUUUAGUUUGAUUGAUUGGUAAAUUAAAGUCGAACAAAUACUUAUCGAACUUAAAUUACUCCCUCCGUCCCAAUUAUUUAGUUAUGUUUGGGGAUUCUAACUUUUUAAAAAUAGUGGCUUGAUUGUGACUUUGUACUUCUUUUUCUAAUUUUACCGUCACAAAUUCAAAAUUCAAAUUUGAAUAGUAACAUGCAUAUGAUUAGAAAGAAGUGUUAUAUUGGAAAGAGAGACUAAAAGGUGAUUUGACUUUUUCAACAUGACAAAUAUUUUAGGACAUUCCAAAAUAAAAAGUAUGACACUUUCAAUGGGACGGAUGAAGUAAUUUAAUAUGGAGGUUAGUUUCUUAGUUUAAUUAUAAUGGUUAUGUUUGGUUAAGAUCAAGAUUGCAAUUUUUUUUUUCCAAUACAAUUUGUAAACUUGUAGCAUUGUUAGGUAGACUUGUAGUUGUAACAAGUUCAAGUAGUUGAAUUAGUUAACCUUUUUUUUUUUUAAUGCUUAAAGAAUGGAAGUCUAGUCAAGUUUGUUAUGUAUGUUAUCGGCUGCUAAAUGCUCAAGGAUAUGCUUUACUUUUGCAAACUACUAGUCUAUCAGUCUAAAUAAAAGCAUAUAAUAAGCUUUUACAAAUUUGAUACAUGCAAAUCAUUUUUUACACUGAAAAGUGUAGCAAGUAACCGAGGAGAAGGUGAUAGAUGAAUAAGGAAAUGAAGAAAAAAAAUUGCUAUUACAAGAGCAAAGAAAGAAAAAAAGAAAGGUGUGUUGGACAAUGGUCACAUAUAUAUUAACAAUAUCUAAAUUAACAAAUCUAGCAUUGUCAUGCUCUUCAUGUUGCUACAUUUGAUCACAACAUAGUCUACUACCAAACAUCUUAAUUAAUGGAAUCAAAUUUAUUAAGAUACGAAGUUAUAGACGUAUGAAGCAUAUAUAAACUUUGUUUCAAGUAGAAUUGAUUCACCACCGUCUUUUUCAUGUACAAAAGCUCCAGUUUAUUCCACAAAGUCUUUGGUUGCCUUUUCUUGAGCAAUUUCACAUAAAACCUUAUCGGAGAGAUUUAGAAUAAUUGCCGAGAGGGCCUUAUUAUCCAUUUUUUCGAAUUUGCUUAUCCAUAAUUUUUUCUGAGUUUUUCUCCUUUUUGAACAGCGCUACUUCUACUUCAUCUUGGAUGAGAAUAGCUUUCAUCUUAAUCUGCCACAAACUGAGGCUGACACAUUGGUCAAACUUUUCAAUAUAGGUCUUGGUUAUUGUCAUAAUGGUUAUUGUCAAAAAACUUAGUCCAGGUAAUCAGGCUCUGAUACCAUUUUAUUAGGAUCCCAUCCUAGUAAUUAUGAAAAGGUUAAUUUGACAACUCACAAAAGUGAUAACAAAGGCGGUAAUAAAAUGAGGAGAAAAAUAAUAAAAGACAAUAUUAACACAAAAAUUUACGUGGUGAUUUGAUCAAUUACACCUACAUCGGAGAGGGUGAGCAAAAUCCACUAUAAUGAAAAAAAAAAUGAGAAAUUUCUAAUUUUGUGAUGAAUUUAAAAAAAAUUCUACAAAAGGGGUGAUUUUGGCAUUGGAUUCCGUCCGGAGGUCUUCGCAUUCCUGAAAUGCGAGCUCAGUGAGCUCGCAUUUCAGGAAUGCGAGGUUAGAGAAGAGCUCGCAUUCGCGGAAUGCGAGCUCUACUUAUUGAGCUCGCAUUCCGCAAAUGCGAGCUCUUCUGUAUUUUUAUUUUUUAUUUUUUGAGAGCUAGGGAAUUAUUUCCAGAAAGCUCCUAAAUGUUUUUUUUUUAAAUGUUGCAAAUAUUUAAAAUUUUGCAAAUAGCUCGCAUUUGUUAAAUUUGACCUCCAAAAAUUGUAUUUAACUUUUUUGUUAGAUUUCGCAUUUAUAAGUAUGACUUUCAGAAAAUUAAAUUCAAAAAUGUUAGGAAAAAAAUUUUAAAUGAUAUUUACGAGCUCCAUAAAAAAUAUAAAAGUAAAUGUAAAUAUUGUUUGUUUUGUAGAAUUUGCCUUUACUAAAAUGGUGUCGGUAGUAAAAUCUUAUUUUAAAAUCUCUACUAAAAUCUUAUUUUUCGGAGAAAGGUUAGAGAAAUUUUGUUUAAAAAUCUGUAAUUAGCAGAGGAAUAAUGUUUUUUUUUUAUUUUAAAACUUGCACGUGGCUAAAGUCAUCAAAUAUGUGCUAAAACAAAAUCAGAUUAACAAUAAUCUUUUUAAUAUAAUUUACUAUACAUGCAUAAUUCUUUUAUAAUAAAAAAAAUUGGUAAUUGUACGGUUGAAAAUACGUUAUUUUAUUAUAAUACAUUUAAAUUGUGGAAAAAGUACACAUGCAUAGUUCUUUCUAUUUCAUAGAUCAAUGUAAAAAUAGAAUGAAAUUGUUAACAUGUAAGGUGUUGACUAUUUGUUGUGAAUAAAAUAUUAAGUGUUUUUCCUUUUGUAUCAAAUAAAUUUUUUUGAUCAAAUUCUAAUUUUCCUUUCUUAUUAAUGAAUCGUAUUUAUUUGUUGAAACCGAUGAAUAUUAGUUAUAAGAAUAUAAUAGUUAAUAGUCAUUAAUAUAUGUUACAAUUUCAAUUGUAAUUUUAGAAAUUUCAUAACGCAAUGUUUUUUUAAAAAAAAUUAUAUAAGUUAUUUUUAUGAAAUGCAUGUUAUUUUUUUGGUAGUUGAAAAGGAAAAGGAAAAAAAUUAAAGCAAAGAUCUAGCGAUUAAAUCUUGCGUGUUUUACCUAACUUACAAUUAUUUGGGCUGGAUUACUAUUUUGAUUAAAAAUAUAAAGCGAUAAUGAAAACAAAGUUAUACUGCAGCAAAAAUCCUAAAACCCUAAGUGCUAAAGCCGUAAAACACUAAAUCGUAAAUCUUAGAAACCUAAUCCUUGUAAACCCUAAAACAUUAAAUCAAGGUUGUUGGGUUUAUUAAUAUCCAUUAAAAAAUAUUUUUGCGGCACGAUAGGAUUACUAUUUUCAUUAAAAAUCUAAAGUCCUAAUCAAGGCACACUAUUGUCAAACUAAAAUCCUAUGGCGGUCAAACCCGAAAGUACUAUUCUCGUAAAACAGUAAUUCUUGAUCUCUGAAACCGUAAAAUCCUGAAUCCUAAAAGUCUCAAACCCUGAGUGGUAUCUCUAAUGUAAUCAGUAGCAGAAUCAAAGAUAUGAUAUUUUCUUUUGUCUACAACUCAUUUGAUCUUCUGUUUUGUUGCAGAAGCAUGUGCCACCGAUUUCUAUCCCUCAAAAUAGCUGGAAAAGUUAUGAGAAAGGUAAAGGAAAACAGGUGUGACACUUGCUGUAGAGAGAGACAGAUCCGAGUCUCGGAUCGGAAGGUUGAAUAUAAAUCCGAGCUCGGAUCAUUAGGAUCCAAGGACUUCCCAUGAUGGAUCCGAGGUCGGAUCUUCUGACCUCGAAUACACUCCUACAGAAGUACAGAUGAGGGAUCGGUUCUGUCUUAGCUCUCACGGAUCCGUGCUCGGAUCGGUUCCAUUAAAUUUCCAGUUUUUUCGCUUUUUUCGUUUUUCCUUCGUUUUUGCUCCUAAUUUCUUGUACACUUUAUCCUCUGGACUAUCUUCACAUUGAUUUCAGCUCGUGCAUGAACUUCAUAUGGAAUGUCCCUCACAAUCUCACAAAAUUAAUGCAUUUAUCCACUCAUUUAAUCAACUCAAAAAAAUGGGCAAAAUUGAACAUUUUGGCCAUUAACUUGAAAUUUUGGACAAUAUUUUUUACAAAUUUUGACAGAAUUUCUCCUAAAAAAUGGACAAAACUCCCUGUCAACAACCUCAAUUUCAAGAAAAUUAACCUUAUGACAAUAUUUCCAAAUACAAAACCAACAUUUUCAAGCCAUAGACAACUAAAAUUAUGCAUUUCAAAAUACAAACAUCCAUAACAUAAGGUAAUCCCUCCCCCACACUUAAAAUUCACAAUGCCCUCAUUGUAGAGGAAAGUAAAAGAAACUGAAACUUCCCUCAAAAUGAGUGGUGAUUCAUUUAGAAGCCAUAAUUCCUCACGAUCAUCCAAAUUGUUGCAUCAAUGAAACAAAAGGUACGAAUGAUGGGCUUUUUACAUCAAUGCAAGUUUAAUUCCGAUUUUACACCCGUUGGACUGCAAGUAUACAGGUCGCAAUUGUAGUACAAAAUGUGUAUCGAGUCGAUCCCACGAGGAGCAAUUAAAUUGCUAAGCAUACUCUUAAUUCCAAUACCUUUUUACGCGAAUGUCGACAUUUGUGAAUGCCAACCCCCGGUUACUCAGUAUGUGAAUCAUUGGAGUAGAAAAGUAAUAAUAUUAUUCUUUUCUCUUUUUUUUUCAGAUAAUUUCUUUUUCCCUCUAAGUAUAAUUAAAGGAAGGAUUUGGCCUUGUCUUUGACUAUAUCAGUCACUUACUUAUAAAUCUCAUGUAAAAAUGAUAAAUAUCAUUAAUCUUGCAAAAUUCUAAGCAUAAUUUUUCUUAUUUAAUCAAAUAUACUUUCUAAAAUGUAAAAAUCCUAAUAGCAUAAUAAUUCAUUCCAAGCCAAAUAAGAAUUAAAGUUUUCUAAAAUACACAUAGCAUUUUAUCCAAAGGAAGAAUUAGACACUUAAAAUUUUAACAUUUUGGCCAUUUAAUUGGAAGAAUUGCAAUGAAAUAUUGGAAAAUGUUUUAGAAAAAAAUUGACAGAGUUUCCCCAUAAAAAUGGAUGAAACUCCCUGCCAACAUCCUCAAUUUCACAAAAAUUAUCCUCAUGACAAUAUUUUCAAAUAUAAUUCCAACAUUUUUAAGCCAUAAACAACUAAAAUCAUGCAUUUCAAGACACAAUCACCCAUAUGAUAAAGUAAUCCCUUCCCCACACUUAAAAUCUACAAUGUCCUUAUUGUAGAGGAAGGUAAAAGAAACUGAAACUUCCCUCAAAUAGGUGGUGAUGCAAUUUGAAGCCCUUAAUCAUCACGAUCAUCCAAUUUCUGUCCAAAAUGAGACAACAAGGGUACCAAACACCAUAAGUAGCACAAGAUGAUUCAACUAAAAGAAAAAUAAAAUCUACAAAGUUUGUCUUAACAAAAGAAAAGAAAAAUAAAGAAAUAAAAGAUCUCAUCCGCUAAAGAGCAUCAUGGCUGCUGGGAACGAGGGUCUACUGCCUCCUCGGCUCCAUGAGGACCCUGUAAGGUACCAAUAUGGCCGUCCUCCUGAUGAGGUGUAGGAGUAGGGGACCGACGGAUAUAGAAAUGAUCCUCGAUCGCACGAAGACGGCGAUCAUGUCGGUCGAGUCGCUCGGUCAUCAUCCGCUCCGUCUGGUCAAUGCGCUCGACAACUCGCGUCUCCAUACAACAAAUGGCAUUUAGGAGCUCUUGCCACUUGGAGCGCGGUUGAGGAGGUGGUCGCGAAAUCGGAGGAGGAAGAGUCUGUUGUGCCUCCGUCUCUUGAGUUUCCGCUUGUGGUUCAGUGUGAGGCGGAGGCUGAGUGGAAGUCGAUGCUUCUCCUGUGUCCCGGACCAAAACAGCUCCAAAAUCCGUAGAAAUACCCAAGGAUUUGAGUAUCGUAGCAUUCACCUCCUCGGCCGACCUAGUUACCACUGCUCUCUCGGUUCCAAGAGGAACCUUGAGCUUCUCAAAAACAAGUGAUAGCAGUCGAGGAAAUCCGAAACAAGUGCUGCCGGCUCUCAUGCGAGCUGUGAUCCGCAUAUAACUGAUGAUAAUGCUGGGUAGAGGAAUUCCGGUCAACUGCCUACCCACUCCAUGUAUCAUCUUAUCCAGAAAAUAGAGAUCGCUAUUUCGGAUCUCCCGUUUGCCACUCUUUUUCGGCACCACAUUAAAGGCUAAAAGAUAGAAGAUCAGGUGGUACCGAUGAUGGAAGGAGUCGGCAUAUACCGUGAGUUUUUUCGAACUUCCUCACUCACGGUACUGCCCCUUUAGACGUCCCACAGCCUCUCCCACUUGCCAAGGAUCUCUAGCUUUGAACUCCUUGAUCAAUUUGACGUCGUCGCCUUCGUCUUUGAGUUGGACGAAGCGUCUCAGUGCAUCUCGAUUGAGAGCCACUCUCCUGCCUCUAACCCAUGAGACAAUGGGGUUGCCACUGUGGCUCUGCUUGUUUUCUACAUUAGCAUAGAACUCCCGGACCAGGUUAGGGUAGUAGUGCUUGGGCAACUGAAGGAUGUUCUCCCAUCCAAGUCUCUUGAAUGCUGUAGAAAUGUGAUAGUGCGCGUUCACCUCCGGUGCCAAGUGUUUCUCAAUGAUGAUCUCCUUGUCCAGUCCGGCUUCAUACCACUCUUGGUUUUCGAGCGAUGUGAAUCGUGUGGUAUCGUAGUCUGGCGGUGGCUCGUCACGGCUAGUAGAUGUGGUCUUCCGGCGAGAACGAGAUGGCGGCUCAGGUGAGGAAGAUUCUUCCUCAGGUGACUCCUCAUGCAAAGAGGGUGUGUGUUCCUCACUUGAGGAAGGAGUAGGAGUACGAAUGCGAGCCCUCCUUGUGCGAGCCAUAAUACCUAUACCAAAACAAGAUGAACGUUCAUUAGAAAACGUAUAAACUUGCUCACACAUGUUAAAUAAGAAUUUAAGAAAAUUUUGGCAGAGUUUCCCCUUGUAAAAGGGCUAAACUCCCUGCCAACAUGUACCAAAAAAAACACAACCAAAGAUCCUAUUUUACGCAUUUCAAGCUCAAUUGCAUAUUUUCAAGUAAAAUCGUCAUCAAAGAAAUGAAUCAUUUGAACCUUAACCAUCAUUUGAAGAAUGUAUAUGCCAAUAUAAUCAUAAUUUUAACCAAGAAUCACACAACAAUUGACUAUAGCAUUCUUAAUAAAGUGCAUACAAAUGAGCCGUAAGUUUGCCAAAACAAUUUGCAAACUAACCCUUAGAGAGAAGAGAAUUCAAGCAAAAAGAUUUGAACGUACUUAACUAAAUUAUAAACACGCUCUUUUACCCAAUGGAAUGUGAUCUACUUGGCAUAUCAUUUUCACUUGGUACAACAAUAACUUAUACUCCUCAGAACAAAUACAUUCAUUCAAUGAAAACGAACAUUCACAAGUCUAAAUCACUAAAAUGCUCAUGCCCAAAAAUUGAGAAAAAAUCUUAAAAAUAUCACCAAAUCCACAGUUUUCUCAAAAAUAAGCAUGAAAAUAGCUGUAACAAUCUCUUUAAGCACAAUGUGGCACAAUUAUAUCAAGAAAUCCCAACAAAUAUGCAUUUAUCAUAAUAUUCCCAAAAACUAGAAAAACCCGAAUAAGAAAUUAUAAAAUGUCAAAGAAAUUCGCAAAUUGUUACCUCAAAUGUGUAGAUUGAUAAUGGAGGAUGAAAAAGAUGUAAAAUUUUACACAGAAACACGCCAAAAUACCCCCCAAGUUGAGGAAAUCAGGUGCGGCCCGAAUUGAGGUUUUGCAGAUCAAAACCCUUGUUUAAUGUUGUUUCUUGGUAAAAUAGAUUGGGGUUACUGAUCAGAAGAGGUUUGGGGAGAUUUUUAUGAAGGAAGAUUGGAGAUUUGAUGGUUAAAAUGGAAGAUUGGAAGAAAGGGGUAGGGUUUCGGUGAGAAGAGGGAAGAAAAUUUUUGAAAAGUGCAGAAACGAAGCCUCGUUUCUGCUAUAUCCGCGAACCGAUCCGAGCUCGGAUCGGUUCAUGAAGGCCUCGGAUCCGACAGGUCUCGGAUCAGUCUCAACAGAAACACAGGCGAUCCCUCGGAUCUAUCUGGGUUGAAAUGGAUCCGGGCUCGGAUCUAUAGAUCCGCGGUCGGAUCUUUCUGGGCUUCCUAGGAUCCGAGCUCGGAUCCGUGUUUCUCUGCAAUAAUUGCAGAAACUGCAAUUUUUCAAACUUUUUUUCCCUUUUUCGGCCAAUUCCAAUUCACCCAUUGGACAAACAUUUUAUCAAUUCUAACCUCCUACGCACAUGUAAUAUACCAUAAACACAAUAUCCAACCUCUCAAAACACAACAAACACAUUUACAUUGGAAAUCGAGGGGUGAGGUUCUUUGGUCAUUUUUGCACUUUUACACUAAAAUGGCAUUUUUUGGCCUUAAAUACAUAUCAAAUGAGUCCAUGAGCUUUUAUAACCAUGAUAUCACCAAAAUUCACUUGAAAUGCACAAUGCAUGUAUAUGCAUGGGAAUUUUAAGCACUUAAAACACAAUUUGGUAAGAAAAACUCCCUUAAACCACGUGUUCUUGAAUUGCACCUUCAAGAUGGAAGUUCCGACAUGUAACUAAUUUACCGUGUAUAAAAUAGAGGUGUAGAGUUGUAUAAUGCAUAAGAAUACUCAUAUAACCUACAUUUUUUUUGUAGUGUUUAAAAGAGUACUCAUAUAAAGUGAGAACUAAGAUACGCACGAUCGCGUUGUUCCACUCAUAUUCCUGAAAUUUUAGAAUAUAUACAAAAUGUCACAAACAAAAGUAUGUAAUCCAUAAGUUAGGUUAUUUAUACAAUAACAAUACAAGUAGCGUGCAAUCAAUGCUGCCCAAGUUUCCCAUGAGUACCACAUGUUGUUGGUUUGGGUAUUCUUUGGCUUCGACGUGGUUGGUUUGGCACUAUUGUAUGGACUUGAGUAAUAUGUGUCAACAGUGUAGCAUCUUGAAUUUCAGUGCUUGUGCCUUCACCUCCUUUACAUUGCUCAGAAACAUCGCGAUGUGAGUCCCUAUCGGGCGUAAACUCUGUGUAUGUCACAGGGAACCUGUGAUAAUGGCCAAUCGAUACACCUCCCUCAUGCAUGACUUCGAUCUGAGGUUUGACAAAAAUAGAUGCGCCAGUUUGGUCUUCAGUUGCCAUCGAACCUCCAUGGAAUCCAGUUUGUAUGGCGGGUUCUGGUGAUCGGAGUCUACGACGUCGCCCACCGCCAUGCUGACUUCCGUGGGUAUUUCUAGGAGCUCGCUGAACACGACAUGGAUCAGGGUAUAGUGGAAUCUCAUGUGGUAUAUGUGGAGGACGAAAUGCAAGUCGGCGGGACUCUCCUACAUGAUGCAAAGAUAUGGAUGCAAAGUCCCUCAACUCUUGAAAAUAUCCGCUGUGUUGUUCAUUACUAACUACAAGAGACUCCUGUGCCAUGAAAUACAUGCGAGACAUGACAUCGCUCUGGAAAAACAAAUAUAAGAAUUAGAAGGACAUACAGUGGUACAAAAUAGUUUAAAAGGUCAGCAAACUAUUUGUGAUUAUUAAAAGUGGGUUGGAAAUAAACUAUACAAGAUAUUGAGCCCUAGCGCUAUCACCCUGAAAGCCCUCAGGGAAAGCGGGAAAUCGACUCGGAUUUGAAAUAUAAAUCACCGUGCGCUCCCGAUACCACUGAACAUACUCAUCCGAUGGAUAUGUAGUAUCUUCAAUUACUGUGCCAUCCUGUACAUGCACACGUCGAUCAGUCCAAAUAUCAAUAUAUUGUCUAUGCGUGGUGCUCCAGUCUUGAUUCGCCCUACCACGACGAUCUAGAGAAUGUAGAGCUGCCUGAUUAUCCGUCAACCUCAUAUCAGGCAGGGACUGAUGAAACCCAAACUGCCGCAUAACCCGAUGAGGGAGGUGUGGCUCAACUACAUCCCAGCAAAUAAGAUACGUUACGGACCUCCAAAUGUCCUGACCUGCAGUACAAUACGCAGGAAGAGAAGCGAGAACGUCCUCCGAAUAUAGCUGCCAUAUGAACUGAAAAAAAUAUAAAAUGAAAGUUGUUUCAUUUUUUGUAUUAAGAAAUAAUAAAACUUCCGAAUGUUCAAUUCUAACAAAGGGAACCGAUCCGAGCUCGGAUCGAAACUGAAUGAGUACGAAUCCGGCAGGGUUCGGAUGUAGGCCUGCGGAAGCACAGACGAUCCCUCGGAUAUCUUAGAAGAAUUUUUGGAUCCGAGCUCGGAUCAAUGGAUCCGCGGUCGGAUCCGUCUGGGCACUUAGGAUCCGAGCUCGGAUCUGUAGUUGUCUGCACUAAUUGCAGAAAUUGAAAUUUACCAAACUUUUUUGAAAAUUUUCCAAAAAAUUCCAAAAAACGCUGGUGAAAACCGAUUUAUGAAAUCUAACCUCCCACGCACAUGUAAUAUAUCAAAAGUACAAUACCCAAUCUCUUAAAACACAUCAAACACAUCUACAUUGCAAAUCGAAGGGUGAGGUUCUUUGCUCAUUUUUUCAUUUUUACACAAAAAAAGCCACUUUUGGCCAUUACAUGCACAUCAUAUGCUAGUCAAUACCUCUUCAGCCCGCAGGCCUGUCAACUGAUCUCGAAAUGCGGGCACAACAUGCCUAAUAACUCUGUGUACGUCCAAGUCAUUAUUCCACCUAAAAAUAUAAAAAGUAGGAACCUGUUUAGAACAAUUUAAAGUUGGUUCGAUAUCAAAUGUCACGGAAACACCCGAAAUAAGGGCGAAACGACGCACCUAACUCCAUAUGGACCAGGGUAAUGCUCCAACAGCGCGAUUCGGUCUGGACGCAUGGUUGGUAUAUGUUCCCAAAUCCAGAGCUGUUAGAAAAUUAGAAUCAAUGUUAAAAUUGCAAAAUGAUAAAAUGCAAAAAAUCGAAGAUAAAUGUCCCUAUUGAGUGCAAUGUAUCCAUAGCAAAACUAAUGGACCGGCAAUAGCCGAUUUGGCAAGAUGCGUGGCAUCACAAAGUGACCGAUAGAGAGUCGCCAAACACGCACUACCCCAACUAUAUUGCCCAACUGUUUCCAAGUCCCGCAGUAAUGGAAGAUACAACAAAGGGACUUUGUUGCCGGACUUAUCGGACAAUAAAUGUCCACCUAAUAUCAGUAAGAGGUAGAUGCGCGCACGCUGCCUACAUUCCGCAUCUGAAACAUCGGGUGGCAACUCUGUAUCCAAGACUCUUGCUAAACAUCCCAACUUUAGUCUCUGUCCAUCAAAGUAUCCAACUGCAGGAGAAAAUCCAAGGAGCUCCUCACAAAUGGCUCCCCACUCUUGAAUGCUGCGGUAUGUGUCUGCCCCUAUAACCGGUGGACCAUCGAUGUGCAAUCCCCACAACACCUCUACAUCCUGUAAUGUCACGGUAGCCUCUCCAACAGGUAAAUGGAAUGUAUGCGUCUCGGGCCGCCAUCUCUCGACUAAACUUGUGAUCAAAGAAUGAUCAACCAUCUGAUAUCCACUCUCAAGCACCCCCUUAAAUCCAGCCAAGGCAAUAUAACGAAAAACCCGAUCAGGAAUAGGCGUAUGCUCCCAAAAUCCUCUGUCACACCGUCUGACAUCUAACUGAUUGCCCUCAAUAUGUCCGUGAAAAAUUGAAUGCGCCCAGUGUGCAGUUCCCCCCGAUAUAAUGUCGUGCACAUAUGGUCCUGGAUGUAGGCCUGCAGGGAUAGGAGUGUCGGCCAUAAUCCCAAGCAAAUAUCUACAUCAAUUAAAGAUCAUGAGUUAUGCAUAAGUAAAACCCUAAAAGUGGGCAGUAUCCAAUUUUGACCUAUAAAUCACGGGCACGGCUUUUUUUUAGCAAAUUUUGACCAUAGAACUAAGAUACAUCGAGUGAGAACUCCAUUUCUAUCAGUUAUUUUUUUUUAGAAACAUUUGUUAUCCCUCUAUGUAUUCAUAUACUGCAGUAAUGUAUUUGUAGUCAUAUUUUAAAACUUGGUUUGACAAAAAAUUUGGCAGAGUCUCCCCUAUAAAGCGGCCAUAACUCACUGCCAAUAGCUCCUCAAAAAUACUUUGGGGCUGCAGGUGUAAACUGAAAAUUCAAUACUUAUCAAAGUACAUAACGAGGGAUGCAUUUGACAAAUGAUCAAUGAAAGUCACUAAUGUAGUUAUUUAAAAUAAAUCCAGAAUCGAACACAAAUGAACUAGCUCGAACUCCACGUUCAAAAAAAUUGAACUGACAUGAAACUUAAAUUUCUAGGGAGUCGAUCAAAUCAAGGCCUAUAAUUCAGACAAUUUCUCCUAUUGUGACCCGUCUGAUGACAAUUUCGACAUCUUCUUGGUUCGUCUGGAUCCCUUUCAUCCAUCUCAUUCCGAAUUCUGCUAGCUCGAACCCGCCCUGCCCGACGUGUAACAAAUUUGCUCUUGUCUGCCUGCAGCUCCCACCCAGGAUAGAGCCAAGUAUCUUGAUGCGGCAAUGGGUUAAACAUGCCUGAAUACUGGACCGCCCACCUUGUUUUGGUAAACUGCUGGUCCACAAGCAAUCCCGAAUUGUCACCUCUAUUCCUGCACACCGCCAAAGCGUGUGAACAAGGAAGCCUGUAUAUCUGCCACUUUCCAUAAGAGCAUGUCUUAUAAAAAAACCUGAUGGUUUGCGUAUUGCCUCCUUUACCAUCGACACGAGGCCCUGUGAUAACCUUAUAUAUGCCCGAUGGGCCAUCGAACUCAAUGACUCUGUGGGCGCCUGCCUUCCACUCAGCAUUUUUAAAACGCCGCCAUAUCUUUGGGGGAAAAGGAUUGCGACAAUGUGAAGCAUCUUCCCUUCUCGUCUUAAAUAACGCAACUGUCCGAUGAAAUGUCAUGUCAAUGCAUACACGAAUUGGCAAAUGCCGUGCCCCGCGCAAGACAUUAUUAUAGCUUUCGGAUAUGUUGGUAGUUAGAAUACCCCAACGACGGUCAUCGUCGUGUGUUAGGCACCACUUUUCUGGACUAAUGGUUGACAGAUAAUUCCAAACAUCUGGGAACAUGCUGCGUAGUUCUCUUCUGAACAUCCGCCACUUGCAUAAUUGUCUUGCCCUUCCCAUUGCCCAACACAACUUGCGAAGGUGUAAACCUUUGAAGUGUGUCAUCAAAUUGCUCCUAACAUGUCGCAGGCAAAAUCUAUGGUAGGCUAAAGGUUCCUCCCAAUAAUCAAAAUGUGUCAUGGUAUAGAUGAUACCAUUGUGGCGAUCGAAAAUGACACAGAUAGGAUGUCGAUCAAGUGCCACAUUAUAUCUUAAUUGUUCCAUAAACCACGACCAACUGGAAAUCGUCUCCUCAUCAACUAUGGCAUAAGCAAUUGGCAGAAUCUGGUUGUUCGCAUCUUGCGUGACUGCAACAAGGAGUUUGCCCUUGUAUUCGCCACGCAAAUGAGUGCCAUCAACGCAUAUAACCGGCCUGCACAUGUGGAAUGCUUCAAUAGCCGGUCCAAAUGCUCAGAAUAUAUACUUAAAGGUCUUAACUCGAUCCGAACUAUCCGAAUGAUGCGACCACUCCACCACGGUGCCUGGAUUGGAUUGCACCAGGGCAUCGAGAUACUGUGGUAGUUCGGCAAAAUUCGCUUCCCAAGAUCCAAACACAAGCUCAAUUGCUUUACGUCUGGCAUACCAGGCUUUUUUGUAAGACACAUCAACCUUCAAGUUUUCUUUAACGGAACUUAGUAUGUUCUUGACCUUUAAUCCAGGGUCAUCUUCAAUGCUACGGAGGAUGUGCCUUGAAAUAACGGAAGCCGUUAGGCUUGUAUUGUUAUUUCUAAUCAUGUCGCCCAAGCAGUUAUGGUCAUUGACCCACUUUGUAAUUUACCAUAUUUCAUGAGUCUUUUUCUUUACGGCUCUAACACACCAGUCGCAUGGUGGAUACGAUGGCGCGGUUGAAGUGGAAGGAGUUCUUUCAAUUGAUGACUUGCAUUUAGCAAACCACGUGUUACUCUUACUCUCAAUAACUCUGAACUCCCUAUUGUGAUUGAUGGACCACAUCCUAACUGAUCGGCUGAGCUGCUGCUUACUCUCAAAUCUCAUAUGAAGACGUAUAUUAUUAUUCUCCUCACUGAAUGUUACAAUACGCUCCAAUCCAUCCUCCUCUUCUAUAUCAUCAUCAUCUAUGUUCCCAAGAUCGGAGAAAAAUGCCAUUCCUCUUGGCACAUAUGCAGAGCUGUCAGCUGUGCGAUUUGCGUCUGUCCAAGUGGAACAUAUCGAGGUUUUCUCUUAAACCCCCACCUUCAUGCUUAUCAUCCGAGUCACUACCAGACACAUCUUGCGACUCCGACUCUUCAACCUCUUCUGCAUCAACUUCCGGGUCAUCUUCUUCCAGAUCAUCUUCAAGAGGGCCAAGGAGCCUAUCAUGUAUACUAGCAUAUACAUCAUCUUCAGCUGAACUGCGACAACCUUGCCAAGGGUUAGACUCGAUCCCAUUUGGAGAAAUAUGGCAUGAUGGACCUGGAUCUCCAAAACUUGGAAUCGAAUCCAGGCCAUGAAAAUAUUCCUGGGCACCCAUGGACCCUGAUGUGAGCCUUGGUUCUAAUGAAUCCAUAGAUCGAUCAUCAUGCAUAUAGUGACAUGCCGAUGAAGUCUCUGGAACGACUGAACUAGAACCGAAGUUAAACUUUGUUGGAUCCAUGAAUGCAUGUACAAGCGACAUCAUUGGACCAACAUUACCUAUUGAUCCAGUGAAUACGCUAUUAACUACAGGCAUUUGGACGAUUUCUUUCUUCUCGAUAUAAAUCUCCGCCAUGUAUGAAACGCUUUCGAUCCAAAGAUCGUACAUUACAUCAAAAGUUUCAUCAUCCACCACUGCGGAAACAGUAUAUUUGGAACUCUCCAACGGUUGACGAAGAAACAAUUUCAGCUUGAACAUCCCUUUAUCGACCCCAAUAUAGUGGUAAAUCCUGUCAACCAACUCCCCGUAUCCAAUUCUAUGCCUCAAAGUGAAUGUCCGGUUGGAAGUACGAGGCAAAUAACAAACAAAGUCACCCUCGUAAUGUAUUUGUCCUCCCCAGUAUAGGUUUACCAGCAGAGGUCUUUCUACAGACAUGUCUGUAAAAUAAAUCCCUAUUUUGGGGACAAUAUAUUAGAAUUAGUAGUCCAAGGGUCCAAACAAAUGAAAGAGGAUGGACUGUAGGCCGAAAUUGGAACUAUUAUAGAGACUAAUUUCGAUCCAAAUGUUUAUGAAAAAAUUGAAAACAGGUAUGAAAUAUACUAUAAAUAACGAUAGCAAUAGCCUAAAACUCCGAACGCAAUUUUUAGAAAAUUUGGACAGAGUCUCCCCUAAAAUUAGACUAAAACUCCCUGCCAACCAAUCCAAAAAAGGAACCCGAUGAAGUAGUAAUCACAUUUGCCACACUACAUAUUGUCAAGAGACCCUAUAAUUUUCAAAGUACAAGCGUAAGAAAUGUAUUUAGAAGUUAUAUAUAUUUGGGCUCCACAUUCACACCGCAUAACAAGAUCCACAUUCACAAUGAUGUGAUAUUCUACCUAUGAAUCUUACAAAAUUAAUGUUGUUUUUCCCUGUAGCAGAUUUUGCCACUUUUGUAGCAUUAUAGAUUUUGCCAACUACAAAAAAUAAAUCCGUCAAUUGACUUUCAAGGUUGGUCAUUGACUUUCAAUCCAUCAAUUAGCCUUAAAAUAAAUCCGUAUUUCAUAUUCUAACGCCCUUUUCUAUAAAAAAAAAAUUUAACAAACUAUACUAUUUCAACUUGUCGGCAAACAUUCAAUAGUUGUAAUAUAACAUAAAUUAGUUAAUGGCUUGUAUCAAAUCCGAAUUAAGCUUUAUGCAUAAGAAACGGUAGUUGUAAUAUAAAAUAAAUAACCUAAUAGUGAGUUACCCUCACAAAGAAAGAUCUACAAAAAUUUCGACAUAGUCUCCCCUAUAAAUGGCCUCAAACUCCCUGUCAAACAAUUCAAAUAUCCAUGAAAUUCAAAAGCUCCAAUCUAUAAACUACAUAAUGUCAAUAAAGUCUCAAAGCUCCAAUUGCAAAACAUACAAUAUCCAAUGUACAUAGUGUUUCGACCAAAAGUAAUAGGGUCGAUAAAUAGAUUUUUAAAAAAAAAUCUGAUGAAUUUUAAAAGAAUUCUACAAAUGGGGCAUUUUGAGCAUGGGAUUACAUCCAAAGGGUCUUCGCAUUCAGCAAAUGCGAACUCACGGAGUUCGAAUUUUCACACGACGAAAUCCACAAAAAAUUUUAACAAAAAAUAAAACCACACCUCGCAUUUAUCAUUAUGAAAUGCGAAGAUCCGAGCUCGGAUUAUUUAUGGCAUCCCUCGGAUCCAACAGGGUUCGGAUCCUUCUCAACAGAUGAUCAGACGAGCCCUCGGAUCUGAGUUAACAACUAUGGAUCCGACCUCGUAUCAUAAGGAUCCGAGGUCGGAUCCUUCUGCCUUUAGUCGUAUCUGAGCUCGAAUCAUGCUUUUUCUGCACUAAUUGCAGAAACUGCAAAUAAACUGCAACAAAUUGGAAACAGAAAAAUUGCCCGAAUUCGAAAAAUAUAACGUAUUUCCUCAAAUUCACCACAAAAAUUGCAAAAAUAAGCACAACCCACAUCACAUUUACACCCAAAUUUCACAACAAAUCUGAACCUGCCCUUGGAUGAAAGUAUUCAAGUAUUCAUUAAACUUAAAAUGCUAUAUGUGAGCCAUUGCAAGUGCAAAAGCCUAACCUUUAUGCUGUUUGACAGUAGCAAUGGGACGGCAAUGCUGGCAAAUUUUGGGAAGCGGCAAACGCGAAACCAGUCUUUGGAUGCUCCGGUCUGCUCCGGUCUUUGGAUGCUUCGAUGUGCAGAAACCAGCUCUGUUUUCUUUGUUUUGCUAUUCAACAAUUCCGAAUUCUUUGUUUUGCUGUUCGACAGCUAUUCAACCAGCUCUUUCUUUGUUCUGCUUCUCCCACUCACUUUUGUCUUUUUUUUUUCGAAAUGGGGUCUUGGCGCUGGAUAGUGCGAGCUCGAUGAGCUCGCAUUCUGAAAAUGCGAGCUCAAUGUGCGAGCUCAUUGAGCUCGCAUUUUCAAAAUGCGAAGACCCCCAUUUGUAGAAACAACUCCAAAAAUCGUCCUCGUUGUAGAAUUCUUUUUUUUUUCCAUCACAAACUAAGAAUUCACCCAAAAAAAAUACAAACUCAGGACAAAAUUCCUAAAACCCCAAAACAAGAAAGAGACAAAACAAGAGAGUACUCAAUAUAUCACAAAAGGGAAGAUUUCCCAAAUGAGCUCUCGUCUCUUACCAAGCCUCUGCAAAUGCCUCGAUUUAUAGACAAUUCCAGCAGCAUUUUGUACAGCCGGAUGAGAAACAAAAAUUCCGUGAAGUCUGACUAACAUAUGCAUAACGUGGUCAAGUAUUAAAUAAUUGGCCUACUCCAUGAAAAUGGCUUCAUAGGCCAUGUAUCUUGACCAAGAAAGAACGUAUGCAUGGUAGAGCGAUGAGUAGAAUGGCGAUGAUACCAAAGAAAGAAUGCUGGAGGAUGGAAAGGCAUUAAUUGUUAACACAGAUACAUGGUAUCUUUUUCAAUCUAGUAUGUCUAGUUCCCAUGAUUGCUUCAAUUUCAAUUGGUUUAUUUCAUUUUCGUCAGUCUCAGUUAUGCUGAGGCAUAUCUUUUCUUACUGGACAAUGGGACGAGCCAUGUUGACUGAGAUGUACAGCCGGUAAUAUUCCAAGGAUUUUACUCUGAGCUUUUUUCCUCUAUAUCAGUGUUUGCGACCUUUUAUUUUUGACCCUGUGUUUAGUCCGGUUCACCAGGUGCGCCUUUACAGCACUGAAUGUUUGUGUUGCUUGAACUUUUAAUCUACUUGAAUCAAUAGGGAUAAAAACAUAUAUGUAUGAUGUGACUCACAUUUUACUUGAUCAUGCUAGAGGAGCAUUGUAGAGGAGGGGCUAACUAUAAGGUGUCAUUUGAUUUAGCUGCAUUCCUUGACGAACAUCAUCCCUCUACCAAAUAGACAGUAACAUUUGAAAUGGAAGUAUGCCUCGCUAUUUUGUCCUGCUUUAUCUUGGGCAUAAACUGCAUCAUGAAAUCAUUUUCUAUCUCAACAACGCCUAAAACUUUUUCUUAACUGGGUGAAUUUGUGGUAGUUUGUGGUAAUUAAGGGCUUUUCAAUUAAUCUUGUGUUUACUCUUCCACUUUCUUGUUCAAGAACUUCUGCCACCUAUAAUACUAUCAAUUUUGCUCGCAUUAAUUGGAUUAUCUUGAUUAUGUCAGAUCCUGAAAGCGGUUAGGAAGGAAGUUUUGAAGGGUUGCAAGGUUGUCUUUAAGUCUCAGAGUGAAGAUCAUGAACUAAGCAGUUGGGAGCUACAUGCUCAACAGAACUUGACUCGUCAGUGACGCAUGGUGGUCUCUUCAGAUGGUGGAGCAGAGAAAUCUCGUUGGGCAGCGCUGGAGAAAAAAAUUUAUAGUCCGUUCAGAUUGGAUUAAUGCUGCAUACUAUCUCUGGAAAAAGCAACCCGAAGAAAAGUAUGCUGUUACAGUUCAUUUGGACAGAAGGAAAAGGGAAAAAAAGGAAAUACAUGGAGAGAAAAAUGGAAGUUCUCUUCCAUUCAGAGUUUUAAAUGGGGGAGAACAGAAAGAGAAUGGCAGAAAUGGAAGUUCUCUCUCUUCUGCUUUAUUGCUUUUAUGUGGGAAGAAAUGGAGAGAAAGAGUGACAGAUCAUCAAACGUUUUGGAUUACAGUCUUUAGCCAUCAAAUAAAAAAUCAAGAUUCUUGAGAUUGAAAGGUAAUCCUACCAUUUCAUAUUUUUUUCUCCUUCAUGUUUUUUUUUCCCUUCCUGUAGGAAGUCAAAAUUUACUUUUGUUGUCAAAUCUAAAACAGAUUUGCAAGCCUUUAAAUGGAGUAACAGGAUCUUCGAAGGCCACUCCUGUUGGAUAUCUAAAAUUGCUGCUCUUUUUUUUUCUUCUCUUUUUAGUUGGAUUCGAUAGUGAAUAAGAAUGAGAAAUACACCAGAAAACUACAGCAUAAGAAUUUUUAUACAUGCUGCAUGGCGAGGGCGAUAGUACAAUAGUCAAUAGGGUUAAUGAGUACUAUCCAUGCUAUAACUUAAAAUUCUUUAAUUAUUUUUUGAUUAUUUUUUUUAACUCACAUACGGCACACAAUAAUAAAUAGUGGUAUAGUUUACCAUAUAGUUGUCAAUUCAAACAUAAACCAUGGUUUAUCCGGAAGCAUGAAAGGAUAUCCCAAAUAUUUAGUAGUCCAUGUCAUUCCUUUAGGCUCUACUCAAAAAUACCAAUUUAUCAGCAUUAAGAUUUAUGAGGAAAGACCAGGAAGUAAAAUAGUAAAAACCAGCUUCAAGAUAUUAACUAGGUAAGAUUCUCAUGCUUGAGUGGUCAACAGAAAGCCAUGUAGAACCAAAAUGGAUAAAUUUAAAAAAAAAACACAAAAUGGAUACAUUAAAAGAUGAAAUAGAUGAAUAACAUGAUUGUGAACUGAAAGGAUCAGUUUCAAGAAUAACAUGUUUGCCUGCACACUUUCAUUUCCAAUAUUAGGUGCAAAGCUAAUUUUGUUAAGAGAAACCAAAAAUACCACAUAUAUACCGGAUGACAAUAGUAAUAUAAGAACCAAUCUUAUAGUGACAAAAAGUUAUGGAAGUUAAAGAAUUAUUUGAAGCUUUUAAUGUUUGUUUUAAAAUCUUGAUUAUGUAAGGGUAAACAUGAAAAUACAUACACUGUCAAAAAAGAGAAAGGACAAUUUAUUUAACACUAGAUGCCAAGGCUCUUGCUUUACAUAUAGGAAGAAAUAGCAGAAGUAGAAAGUAUUAUCAUAGAAAUUGAAUUCCUAGUUAGCUACUGAAAUCCAUGCCUAUUGAUCAUACUGGAAUCAGUUGAAACUAAUUACAUACUUAGGCCGUUUGUCUGGGAAAAAGAGGCCGAAAUGUCUUUCUGUCUCUGCUCCAGGCUUCUGGUUUUCAUCAAACAUGGCAAACAUAUAAGUUUCUAUACCUCUUCCAGGCCUUCUUGGAGUCCCUCUUCCACUCUUAACAUGGCUAAUCACAUUCCUAUAGUAAGUGCCUGCAUUUCCAGAUGAUGCAGCAGGAGGAUGCCCAUCCGAUGGCCAGCCAGUUAAUUUCCGACACAACAAUGUUUACAUUAGAACCGCUUGAAAAAAUGAAGGGUUUACAAAAAUGUUUACAAAAAAAAUGAAGGGUUUAGCCUCGUUUGAAAAUGAUCCUUCUGAGGGAGGAUAAGAAACGCUUAACAGAUUUCCAGCUAUUGAUGUUGAAACCUUGAUUUGGUUCUGAAGCCCCGCCGAUGCUAAUGCACUUUGUAUCCUUUUCAUGGCUGAACCGACAUAUCGAGCGAUGCUAGAACUUAAUGAUACUUCAUUUCCAACUGCUAUGUAUCUGAACUUCACAGCUGGUGAGUAAUUUAGUAAUUUUUGAUGUUGUUUUGAACCCAAUUUACAGCUGCCGAAGGAUUGGUCGCAAUGGAUUUUACGUCCUCAUUUGCAACGCCAAUUAAAAGUUCAAUAUCAGUUCCCCUUAGACUUAGAGCAUUGAGAACUUCAGCAACUGGUGCAAAAAUUCUCAUUUUUUUGAUGCCAUAUUGAUUGUAAAGAUUUACAACAUCUUCUUUAGAUGGGAGAUUGUUGCCAUUGAGCCCAUAGCAGACACCUAUAGAUUGUACCCCUGCAAUGAAAAAGAUGCCGAGUUGCUGUUAAAUUCAUUUUAGGAGUUCCAAGUGGAAGUAUACAGUGUAGGAAAGAUGAUCAGCAUCUAAAGAUUUUCAUAAUUACAAAAUAGUACUCCCUCCGUCCCAUUGUUAAUGUCAUAUUUCCACUUUUUACUUGUCCCAAAAUUUGAGUCACUUUAAAAAAGUCAAACUACUUUUAAAAUUACUUUCCAAUUAUACCCUUCUAUUGAAAAGUCAAAAUUGCACUAAACAAUUAUGAUGGGCCCUGCCAUAACACAUUUAGCUCCUUGCGUUUCUUUUUAUUUCCGUUACUUUUCUUGGACUUCAAAUCUUUGUUAUUUCUUUUUUCUUCUUUUUCCUUGCUUUUUUUUUGUGUUUUUCAUUUCCAUUUCUUUUCUUGCACUUCAAAUCUUUGUUUUUUUUUUCCUUUUUUCUUUUUUUUCCUUGUUUUUCAUUUUUUUCUUUUCUUUACUCUUUUCAAGCUACACAAGUGUUUGCAGAUGCAAUGAAAGUUUCGUUUCUUGUCUUUCUAUCUUUUUUUUUUUAACAAAAGAACAAAUUUCUUACAAUAAUACAAAUCAAGUUUUUUUUUUGGAUAAACAAAUAAAGAAUGCUAGAUGCAUUCCUUACCCUUUUGUUUAUCACUAUUUAAUUUUUUUAAUGUAAAGGUGAAAAAAGAAAAGGUAAAAUUUGUCCUAUAACUUGUGUUCUUGCUCUUAAAUUUGCCUCUAGUAUCAAACUAACAAAUAAAUAGAGUGAAAAAAAUAUCAAAGAAAAAAUAAAAUGAUCAACUAGUGCGUAUUACGUUGAAAUCCUAAACAUCCAAGCAAGGCAUUAAUUUGAAAGCACCAAGACUAAAAUAACAUUUACUGCUCAUUGCUUCCAAGAGUUCAUGGUUGUCUAUACAAAUCAACAAAAUACAAAAUCUAUGCCCCUAAAAUAGAUUCGAGUGACAACCAAAUCUUAUAAGCAACCCUCAAAAAUAACUUAGGACCAAAAGUCAAGCCCCCUGUUUUGCCCAAAAGCAUUAGUAGCAAAGUCGUACAAAAGCCAAGUCGUACAAAAGCAUUAGUACCAAAAGUCUAGCAAAAGUCAAGUCCCCUGUUUUGUACAAAAGCAUUAGUAGCAAAAGUCUAGCAAAAGUCAAGUCUCCUGUUUUGUACAAAAGCAUUAAUAGCAAAAGUCAAGUCCCUUGUUCUGCACAAAAAGCGUUAGCAUAAUCCAAGUCCAGAAACUUGAUCCAUGACUUGAUAUACCUUCCGAACAAAAUAGAGAAAAAGAAAUCAAUCAUAAGUUAGAUAGCAUUAUCACUACCUUUAUCAUAAUUUAGAAGUUAGCAAAGUUUAAAUAAUAUGGAAAUUCUAACCAAUACCAGUACAUUCAUGCUUGUAGAUAAUGGAUGAUUUUGUCAAUAAGCUCCUUAUCACAUCCAAUUUGCAAAGGAAGAUUUCCAUCUCUUAUCAACCGUUGCUUCCCAAUAUGUGGAACUUUGUAAUUAUUCCCUCCACAAUUCUUCAUCACCUCAAGCAUACAUAGUUGUAAGGUUAAGAACACAUUGUUGAGACUUUCAGAUGAUAAUUCAUCGAAAGACUUUUCAACAGCAGAAAUUAGUUCGUCAAUAGAGUUAGGUGCUUCUUGAUGCUGGAGUGAUUGAAUGGCUCUAAAAUACCCAAGAUCAAGAACAUUCAUAUCAGGGCUAUUAGGUGGUUGAAAUGAUAAACGAAUAUCAAAACCUUCUCUUGUGGCAGCUUCUAUGAACUCAACAUCCAUUGGAUCAAUAUGUGGUUUUGCAUUAUCUUGUUGGAUGAAGAUAGGGCUGAUAACAUCACUUUGUGGCCAUUUAGCACGAAUUGCAGGCAAAACAUUAUCAAUUAAGCACCUUCUAUACACUUCCUUGGUCACUGAUAGGAUAGACUUUGUUUCUAGAGUACCAGCAACACGAUUUUUGCUAUUCCUUUUAGCUGGUUCUUUGAAGGCAAAAGGAAAUAUUCCAAUUUUCCCAUCAAAGUGCUUGUUUCUAGAACAAUCAAAGCGAGGUCGAGCAACUGCAGCUAGAAACAUAACCUUAACAAUAAACUUUUUACUCCUACAAGUCCUCAUAGGGUGUUCUUCUUCAGGAUGUAGGUAGUAUUUCUCAGACUCCUUAGUCAUGUAGAACCACUUUUCAUCGAUAUGAACCAUAUUGCACAUGUUUUCGAAAACAGGUGCAUCAUUAAGACUCUCUUGUUGAAGCAUUGACAAACAAAAUUUGAGUCUUACCAAUUUAUUGUCAUCAGUAAGGUGAGGCUUUAAUGCAUUUGAAUGUGCUUUGAUAACACCUUCUUUUAUUCGUCGAUGAAGAGUGGACUUGGCAACUUUCAUUUUGGUUGAUAGAGAACGAAUAUUUGUUCGACACCGUAGAGGUAUUUCCAUGAUAGUGCUGAAGUCUAUCUCUACCCUUUUGCGUCCUGCCCUCUUAGGAAACCUGCGAGAGAUGUCAACCGAGCCUCCAUUAAUGAUUGAAGACUUUGCUCUUUCCCAAAUUCUUUGUACUGUCCUCGUGCUGAUUUUGAACUGUGUUGCAAUAACUUUGGUUAAUCCUCUUUCUAGUUGUCCACCAUAACUAUAUUGCAAUAAUGCUUCAAAUAUGGCUUGCCUUUGCUGAUUUGUCAACUUUUUCCUAGAGAUUUCAUAAUUUUGAAAACUAUGAUUAUCCAUGUUCAUUGGGGAAUAUUAUCAAACAGAAUUUGUGCAAUAGACGAAUCUCUCUAUAAUCUCAUUAUAUAGAGAAUAAAGGCAUCAGAAUUAUCAGCUUCCAAAAUCUAUUUAUAAGAAACGUGAGAAACAAAAAGCUUAAAAAAAUGCAUCUACAAAUUUUCAAUGAACCGCCAAAUUUCAAGAAAAAAAGGGAAAAACAACAAAUGGCGCCAAAUAAAAGAUUAGCUAAAUUAUGCUAAGUCUCAAGAUUAUCUACUUCAAAUUGAUCAAAAGAUCAUAAAACAAAAUGAAAAUAAAAAAAAAGCACCAACAAAGUGAUAGACGGAAUUGUAGAAAUCUUACCUUUUUCCAUUGUCAAUCUUCUGUAACUGAUCUUGUUGAUUUUAUGAAACCCAAGCAUACAGAGGAAUAGCUAGAGUUGGAAACGGAUGUUUGCUUUACUUUAACUUGUCUUUGCCUUUUAGUCAAAUGUCUUAAUGGCAAGUGGUCCCCAACACCCAACAGCUUGUUAUUUUACUCCACGGACAACAAAGGGCACGAUUGGAAUAAUCAGAUAAGUGUGUCCCAUUAUGCUACUGUACAUAAAAAGUGUGUUUCCCAAAAAGCGACCCAAAUUUUGGGACGGAGGGAGUACAAAAAUUAAGAUAUACCUUGUGCCAUCGAGUACGUUUGAGCUUGAUGGAUGAUCUUGAUCUUCCCUCAAACUCUCUCAAAUGCCUGUUCUAUUAAUGAGAUAUCACACAAAUUUAGAUGAAUGUCAAGAGGUACCAAGAGUUCGUUUAAAGAUGUAGAAGUGUCCAUUCGCAUUAUUAAUCAACUUCAUUAAUUAUUUCUUUUCGAUAGGAUGAAUCUUAGCAUGAAUCACAUUUUUUGAGAACGUAUAUACAUAGUACAAAUGUAUAUACAUAAUUUAUAUAAAAUUUCAUCUAUGCAAAGAUAAGUUUAAUUGAUCACUUUAUGAGAUUCAUGAAUCCUUGUAAUCCAUUAAUUAGCUAAUUACAUGAGUUUUGGUCCUUUAGGAUUACAGCCUUUACCAAUCAAAGAAAAGAUUCAAGAAUCUUGAUUUUGAAGGCAAACGUGUAAAUUCAGCAUUAUGCAUGGCCGCUAGGGUCACUAUUAGCUACUCCCAAGAUCAAUAAACUUUUACUAUCAUUCCUCUUAAAUCUUCUCUUUGGAUGCUUCCUUGGAAAUUUUGUGAAAGGAAAAAAUCUUUUCCGAAAGAUAAAAUCCACCUUUGGAAGUUUUAAAGAGAAUGCAAUAUCAUUGGAAAUUUUCCACGUUAAGUGAAGGUUUCACUUUUCAAAUAGGUAGAUAUCUAUUACUUAGAAAGAAUAUCUUACCAUUUCAUAUUUUUUUCUUCUUCGCUUUUUUUUUUUUUUUUUUUUUUUUUUUUUUGACCGGGGGGGGGGGGGGGAAGGGGGUCAAAGUUUCUUGAUUUUCUUCUCUUGGCAAGUUAGGAUGAAUGCAAUAUAAUUUAACAAAAGAAAGAGUAACUCAAAAUUUACUUUCUCUUGAAAAUGAAACUUUAAAAUAGAAUUUCUUGGAAUUCAAAGGAGUACAAUAGGAAUUCCAAAAGCCACUACCUUUUGGAUAUCUGGAAAUGCUGUUCGUGUAUGGACAAGAUAAUAUAAGAAAGUGAAAUUGCCCAGAUGAAAGUCUGAAUAUAAUAUCGAAACACCCAUCUUCUUGCAUGAAAAUGAAACAAAGGAAAAAACGAAACAGACGCACGCUUCAGUCGUAUAAAAAGUUUCUUGAGCUAUUCUUUCGUUUCUAGGAGGUACAACCAUUUAGUUGCAAACAAAACAUGCUAUACUUUAGCCAAAAAUGUUAAAUCAAUAGAGAAUUUAAAUCAUUGUAAACUUAUAUAGAGCAUAUAGUAAUUUUUGUGCUUGACACAAUAUCAAAAGCUUUGUGAUUCCCAUGUUCUAGGUAUUAUAGACAUAUUUUCUAUCUAUUUAAACUGGACUUUAAUUUGAUACAGAUAUUAAUUUUGAAACUUGAAUAUUUGUUGACAAUUCAAUAAGCUUUUUAGGUUAAACCAUUAAAUAUGUUUCAGUUCGAUAGACGAGACAACAACUAUUAGUAUGUGCUUUUUUGAAGACAGAAGUACAUAUUAUGUUCAACUAGCAAUCCUGUAAUUUUUUCAGCAAUUUCAAUCAAGGGUUUUUCAUGCCAAAAGUUCCAAUGAAGUUUUUAACAGUCGCUAAUUACUAAGACAAAUAAGAUCAGUUGUCUCAUUUACUCAAGAAAAGCUUCCUGUGGCAAUAUCUAGUUUAAGAUAAGUGGGAGACGCAAACACUACUGCACAAAAAUAAUAUUCCCCAUGCUGCAUCCUGGAGGGAGGUGGCAUGAUAAUGGUGCUAAUCCGUGUUAUCCCAUGUUAUAUUUUUUGCAACGUAUAUUCUCAACAUGUUUUAUCUUUUCAACCACCAUUUUAUAUAAGGGAUAAUUGCAGAAACCUCCCCUGAGAUUUCUGACAUUUGCCCUGACCUCCCCUCUAGGUUUAGAAAUUGCAUUCACCUCCCCUGAACAGUAACAAUUUGUUGCAGAAACCUCUUUGACAGCUUUUGUAGAAGUGAGAUAAGAAUUUUCUUCCAAUUUUGCCCUUACUUGCUUGACAAUUAUUAUUUGCUUGACAAUUGCUUAACUAAUUAUCUAAUUAGUUAAUAGUUAAACUAAUUAGCUAUUAACUAAUUAUCUAAUUAACUAAUUAUCUAAUUAAUUAAUUAACUAAUUAUCUAAUUAACUAAUUAACUAAAACUGUUGUCUGUCCGAAACUAACAAACUAUUUGCAUGUUAAACUAAUUAACUAAUUAACUAACUACCUAAUUAACAAACUAUUUGCCUGUUAAACUAUAUGCAGUACGCAUUACCUAUUUAAAGUAUCGGCUCUUUAUAAGUAUUUUACUUUCAAACAUUUAAUUUAUGAUAAAAAUAUCAAUGUUUGUAAGUAAAAUUCAAAAAGUGUUACAGUAAUAUUCUUACAAAAAGGAAGGGGCAUAGGGCCAUAAAUUAAAUGUUUUAAAGUAAGAAUAUUGAUAUUACUGUAACACUUUUUGAAUUUUACUUACAAACAUUGAUGUUUUUAUCAUAAAUUAAAUGUUUGAAAGUAAAAUACCCAUAAAGAGCCGAUACUUUAAAUAGAUAAUGCGUACUGCAUAUAGUUUAACAUGCAAAUAGUUUGUUAAUUAGAUAGUUAGUUAAUUAGUUUAACAUGCAAAUAGUUUGUUAGUUUCGGACAGACAACAGCUUUAGUUAAUUAGUUAAUUAGAUAAUUAGUUAAUUAGAUAAACAGAAAUUAAUUAAUUAGUUAAUUAAUUAAUUAGAUAAUUAGUUAGUUAAUUAGUUAAGCAGUUAAUUAGUUAAUUAGUUUAACAUGCAAAUAGUUUGUUAGUUUCGGAUAGACAACAGCUUUAGUUAAUUAGUUAAUUAGUUAAGCAGUUAAUAAGUUAAUUAGUUUAACAUGCAAAUAGUUUGUUAGUUUCGGAUAGACAACAACUUUAGUUAAUUAGAUAAUUAGUUAAUUAGUUAAUUAGAUAAACAAAAAUUAGUUAAUUAGUUAAUUAAUUAAUUUGAUAAUUAGGUAGUUAAUUAGUUAAGCAGUUAAUUAGUUUAACAUGCAAAUAGUUUGUUAGUUUCUAACAGACAACAACUUUAGUUAAUUAGAUAAUUAGUUAAUUAGAUAAAUAGAAAUUAGUUAAUUAGUUAAUUAAUUAAUUAGAUAAUUAGUUAAUUAGUUAAUUAGUUUAACUAUGCAGAAAUAGUUUGAUUAGUUAAUAACUAUUAACAAUUAUAUAAUUAGUUAAUUAGUUAAUAGUUAAUUAGAUAAUUAGUUAUUAAUUAAUUAGAUUAUUACUUAUUUAGUUAUUUAGUUAAUUAAUUAAUUAGUUAAACUAUGCAGAAAUAGUUAAUUUAGUGUAAUUUUUAUUAACAAAUGUUUUGUUGGGUUUGAUGAAAGUACUCAUCACAUUCAUUUGGUAAAAUUAAAUCAUGUCAGGGGUACUUUAGUAAAUUGAUCCACUUUUGCCUAUUAAAUUGCCUCCAACUUUUGAUAGGGGAGGUCAGUGCUAUUUCAAAAUUGAUAGGGGAGGUCAAUGCUAUUACUAUAAAAGUCAGGGGAAGUUUCUGCAACUAUCCCUUUAUAUAAAUAUUAUAUCACAUCACAAUACAUGUUACAAUGAAUAAUAAGCUUUCAAUCCACGAACACCCAAAAUAAUCAUAGUGGGGGAAGAGCUAGGUCUAAGUAUGGUCAAUUGACCCCACUAAAUUUUGAAAAAACUCCAUGUAGAAUAGUGGUUUAAAAGGUGACGGGAUCAAGUAGAGCAUUUUUUUUUUAUCCAUUGAGAUGAGGUGUAUGUAAAUCUUAGGCUUGGGGCAUAAGCCCCAUAAGACUUUAUUUUUUAUAUUAAAAAAUAUAUAAAAUAUUUGAGAAAUAAUAACUAUAACACAACUGAAUGCAAAACAGUUAGCAAUUUCAAGUGUUUAACAGGUCAAGUUCCUAUUUGUGACCAAUUUCUCUUUUUUUUCGAAUUUGAAAUUUGAGAGAAAGAUAAUGAAAAUCUAACUAUAUACAAUUUUAGUCCAAUUCGAUGGUUGAUGCAUUGGCCUCUUUGGGUGGUGAUCCAAAAAUUACUUUUCAUCAUAGUUCUAAUCUUCCCCAACAUCUUUGUGGUCAAGGGAGGGUCCUUAAAAUUCUCCUGACUACCAAAUUCAGAGUUCAAAUGCUAGAUCUUGAAGUUGGGAGUAGAAAGGGCGUGGGAAGGGAUUUUUUCUGUUCUUUCUUUUUGCUUCUUUUUGUCCUUUUAAUCAAAGAUGUUCAACAAAAUUAAGUGUUAGGAAUAAAGACCGUCAAAAAUCAGUUACGUAAUCAUAUAAGGGAUCAAUGGAUGAAUGAUCUUCUGGUUACUUAUAUUACAAUAGAUAUCACUAACAAAAUAUGCCUUGAAUUGAUUUUACAACGUUUGAGUUGAUUUUGUAACCUUUUCAGAAGAUGAGUAUUCGUGAAAGACAAUUAUAAUAUGUAUGUAACAUUAUAAUCUUUAUUCAUAGAAAUUCUAUUGCAUUAAAGUUCGACCCUACUUACUGUAAGGUCUUUGCUUCGCCACUCAUAGACACUGAUUUCCUUAUUAGGCAACUAAGAUCCAAUCUAUGCCAUACUCACGACAAAGACCAAGAGGAUAUAUAUCUUUCUUGAUCCAUGCUCUUGAGAUAAACUCUUAUUACAAUAACAAAAAAAAAAAAAAGCAUCGCUGUGGAGCUUUUAUUGCUAUAUAACUUUUAUAUCUCUUCUCAAUUUCCUCAUCAAGAAGUAGUAUAUACAUCAUAUGACAAGUACAGGAAAAGCUCUUCAGACGAUGUUUAUUCUGGUACACGUUUGACCCUUGAAUUAUUUGAAACUAAUUCCAUACUUAGGCUGUUGAUUUGGAUAAAAAAGGCCAAAAUGUUUUUCUGUCUCCUCUCCACGCUUCUGGUUCUCAUCAAACAUGGCAAAUAAAUAAGUUUCUAUGCCUCCUCCAGGCUUUUUUGGAGUCCCUUUCCCGCUCAUAACAUGGCGAAUCACAUUCUUGUAGUAAGUGCCUGCGUUUGCAGAUGAUGCAGCAGGAGGAUUCCCGUCAGAUGGCCAGCCAGUUUCCGACACAACAAUGUUUACCUUAGAACCGCCUUCUUUUUCUAGAGCUGAAUAAUGACCAUCCAACAUUGCAUCAAAAAGGUUCUGAUAUCCCAAUUUACCAUCUUGAACAACCGUUUUUUGUGAGGUGAACAAUGCAUAAUCCAGUGGAAUAGUGUUUCUACUACCAAUAUAGCUGAAGUAGGGGUACACAUUGACUAGCAAUGGUGCAUUAUUUUGGACUAGGAAAUUAAUUAUAGGUUUAAUGAAUGGUUUAGCUUCGUUCGAAAAUGAACCAUGUGAGGGAGGAUAAGAAUUGGUUACUAGACCUGUAAGUAUUGAUGUUGAAACCUUGAUUUGGUUCUGAAGGCCUGCUGAUGCUAUUGCUUUCUGUAUCUUUUCCAUGGCUGGACCAACAUAUCGAGCAACGGCAGAACCAACAGGUACUUCAUUUCCAACUGAUAUGUAUCGGAAUUUCACAGCUGGUGAAUAUUUUUUGAUGUUGUUUUGAACCCAAUUCGCAGCUGCUGAAGGAUUGGUUGCAACGUCUUGAAUGCUUUCAUUGGGAACAUCAACAAGAAGUUCUAUAUUGGUUCCUUUUAAAGCAUUGAGCACUUCAGGAUCUGGGCCGUAAAUUCUCAUUCUUUGGAUGCCAUUUCGUUUGUAAAGAUUUAUAACGUCCUGUUUGGAGGGUAGGUUGUUGCCAUUUAGCCCAUAACAGACUCCGAUAGAUUGCACCCCUGCAUCAGAAGUGAUUGAUGGAAAAUGAAAGUAUAGAGAGUUUGUGUUCAAUUCUCUUUAUAAAAUGGUUUGUAAAAAUCAAUUCUCUUUGCUAAUUAAAGUUGACACAAAAUAUAUAUGUGCAUAAUAUUUGACUCUACCAUGAUUCAUCAAUUACUAAGCUCAUGACCAGAACUUCAUCUGAGAAUGUUUUACCACUCGGUUUGAAUGUAUCCUUGAAAUUAUGCAAAAGAAAAGAAAAAGAAUAAGGCACUCGUAAAUCAUAAUUUGUAAAACAAAUAAAAAUGCCUAUAUAGUUGAUAUGCUGCAUACAUAUUAGUAAUUUACAACUCUAGGAAUUAUAUAUUCAUAUAAACCUACCUGUUUAAAAUUACUUUAAAAAAUAGCAAUUAUGAAGUUAUUCCUACCAAAAUAAGACAACUAUUCGUGCCAUUAACCUUAAUGCAUGGAAACAAGCAAGGAACAUGGGGGCAGAGACAUACCUGUGAGUCUGAGACCAAGCAAAAACAGCCCAAGCAAAAGCAGGAUAGUUGUCAUUAUGGUUUUGUUGAUGAGGAGAAUAUAGCAAAAGCAGAAUUGGAAGAAAAUAGCACUCAAAGAUUUGCAAAGGAAGACAUGACAGAAUGAAGUGGCUAGGGUGCUUCUUAUAGGGAAAAUUUUUGGGCAUUAGACAGUUAAGCAUGCAGACGUAUUAACAAAGUUUUGCCCAGUCAAUACUCUCCACUGUCCAAAAUAUUGACGAAUUAGAUCUCAAUUUUCUCUAGACUUGGCAAUUUAAGCAAGCAAGUUUAAGUGAUUGUACAAGAGAAACAAUACCUUUAUUCAGGGGUGCCACAACAUUAGCUUAAACUUACAAUAUUAGUAUGUAGUUUUUUUAUAAAACUAUAUAUUUGUUAUAAAUAGACUAAUUUAUUCAAUGUAACCAAAAAAGGCUUGUGAUUCAUCAUUUUUAGUAGUUAAUAUGUCAUCUAAUGGUAUAAAAUUUGCAUAUUAGAUAAAAUUUGUGCAAGACUAGAAGAUGUAAAUUCUAAUAUUUGAUAGGUUGCAAUUUUAUCAUUUAUUUUAUUAUUAAUUUUCCCUAUUACCUGACCUGAUGUGAAUUAAUUAUUAGAUUCUACUCACUUUUCAUAAUUUACAUUUAUUUCAGGGAAUAGAAUGAAAAUGCCACAACCAAUGCCAAUUUGACAGUCAUCGGGAAAGAAUUCAAAAAGAAGACACUCAGGGACAUUUUUGGAACAAAAGAGACGCGAGGCCUUUUUAGUCAUUUUGGCCGAAGUCUUCCUGGAAGGGGAGAGCCGCCGCAAAGGAUAGCAAUAAAAGGGGCGCCGCACAGUAGAGUUAGCAAUUAGAUAGGAAUUAGAAUUAGGAGCAGGGAACUUCUUUUUCUUCUUUAGAUUAGCUAUUGUUGACUUUUCCAUGGGAUCUCUUUUUGCUUUUUGAUUCUUACUUAUGGCAGGAGCAAAGGGUAGAGCCUUUGACUUUUCCUUUCAUCUUUAGUUGCUUUUCUUUUCUUUUCCGUUUCCGUAGAGUAGACAAGAGAUGAGUUAAAUCUCUUUAUCUAGUCAAGGAAUAAUGGAGGCUUUGAUUCGCCUAAAAAUUAUGAGAUCGAUUUAAUUUUAUCUUUUUCUUUUAUUUAUUGGUAUUCGUAUAUUCUUGAUUUCAGUACUUAUGGUUAUUUAAUUAAUUGAUUGUCUUGGAUCCGAAUAAUUAGUUAAUUUGGUAAUCUAUUGUCAAUUAGGGCAUUAAAUCCGUAAUUAUUUAAUUGCCUUGAUAUAGUGACAACUAGCAUGAUUGAAUUUGUGUCAGGAAAAUACAUGGGUUAAUCUAAAUAACCCUGGUAGUACGUUAUUUGGUUAGAAUAGGACUUCUCUAAUAUGUAAGGCAAUUAGGGAAUUAAAUCUUACGGGCGUACCGAGAAUUAUUUUUUAAUUAGAGCAGUGGUUAAUGGGCAUACCUUAAUCACCGACACAGUAAGGAGGAGUUGACUGUCAUCGCUUGUUUGUCAGUUAUAACUUAUUUAUUAAUAAAUAAUUGGAAUUGACUUUGCAUCGAUGAUCAAUUAGGUGAACCAUUGGUGAAGUUAUUCCUUGGCUAAAUCAUUAGUUAUCAUUCAUUUGAUUUUAGUAAAUUGUUAUUUAAUUUCUAGUUGGGUAUUUUAUUUUUAUUGUUUUACUUUUAGUUGAAUUGCUUAAAUUGUCACCCAUGAUAUAAAAACACCCCCCUGUCACUGUGAAUUUGAAAAGAAACAAUUACUCCCAAUCCGUGUAAAUUCGACCAUGCUCACCGCUAUCUACAGAAAUUACUUUUAGUUUGAGUAGGUUUUAUUAUUGCACAGGCUGACAACCUGUCAAUUUUUGGCGCCGUUGUCGGGGAUUGGUGUCAAGUUAAUUUAUUUUUUUUUAGUUCAUCUUGUUUUUAUUUUUUUUAUUUAUUUUUCUCUUAUUUUUUUAUAUAGUUUAUGGCUGCUAACAUUCCGUAUUUUGAUGACAGACUGGAAUUUAUUCCUGAAUGGGGUUAUGAGACUCGUGUUUUUUCUAAUGAUCAAUGAGCUGUUGCAAAUUGUGGAAGUUAUUUUGCCUCAAAUCAGUCAACCGACAUAUACCCCGCAUUAGGGGUGGCAAUUCCUGACACGACCCGAAAACACGACACGAACCUAACACGAAAUUAAUGGGUUUGGGUUGAGGUUUUGGGAGUUCGGGUCAGAAUCGGGUCGAACCCGAUGAACCCGAAAAGAAAACAUGUCAAUUUCGGGUCAACCCGUGGUGACCUGAUAUGACCCGAUGUGACCCGUUUACGAAUUAAAACUAAUUUAAUAAACAUAAAAAUUAUUUUAUCUAACUAAACUAAAUCAUUUUUUUUCCAAAGGCAUUAAUUACUUAAUCCUAAAUGAAUUUAUUUAACUUGUGUGAAGUUAAAAUUAUUAUAUUUGGACAAAUAAUAUAUUAUGUUAUUUUUUACUUUUAUGUUGUUUUAAUUUAUUUUAUAUUUGGUUUGGAAUAAAACACUUUUAUGGUGUUUAAUUUAUUUUAGAUUUGGUUUGAAAUUAUUUAUUUAAAUUUUUAUUACAUGAUGAUGUAAUUAAUUUUGUGAAAAAUUGAUUUUAUUAGAAAUUACAGUGAUAAAUUAAUAAAUUAAAAUUAAGUUUCGGGUCAUUUCGGGUCGACCCGCCAACCCGCCAACCCGAAAUUUUCGGGUUCGUGUCAGGUACCCUGACCCGUUUCGGGUUGGCGGGUCGGGUUCGGGUCAGCAGGUUCUUUGUUAUACUUAGGCCUCAACCCGACCCGCCAACCCGAACCCGACCCGUUUGCCACCCCUACCCCGCAUUUCAAGAUGGCCUAAGUGCUCCAAUCGAUACUUUUGGAGAGUUUUCACCUCAAUAUCAAACGUGGUAUGACCCUUAUUCAAACGGGUAUGACCAAGGAUGGUGGGAUGAUUCCAAUAGUAAUUAUGCGACCGGACCAAUGGGUUUUCAACAGCAAGAGUCUCAACAAUCAUCAUCCAUGUCAGGUAUGUCUCUUGAAGAAAUGAUUGAAUUACCAACUGCUAAUACAUAUCGAUUUCAGCAGGAGACACAAGCGAUGGCGGAGCAAAUGCAUCUAUUGACAUCCAGGAUAACGCGAUUAGCUUCUCACCUUGAAGAAUUGCCCUCACAAACCAAUAUCAACCUUGAAGAAGAUGAGAGUGCAAUUAACCGGCCAAAUGACAUGGAACUGCAAGAGUUUCAAGAAAACGGAUCUAAAGAUGCAGUUGAAAAGGAAGUUGAAGUGCAAGAAAUGAGACCCCAGUAUCAACUCUUUCAAGUGAAUGAAUCCAGUGAACAAUUUCCAAAUGCGGUGACAUCUCCUCCAUUGCUUAAUUAAUAUUCUCCUGACUCUUAUUCUUCAAUUCCUGGUAAUGAAAUUGACUUUAUUAUACCAGAAAAUUUUGAAUUUUAUUAUAGGAAUAAAUUAAGAGUGGCGAUGGCAAGAUAUCUUGAACCAAUAAAUGCAUGUGAGGGAGGAAUGAAUGGAGAAUUCAAAUUAUCGUUGACUUGUUUAGCGCCAUUUACUAGUCCAUGGAAGACUGUAGCUCCUGUGCUCAAGGAUUACUCUAUUUACGAGGGUUAUCAGGACUAUAUAAAGGAUGAAGCAUUGAAACGAGCCACAAGAUUUUAUCCUCCCUGAACAAACAUGACAAUGUCUAGCCAAAGACAUUAAAGAAAGGCGCUUAUUGGGAGGCAACCCAAUUUCUUUUAGUCAUUUGUUCGUUUUUGUUUGAUAGUUUAAAUAUGUUUUUCCUUGGAUUUGACUGAUUUUUGGCUUCAAUUUUUGUUUUUGAUGAUUCGUAGGUAUCCCUCUGACUUGACGCGCCCGCGUCAACUGGGCGCAUGGCACAGUGCGAUUUCCUGGUGCUUAGUAAAAAGGGUUUCGAUCCCCUUGACGUGCCCGCAUCAAGUCCCAUGAAGAGUUCAUGGUCAGAUUCGUCAGAAGGGGUUCUUGUCCUCAUGACGUGCUCGCGUCAAGUAACCUGGAGAGCUUUUCACUUCGUGCCUACAUGACGUGCCCGCGUCAUGUUCGCAGGAAAGGUAAGCAUUCAAAUUUUGAGAAAAAAUUUUGAUUUUCUUUUAAUCUCUAAUUUUGAAUUUUGAAAGUGAAUUUCAUUCAUAAUAUUGAGAAAAGAAAAAAAGAUAAAAAAAUUCCAAAGAAAAGUUUUUUUAAAUUUUUUUUUAAAAAAACUCAAAGAAAAAAACCAAAAACUAUUUUGUUUUUCUUUUUCUCUUUUGUUUUUCUUUCUUUUCUUUUCUUUUCUUUCUUUUUCUUUCUUUCUUUCUUUCCCUUUUCUUCCUCUUCUCCCCCGCUACCCCUGUUUCCCUUUCCUUCUUCACUCUUUUGGCCGAAAGCCUUCACCGCUGCCCCUUCAUCCAAACUUCAUCGCCACCACCUCGCGCGACCAGUGUCGCGCCGCAUGCCUACCACCAGCGCAGCCAAGUCCAGCCCUCUAUCGCAGUCGACGUGCACGCCAGUGCGCCGCCAGUAGCCGCGAGCACCACGCAACGCCGUUCACUGCCACAGUCUCCAUCCACAGCUCGCCGUGUCUCCAAGCCUCGCGUCUGCCUCCAUCACCCACCAUCGCGAGCCUGUCUCACUUCAGCAGCUGCGCGGCCCCGAAUCGCGCCACCAGCUCCCUCCGUCUUCUCUUCACUACUUCACGCGCACCUCCACCUGUGCGUACCACCACCAGCUGCGCGCACCCAGCAAGCAUUCGCAGCUGCCGAGCCCCCCUCUGUCCCACGCCACCUUCUCUAACCGUGACGCACGCCAAGCUCUACUCCCUCUUGUGACGCUUGUGCUCCACCACCUCUCCUCUUUCCAUUGCCGUGCGCACCGUCGCUACUUGUCAAAUUUUUGACAGGUAGAGGUAUUGUAUGCUCCCAGUCGCUAGUUCAUUUUCUGGGACAUCAUUUUCUGGACUAUCGUUAUUUUAAUUUCUUGUUGCCCUUGCUUACUUGGUUGCCCUGUAUUGCACUAGUGGGAUUGAUUUGCUUGAUUUUACGCCUAUUAUUUGGGAGUUCUGUGCACGAUGGUUGCCAUUUUGAUUCCUUCUUAUUUCUGGUGCCGUUUGCUAUUGGUUGGGAUAUCAAGUGAUUUGGGUUGACCGUUUGAGAUUUUACUUUAACUAUGUGGCACACCAGUGGUACUGGUUGGGGCAUUUGGCCUUGAUUUUGUUGCUUCUAUUGGGUUGGUUGCCUGACUGAUAGCUGAGAGUUUGUAAUUGAGUUAUUAUUGUCAAAUUUCUAAAUUGCUAUUGCUGGAAUUGCCGAUUUUGAGUUGAGAUAUCCACUGUCCAAUUGGAGAAUUUGUUGAGAUUUUGGGUGGACAGAGUUUUGCAUUUGCUGGUUGAAUUGAGUUGAGAUGUCUCAGAACUUGGCCGCGUACUUCCAUCACAUCGGUUUCAUUCCACUGUUCCCUCCUAUCCCUUAGCUAUUCAACAGGGAAGUUUCAUCGUUCUCUUCGCUUUAAUUAUUUUAUUACCUCCAUUGAGGACAAUGUAGGAUUUAGGUGUGGGGGGAGCAGUUAUGGUGCUAGUGUCUUUAGUUUUGAGUUUUUAGAUUUUUUUUCCUUUCUUUUUAGUUUGUUAUUUGUCCAUCUUUCGUUCAUUUUCUUUUUUUUCUUUUUAGUGAUUAGCUCGUAAGUGCAUGCCAAGACUUGAUGUUGGUUUGUUGACUCUAAUUCUGUUAUUGCCAAGUUUUAAUAAUAAAAGUGCAUUAAGUUAAUGUGGUUGAGUCUAAGAAUAUUUCUGUAGUGAAUAUCAACGACUGUGUGACUUUUAUAAUUUUUGGUUAACUUUUCUAGGCAUAGGGAAUGACUAUUGGCAUUUUCAUGUGAAUUGGUCCGGUUAUUAAUCUUAGUUCUCCAUAUUUGAAAAUGAGUUAGCGGUUGCAACUUUUCUUUUGAUUUUUGUGUUAUUUUGAAUUUUUGGUGUUAUUUGGCUGUGAAUAAGAGUUGACUGUACUCCACUAGUAUUUACUACCGAGUAGGGCUGCAAACGAGCCGAGCCGAGUCGAAUUUUGAGCUAAUCGAGCCGAGUCUCGACUAAAUUUUACCAAGCUCGAGCUCGACGAGCCGGCAAAUUUCGAGCUCGAGCUCGACUCGAAUCAAGUCGAGCCGAGCUCGAGCUCGAGCUCGAGUUCAAAAAAAAAUAAAAAAUAAUUAUUUUAUUUUUAAAAAAAUAAAUAAAAUAAUAUUUUUUUCUUAAUAAAUAAUAAAAUAUUAAGGAUAUAUACGUAAUUUUACUAUGAAAAUAAAAAAUAAAAAAAAAUAUAUAUAUAAUAUACGUAAUUUUAUUAUUAAAUAAAAAUAAAAAUAAAAAAAUAUAUAUAUAUACCCAAGCUCGCGAGCCGGCUCGCGAGCUAACGAGCUUAAUAUUCUGAGCUCGAGCUCGAGCUCGAGUUUGACUCGAGCCGGCUCGAGCUCGACUCGAGCUUGACUCGAUUCGUUUGCAGCUCUACUACCGAGUAACCGGGGAUUUUCACCAAAAAUGUCGAUUUUCUCGUCAAAAAGUAAUAAUUGCUAUGAGUGCGUGGUCACGUGGCGAUAGGAGCUGAGUAACCGGGCUCUUUCAUCUGGCGAAUGUCGGAGUUCGCGUCAAAAAAGCUUCAAUGGCCAGAGACUAAGUCUUGUGUUACUAUUAAAAAAAACAGAAAAAUAGAAAAACAUGAAAAAAAAGUGAAUGUUGUGUUAGUGUAUAAUAAAAGUCAGCUUGCUGAUUUAUGGAUUUAAUGUUGAGAUUUUGGUUAAUAGUUGACCAUUUGCUGAUAAAUGUUGUGUGUCAUUCCUUUUUCUUAGAUUAGUUAACCUGAAAUUAGAGGAGUUUGUGGUUUAGAAACUAACCAGAGUGAUGUUUCUUGGAUCUUGAUCACUGAUGCUUGAUAUAUGUUUUUCUUGGUAUCUUGGCAAUAAGAUAGAUGGAGCAAUAGCCAUUAUCAAAUAUGGGUGUUUGUUUGCUGUUCUUAUGCUUGAGGACAAACAUGUUUUAGAUGUGGGGAGAAUUGAUAGGUUGUAAUUUUAUCAUUUAUUUUAUUAUUAAUUUUUCCUAUUACCUGACCUGAUAUGAAUUAAUUAUUAGAUUCUACUCACUUUUCGUAAUUUACAUUUAUUUUAGGGAGUAGAAUGAAAAUGCCAUAACCAAUGCCAAUUUGACAGUUAUCGUGAAAGAAUUCAAAAAGAAGGCACUCAGGGACAUUCUUGGAACAAAAGAGACGCGAGGCCUUUUUAGUCAUUUUGGCCGAAGUCUUCCUGGAAGGGGAGAGUCACCGCAAAGGAUAGCAAUAAAAAGGGGCGCCGCACAGUAGAGUUAGCAAUUAGAUAGGAAUUAGAAUUAGGAGCAGGGGACUUCUUUUUCUUCUUUAGCUUAACUUUUGUUGACUUUUCCAUGAGAUCUCUUUUUGCUUUUUGAUUCUUACGCAUGGCAGAAGCAAAGGGUAGAGCCUUUGACUUUUCCUUUCAUCUUUAGUUGCUUUUCUUUUCUUUUCUUUUCCGUAGGAGCAGACAAGGGAUGAGUUAAAUCCCUUUGUCUAGUUAAGGAACAACGGAGGCUUUGAUUCGUCUAAAAAUUGUAAGAUCGAUUUAAUUUUAUCUUUUUCUUUUAUUUAUUGGUAUUCGCAUAUUCUUGAUUUCAGUACUUAUGGUUAUUUAAUUAAUUGAUUAUCUUGGAUCCGGAUAAUUAGUUAAUUUGGUAAUUUAUUGUCAAUUAGGGCAUUAAAUUCGUAAUUGUUUAAUUGUCUUGAUAUAGUGACAACUGGCAUGAUUGGAUUUGUGCCAGGAGAAUAGGCGGGCUAAUCUAAAUAACUCUGGUAGUGCGUUAUUUGGUUAGAAUAGGACUCAUCUAAUACGUAAGGCAAUUAGGGAAUUAAAUCUUACGGGCGUACCGAGGAUUAUUUCUCAAUUAGAGCAGUGGUUAACGGGCGUACCUUAAUCACCGACACAGUAAGGAGGGGUUGACUGUCAUCGCUUGUUUGGCAGUUCUAACUUAUUUAUUAGUAAAUAAUUGGAAUUGACUUUGCAUCGAUGAUCAAUUAGGUGAACCAUUGCUGAAAUUAUCCUUGGCUAGAUCAUUAGUUAUCAUUCAUUUGAUUUUAGUAAAUUGUUAUUUAAUUUCUAGUUGGCUAUUUUAUUUUUAUUGUUUUACUUUUAGUUGAAUUGCUUAAAUUGUCACCCGUGAUAUAAAAACACCCUCCUUGUCACUGUGAAUUUGAAAAGAAACAAUUACUCCCAGUCCUUGUGGAUUUGACUUGCUCACCGCUAUCCACAGAAAUUACUUUUAAUUUGAACAGAUUUUAUUAUUGCACAAGCUGAAAACCUGUCAAUAUUCAUAGUACGUAGCUGGAGAAUAUGCAUAUGGUCAAACUAUCAAAUAAAUUUUUUGUGUACUUGUAAUUCAUAUGGUUGGAAAUCUAAGAAAAGUCCAAUGUUAUGUAAAUUACCAUUCAUUAGAAAGAAAAUAAAAAAUGCAACAUCCAAUAUGUGUCAUCUCAAGGUUCUAUUGUAGAAAUAGUGAGAACAAAUGUAACAAUUUUGAACACUUUUGGGUGGUGGGGGGUGCAAUUAUUCAGUCAGGCCUGUGGAAUCUAGAAAGUUCAACGAUUAAGUAUGGUUAAUGACUUGUGCAAAUUUCAAUCAACGUUAUUUUCUACGAAACAUGUAUUAACAGUAUAAAUUAAUCCACCAAGAUUACCAAUAUAUACACAUAACAAGUGUAAAACAACAAUUAUGUUGCUAUAGAACUCUCAAAAACAGGUAAGAAGUUAUUAUUGUUUUAUGCUUAUUUUUUGGAUAAUUUUUUUUAUGCACUAUCAGUAUAUAUACAAGUAGUUGUGGAUGUAUGCAACGUAAUCUAAUUUUAAAUUGAAAAUUUAAUUUUUACAAACGUCCACAACGGUUAGUGUAAAAAAAAAAGAUUUUAUAUUGACAAUGUAUAAAAAUUUAAUCCUUAUCUUUUAAGUUCAUAAAUUUCUCAUAUCAAUGCAUAUAUUACAACUAACAAUUAUUGAGGCCUCACCCAUUAAGGACGUAGUAGUAAACUUCUUAGCCUCUUUUAAGUAGUAAUGUAGUAGUCAUUUAAGGGUUUUUAUCCACUACUGCUAUUGUUUGUGGAGCCUUGGAUGUUACUCCUGGACUAAAUUGAUGGAUCAAUCGAUUGACACUGCGUGCAAAUUGGUCAUAAAUUUUCCAACGCAAGACAAAACCAUCCACUUCAUAUUUGCCAUGAUUGGCAUCUCCACUAACAAAUUGUAGUACUUAGAAAGCUAUGUGAAUGCAACGGGAAUGGUGUAUUGGUAACAACUUAUAAUGGCCUUAUAACAUGCUACGAGACCUCACUAAAUAUCUCCAUGAGUGAAUGACAAUAUAUAACAAUAAUUAUUGAAUUAAUUUUUUAUAUACCAACAGUAUAGUGAUUAUUUUUACACUAAUAGUUAUGAAUAUAUGCUACAUAUGCAGGAUUUGAAUUUUAAAUUUGAAUUCAUGCUAUAUGACAUGAUUUAAACUUAUUAGAGUAAAGAAAAUUAUACACUACUAGUACAUAAAAAAAAAAAAAAAGUUAUCCACAAUUGUUUGUUCUCAAAUUUGCAUCUUAAUUGCCAAAAAGUUUUUAUGGCUAUUUGUACAUGCCAAAAUUACAUGCAUUUUUUCCCCAGCCAAUACUCCAAACUGAAAUUAUGAUGCCCAAAACUUGGUCCCAUAAGAACGACAGUGAACAAAGGUGGAUUAUAUGGCCUACAAUCGAGGCUGAAUUUUUCCAGCUGUUCUGAAAAGCAAGAAAAAAUAACUUUUGCCCAAGAAAUACUCCAAGGAAAAAUGUGACCUAAACUAGGUUUAAUUUAGAAAACCAAAGUAUUAAUUAAAAAAAAAAUAGUACUUCUCAAUUAUUUGUUGGCCUGCUUGCUGAUGGUCUCUGUAUCGUUGUCUUUGUCAGUUAUCUCUGCUUGGAUGCUAAGGCGGCCUAAGAUUAAUCAAACAAAUAGAAUAGUUAAAUCCUUUGGUCACUUCAUCUCCGUCCUGAUUUUAAAUGGAAGGAUAGUGCUUGAGGGUCCGGAAAAUUUGUAGAAGGUGCAGUGAUGCAUCGGUAUGAUUUGAACGUGGAUUCUCAUCCUCAAAUCUGACGCAAAAGUCACGGAUGGAAUUUACCCAAUACACACUCUUGAAUAGCAGCUCCGAGUUCUCUUGUUAACAAAAGAAAGAGAGGCAUGAUCUACUUUCAAACAAUUUUCACAAAAUACUAGACAAACUUAGGUAAGGUAGUUAAAUUCAACCAAAAGUUGUAUUAAAAUUGAUAAAAAGGGAAAAUUGUGCCGGUUCUUCCUCACAUAUUGUUGAUGCAAAAUUUUAAUCCUUCAGAAUCAAAAUCAGCUAUUUUAGUUUCUAAUAAAUAAAGCUCAAUUUUAUACUUUGGUCAUUUUUCCUGCCAACUUUCGGCUGGAAUAAGCCACAGACAAAUGACGUGAUCAUAUUUAAAAGACAAACCUAGCAAUUCACUAAAUGUUGGCCUAAUUUUUCACUUAAUCUACCAUUUCUCCCAAUUCUUUUCACCCAAACUCGAAUUUCACAAAUUCAAAAGCACAUUUGCCCAUUUUGCCCCUUCAAUACAUCACAGUCCAAUAUAUUGAUGAAUUAUUUUACAAUUUCUCAAAACUUUACAAGUUAAACUGGAAAUUGUUAAGUGAUUAUCCAAGGGACAUGCAACUAAUUAACAACAUCCUUGUGUGUUCCACUCCUGCCACGUUCUCAGUGGAGAGUUCAAUCAAUAAUCUUUAAGUACUAGGAAAAUGCAUCGAUCUGCUGAAUCGAAUCAAAUUUCUCUUUUUGAUUUGAAAUUAAUAUUACUUAUUGUACAUUUAAACUUAUAUAGUAAUACUAGCAAUUUGUUAUGCAAAUGCAAUAACUUAGUUUAUGAACACAUUGAUCAUUUCCAGCAAUGUUACCCCGGCCCCAUGUUUAAUAAAUAUUUUUAUUACUAUACCAUCGACACAUUAAACAAAAUAAUUCUAUUUAAGACAAUAGUUCAGUCCAUUAAAUUUUAUAUUUUGAACUUCGAAUGUGAUAUAGGUUAGUGAUACAUGUAUGGAUGCGAUCGAGUUUCUUCCUUUGAUGAACUUCUGUUUCUUUCUUAAUACAUACUGGGCUUGUCCUUUUUUUAGACACAAAAAUUUGUAUAAACUUUGUUGCUCAUUUUUGCUCUGUGUUUGCCUUAUUCGUUCUCUUCACUACAAGGGUUUGGCAUUUUCAAAGACAGUUUUCUUAUGUGUUUCUAUUGAAUAUGCUAAAAGAUCAUCUAAAACUUGACUAUAUGUAAAGAGAUAAGAAGCUCAUAUAUAGUAACAAGUUUUAAUGGUUCUUCAACUGUGGACUAUCAUUUUCUUGCUUGAUACAGCUAAAUAAUUGAUAGUCGUCAUCUUCUAACUUUAUAAGCAAAGUGAGGAUUGUUGUCAUUACAGUUUUGUUGGCAAACGGGGAAGAAUAUAGCAAAGCAAAGUUGGAAGAAAAUAUCACUCAAAGGCUUGCAAAAAAAGUUAUGAAAAAGUAGUGGCUAGAGUGCUUCUUAUAGGGUAAAAUUGUCCUAUUCAGACGGUUGAUCAGGCUUGAUUAAUUUAACUUUGCCCAGUGCAAUACUUCUCAGUCCAAUAUAUUGAUAAACUAUAUUGACUUAAAAAUUUAAGCUGGAAAUUCUUAAGUAAUUCUCCAAGGAAGAUGCAACUAAUCACAUCUUUGCAUAUUCCAGUCCCGGAAGAGCUGUUCCCUGUGUAGAAUUCAGUCAGUGAUUUUAGAAAAUUUAGAUUUCUGUAUAUAUUCUUAAAUCUUAAUUAAUACCCUUAAGUGUGUAAGUUUAACUUAAUUAGUUUCCAUCCUAUGUCAUCAUCGUUUGGGAAUCUUGUAACAUGUUUCUGCACUAGAGAGGUGGCUAAAUUAAUCUGCAUUGCAUGCAAAUUGGCUAUCAACUUCAUAUUUUCCAUGGUCCACUCAAAAUUUGUUGGCAUCUCCACUAACAAGUUGGAAUUCCAAAAGGGUAUGAUUGUUAAUUAAGGACUUAUGCUUUUGGAUUCAAUCAUAUAAACCUUUUAAUGAAUCGUAUUUCGAACUAAUAAAGGAUGGAAAAAAUAAACAAGAAGGGAUCAUAGGUUUUCGUUGAACGUGAGAUAAUAGGUGUUUUUAAGUGUGGAGAAAACUCUUUUCAAACCAAAUUUUUUAUAUGUCUCAUGACUGGUCCUCACAACUAAGUUCACCACCAGAAGAAAACUCUUUCAAACCAAUGGAAAGUUCUUUUCCUUCUGAUUUUCCAGCAUUUCAAACAAUACAGUCAUCUAAACAUAGACUAUAGGUACAGGUAAAUUAACUACCCUCCCCUCUUUUACAAAAAUUAAGGACAUCCGCUUUCUAGUCCAACCAGCAUUUAUAAUAGUUAUGAUUUUUUAUUUUUACCCUUUUCCUUUUGUUCACGUUUAGCAUAUUGAGCAAAAGAAAGUUACAAAACAAAGAGUUUUAAUUCUCUCCACCUUAGAAGGAUGAAAAAGUAGAAAUAAACUCAUAUGCAAUAAAACGGCUUCAAAUAAAUGAGGUGUUUUAAAAUACGUUUAUUAAGUUUUUUCAAUAGUAGGGAAUCCCAACUCAUAAAUGAGGUGUCCUAGAUACGUUUAUUAAGUUUUUUAAAAGUAGAAAAUCCCAACUCAUACUUUUUUUUCUUUUCUCUAGUAGGAAAGAGGUAGGAUUUAAGAAAUGAUUAGGAAAAAUGGAGAUUUGAACCCAAGAUCUUUAAGUUCUGAAAUCUCAACAUGUUAAAUAAUAGGAAGCAAAACUUAAACUUAUUCAGUGGCAAAAUUAGAAUAAAAAAUAUAUACUGUAAAUUGUCUUUGAAAUAUACAACUAAUUAAUCUAAAAAUAAGAAAAUAACCAAAUGGUUCAAAUAAACGAAAUAAGCAAGAUAAGUUUAUAACUUAGAAACUGAAUAAUUGAUCUAAAUUUAUGAUACUUGGGUGGUCAAAUUGUUUUCAUGCAAAAGGGGUUGAAUAAUUGAUUUAAUGUUUUUAUAGUUGGGUGAUCAAACUUUUUUUAGCUACUUUGACUUUUGGGUUUGAGAUUUAGUUAGUCAGAUUGAGGUAGCAUGUCUCUCUGCCUUAAGUAUAGAAAGACAUGUGAUUUUAUAGAAAGACAUGUGUCAAAUUUUGUAUAGUAAUUGAGGCAGACAGACAAGUAUAGAAAGACAUGUGUCUCUCUGCCUUAGCAUGUAUCAAAUUUUGUAUGCCAUCAAUUACUUUUUUUUUUUUUUUUUUCAGAAACGACAUGUGAUUUUAUAGAUAAUAAAACCUUUACAAUUUUAAGUAAAGACUUGAGAGAACUUUACAACCAGUGCAAACUAACACUGAGGAAUCCAAAAUUCCUAAUCUUCAACGAAGUCUAGCUCAUGCACGCUAAUCCUAUGACUAAUAUGGUUAAUAUUCCUAUUUACUAAACAAUCCCCUUGUUUUGAUAUUGAAUAACAGCGUACAAAGGAGCAACAUGAAUAGAGCAAAGACAAAAUUGAUUAACCAAAACUCAUUGUUUUUUGUUUCUAAUUAGUUGUCCAUGGAGUAAAUUGGGUUUCGUAAAGUUCUUUUAAUCGACUUAGAUUUAUGGUAUUUAAUUUUGGUGUGAUGAAGAUGACUAUGAAUCAUGGGACAGUCCUUUGUUGGCGCCUCCAUGAUUGGAGCUUCUGUGGUGGAAAAGUGUCUUUGGGACUUUUGGGAGUGUGCAGGAAGAAGAGGAAAGUGUUGGGAAAAUUUCGCAACUUUAUGAGUAAGUGGCAGCUAUGCAAUAUUGCAAUGGCAUCCGAACAAAAGCAGGCGUUAGAUGACCCUGCACUAAGUAAUAUACGACUUAAACGAAGAAACAGAAAAUUCUAUACUACAUCAUGUAUGAUUAAAUGAUGGAAAUAAACUAACCCAUUUUAUUAAUUUUAGGAAUUUUUAUAUUUGUGUUUAUAGAUUAGAAAUAUUGUGAUUUAGAAUCGUUUUUUUUUUGUAAAUGGAUUCCUUUGCUAAAUCAUAUGCUUCCAUCCUCUAAUUUCACUCUCUACUCUUACCAAUUGCUCUUAUCCCUUGUUCUCAAUCUUUCAAAUUUUUCCAAAUGGAAUUUACAAAAGUACAAUCUGAUGACCAUAAAAACAUCUUUCCGUCUGUAUUCUUCUCAUACGCUGGUUUCAAACCUCCUCAAGCAUUCCAUAGAGACUUGACAACCAUCAUAUCAAGGGCAUGACUCUAUGUCUUGCUUCUUUUUAUUUUUGUAUUUUUUGUAUCAUUGUGAGUUAGUUUCGUUGAUGCAAUGGUUAAAAUGCUAUACAACAUUUAGGGUGUGUUUGAUAAAAUUAAAGUUUGAAAAUUGAAAUCUGAUGUUUGAAAUUUGAAUCCAUUAAGUUAUUGAAUUAUUGAGUACUAAAUGUGAUACAUUUGAAUGUAUAUCGCAUUCAAUGAUAAGUAAAUAGUGUAUCACUUAAUUUUUGAGGCAAGUUUUGUCUAAAAAAUUCAGUACUACUUAAUUAAUUCAGUGUUCUAUUUUUUGUUAUCAAACGCGUCUAAACAUAUUAAGAUUUGAAUCCAUUAAUUUUAAAUGCUAAACUAGAUUAUCAAACGGGGCUUUAGUCUUUCAUUUUCAGAAGAAGGAUUUUAGCACCAAAUUUGUAAAGGAUGUAUCUAAAUGUAAUCUAAGAACAGUUUGUUGUGAUUCAAUAUCACUUGCUCAAAUAUUGCUAUUACAAAUUUGUUUUGUUAAAAUUCACGCCAAUGCCCCUAUAUUGUUAACGAGUUAUCAGAUUAGAAUCUAUAUAUAUAUAUAUAUAUAUAUAUAUAUAUAUAUAUAUAUUAAUUUUAAAACUUGACAAAUAUAUUGCAUCAAUAAGCUUUUCAGGUUAAAAACAUUAAAUAUGUUUGAGGUUGGGGAUAGAAACUAACUAUUUGUUCUCUCUUCUUCUCAAGAAGAGGGAAGUUUCUAUUAUGUUCAACCUAGCAAUCCUCUGUAACUUGUUGAGAAAUUUCCACCAAGGGUUCUUCAUGCCAACAGUGUUGGGCUAGUUUGAAAAUGAACUAUGCAAAUCUACAAAGGUAAAAAUAUGAAAACGCAUAAAUAAAACAUAGACAUGUACAAAUGGGUUUUGAAAGGUGUGUACAGAUAGAACUUUUUGAAAUGUACAAGUGAAUUUUGGACAACAAAAUAAUAUCAUGGAGUUGUAUCAACUAUAGAUGUGGCACUGGAUCUUGGUUUGAUCCAAGCUAGAUCAGAUUUUCAACUUUUAAGACCCGGUGUUGGAUUCAGUCUAGAUUACUUAGAUCUGGGGAAAGAGCCAAAUUGGCUAAAAAAACUCUGAACCAGAUCCAACCCUAGAUUCGAUUGUGAGUUCAAAUGGAUUCGAGGCCGGAUCUUUAUAAUGGUCAGAUUUUUACAUAGCAGCCAGUCUUUUCUUUUUUAACACUUGAUUACAUUUCACACUUUGAUCAUUUUAUACUUCAUGUUCAUCUUAAAUUGCUUCAAAUCAUCAAAAAAUCAUCCAAAUAUCUUCUCAUUUUACUUCAUUUGAUGAUUUAGUCAUUUAAACCUAUAAAAACAUGAAGUUUAAGCCACUUUAAUUUAUAAAAAUGCAAUUUUUCACAUUUAGAUCACAAAAUACAAACUUUAUUAGAAACCUAGUUAUUUAGCUAUUAAUGUGACUAAAACAUACCAAAAAUCAAUUAACAAAACACACUAAAAAUAUGUUAAAUAAACACUUAUCAAAACUAAUUACAUACGCCGUUGAUAUGGAAAAAAGAGGCCAAAAUGCUUUUCCUGUCUCGUCUUUAGGCUUUUGGUUUUCAUCAAACACGGCAAACACGUAAGCUUCAAUGCCUCUUCCAAGCCUUCUUGGAUUCCAUUUUCCGCUCUUAACAUGGCUAAUCAGAUUCCUAUUUAAAUGAUGCAACAGGACAUUUAAAUGAUGGCCAGCCAGUUUUCGAUACAACAAUCUUUAUACGAGAACCACCUUCUUUUUCUAGAGCUGAAUAACGAGAAUCCACAAUUGCAUAAAAAAUGUUUUGAUAUCCUAAAAAGCCAUCUUCAACAACAAUUCUUUGUGAGGUGAAUAAUGCAUAACCAUUUGGGCUGGAAGAGGCACCACCAAAGACUAGCCAUUUGGGCUGUUGACCACCACCAAAUACUAAGUUUUAGUGAGGUGGGAGAUCAAGGGUUCAAAUCUUAUCUUCCAUCACUUGUCACAAUAUGGGAGGUCUAGGGUUCAAACCUGGUUCAAUGGUGGUUCAAUUCCCCUCGAUUUUUCCCUAGACCCAGUUGGACCUCCCCCUAGAUUAGGCUAGAGUAGGAGUAGGAGUAAACGUAGAAGUAGAGCAGAUAAAUGAUGAAUGAUAAAAAAAAAAAAGAAUAAUGCAUAAUUGAGCGCUGAAUGUUGACUGGGUCACCAAUAUAGCUUUGACUAGCAAUGGUGCAUUGUUUUGGACUAGUUUUUCAGCUUUGAGGCUAUGCAUCAGGUAGCCUAGGCUGGUUAUUUUAUUGUUGAGUUUCUUUGUACUAGUUGCGUGCAAUCGUGCAUGCAUGUGUGUGUGUGUAUUUUUUUUUUUUUGGCAUUGUUAACAAGUGGUAGGUUUUGUUGUAUAGUGUGGAGCAUGGUAGGACAAAGAAAGAAGAAUGUUAUCUACAAAGAAACCUUGCCACCACUUACAAACAAAUCAUCCUAAGAAUUAUUGCUAUCCACAUUACCAAACAAUACACAAUUACUAAAGGAUCUGGGCAACCUGACACAAAAUUACCAGCUGGUUUUAAUAUUAGAUUGAACAAGCAAGCCUUUAACAAGGCUAAAUGUUUCAGUUUAUAUAAAUAUGACUAAAGUAACAUCUUGAAGGAAAAUUACUAAUACAGUAUGCAUAAAACAAGCAAAUAGAGUGCAAGUACAUAUUUCACACUUUAGGGAUCAUAAAUCUUGCAUGUUAUGUUGAUUGUUAGGUAUUUCAGCUCGAGCUGCUGCAGCAAAUGGAGAUACAAGAAGCUGAUUUUAGCAUUGAGGGGGCCAUUGCAGGUCCAAAAUUAUCAGAAACUGAUCAGAUACUUCUCUGAAGGCAGAGUUAAAUACUCUUGUCAAAAAGAAACGGAGAGAUAGAAGCUGCAAAGUAAUUGAUAACGAACCAGAGGCAAAACCAGCCAAAGAACAAAGCAAAAUUGUAAAAUUCACCUCAGCAAAACGCAAUCGUCACCCCUUGUUUUAUGCAACACCUCCCGCCAAUUACAUUAAUACAAAAAUCCAUCCUUGCAUUUGUAAAGGAUGGAAAUCAAUGGUUUGCCUCAAAUUCCAACUCGAUUAAUGCCUAUGGUGCCUGGGAAUCAUGAAAUGUUCAGUAACUUCAUUGAUUUUGCCAUGUAACAUAUACAUCUUAUGAAAAAGUACUCUUUCAGUUUGCUUUUAAUCCGAACAAGUGGGGAAAAUAGUACAAGAAAAAAAAAUCCAUUCUUCAUUGUAGAUGCAGAAGUCAAAUAGUUCUCGGCAGGUUGGGGUUCAAAUUCUCCUCUCAUUCCUUACAUCUUCAAUCUCACCUCUUUCGGGUCAAAAACAUAGGCAAAUACUCCAGUUGACCAGUUUAUAACCCCACCCAUAGAUCAAGUGGCUCAAACACAUGGUACGUCAUCAACAAGAAUUAGAUUCAAAUGCUAGCAAUUUUUUCCGCUUGACUUUAACACACUAUCUUUCGACUUUGUUCUUCACCUUCUCUUUCCAAAACCCACUGGUUCCUCCACCACCACCAUAAUCUCUUCCUCUUCCUCCUUUACUCUCAGCAGAUUUAGGUGAUGGUAAUGGUUACUAAGACUAAUCUGGUUAAAUAAGAACAGCCCUUUUCUCUUGUAAGUUGUAACCAUACUUCUUAAAAAGGGCAAAAAAGAGCCAAAAAUUUUCAUGAACCCACGAGUUGAAAAAUACUACCUUAAUCACAUGAAUAAGAAAACAAUAUCAUUGCUUGGCUAGCCUAUAGACUCGUUGGGUGGAGCCAAUAUUUUAAUACUCGGACUGUUAAUUGAACCGGUGAUAUGUUCAGGUCAAGGUUCAACCGAUCGAACCGGUUUAACCUUGAUUCAAUGAAUUUUUUUAAAAAUAAUUUAUAUAAAUAUAUGUAUGCACAAAAUAAGACAUGCAAUGGACUAAUUUAAAACUUUAUAUGAUGAAAAGUUUAAUAUUUUCAAAGAACUUGGAUUUUCAAAAGUAAAUUUUUUGAAUUAUAAGUUGAAACAAAUAAAUUUCAUUUCAAUCUCAAUUAUAUCUACCAAAAAAUUAACCUUAAAUCCAACCCAAAAAUACCAAAAUAUCUUGAAAUUAUACAAAAUUCAUGUCUAUGGGAAUUAGAUAUUGUGAGUUUGCAACUUAAAAAAAAAGAAGUUUUAAGUUUGGAGGAAGUCAGGAAAAUCAAAAAUAGAGAUGCAAACCUAAUAAGAAGUAAAAAAUAAGAUGAAAGUGAAUGGGUGUGACAUUUAAUAAUUAGUUUUUAGGGUUAAAGAAAAAUAAUUCUUUUUUUUAAUUUUUUCAAUUUAAUAGGCAAAAACAAAAUAAAAGAUGGAAGAAAGCAUCAAUAAAUUAAAACUAAAGAGGUUUGAUUAAAAAGGGGAUGACAAAAGAAAAGAGGAGACAAAGAGAGUUGAAAAUUAGAAAAAAAGAGUCAUGAGAGGAUGAAAUUUUGUAGGAAAAAUGGAGGAAAGAAAGAUGGAAGUUUGUUUCAUAUAAAUGUGUUACCAAAAGAGACAAAUUGGAUGUGAUGGUGCAAUGGUUAUUAUGUUGGCCUUCAAUAGCAAAGGUCUUGAGUUUGAUUAUUGGCAAUUGCAUUUUGCAAAACUUAAAAAAAUAUUAAGGAAAAAAUUGAAAAGCCAAAUUGGUUUAUUAGUUUUGACGAGUUUAACCAGUCUUGACCGAUUAUUUGACAAUUUCAACUUUAGUAUAGAACCGGACCAGUGUCAUGGUCGGUUCGCGAUUCAACUGGUCGAACCAAUCGGUUCGGUCCGAUUUUCAAAAUAUUGGGUGGAGCGGGCCAAUUGCCAAAGAGAGCCGAUAAUAUCCAUUGAUAUGACGAGCGUAGGUCAACAAUCAAGAACUGUAUAGUGGAUAAGAAGAGUCAUAUGGUGCUCGUGCAGAUUUACUAGGCCUCAAUCUGCUCAUUGGAAUUUGUUGAUUACAAAGUAAGCGGAUAGUAAGAAAUUCAGAAUGUUUUCUUCUUUUAUAAUUUUUUAUUAUGUUACGUAACCUUAACCAAUUUUGCUUUUUCAAUUAUUUUAUGUUGAAAUCAACGAUUAUUGUGACAUUGAAAAAAUAUCAUUCAUAGUUAUAAAAUAUGGCCUGACCCGACGAUCGAAUCAGUCAAUUCGGCGAACUGACCAUAUGAUUGGAUUGGGUUGCUAAUUAAAUCAAUUAAGCAACAAAUUUGUUGAUUAGUCAAUGAUCUGAUAAUUCAAUCGAUAAAUAAAAAAAAUCGUCAAUUAAACUGUCGGUUGAACCACCAACUUAAAAAUUAUACUAUUUAUAUUAUAUUAUAUAAUAUAACUAUUUGUGCAACUCGUGAUUGAUCCGCUCAAUCCAUGAUUGAACCGGUGAUCCGGUGACUCGGUCACCUUUCCGAUUGAGCUCCAGAUCGAGUCUAAUAACUGUGCAUUCAUAGCAUCCCAAAUCUGCAGGAACGUAACCAUAUUCUCUUCACUUCCACCCUUUAGAGAUAAAGAGAGCAACAAGACAGAAAAAAGAAAAAUAGAAAACCUUGGGCAUAGAGAAAGAUGGAUAUGUAAGUGUUAAAUAUCUUCAGAAAUUAAAAAGGAAGAUCGAUUUGGUUAAAAUUUGUUGCUGGAGGAACAGAGGGAUGCUUGUGGUGAGGACAAUCUAUUGGUGAGUUUGUAGAUUGAGAGUGAGGAAAGGAGGUAGCAAGAGGUGUCAGUGGUGGCACAGAAGGAGUAAGUGAGCGGUAAUUAUUGAGAUGUGGGGAACAAAGUAGGUAAGAAAGAUAGUGGUGCUGAUUUUUGGUGACGGUAAUGGAGGUGGAGUGCAAGCCGAAGGGAUAGAAGGACCGGGUCCUUUUUUCUUUUAUUGGCCUAUGUUGAAUUCUGAACGUUGGCGAUGAGAAUUUGGAUAUAUGGCAAAAUAUGGACUGCACGGUCUGGAUGUGGGCCCGUAAAUUGGAUCUACCCAAAAAUUUGCCAAAAAGGUAUCUUUGCAAUAAUAAGCCUGUGUGGGUAGUUAACUUGGUAUUAAUUUUAUUUAUUUCUAAAUUUACCCAUAUUUCUAUGAUUCAUUAACCCUUAUCUCUAUUAUCAUGUAACACACAAAUUCUACUCAAUCAAAACUACCUUCCUCUCAACUAACACACAAAUUCUACUCUACUAAAAUUAUCUCUCUCCAAUUCUCACGUUCUCCUUUACCAAUGCUUUUUUUUUUUUACUUUCAAUUGUACAUAUUUGUGUAUAAUACACUUUUUAUUACAUAUUAUAUAAAAUAGUUAUAUUCACUCGCACUAUUUUUGUGAUUCUUUCAAUUAAAAAUAUCUAUAAAAGUCAAAUUGUCCUUCUCUACUUAGAAAGAUUGGCGUCGAUAUUCUUGGAUUGUUUUAGCUUACAUACAAUACCACCCAUCUAAUUGCAACGGAUCUUCUAUCCCACUCUCUGUACCAUUUUCUUUCCCACUUUUUAUUAUAUUACUAUUUCUCCUUCAUAAAUAUAAUAUUAUAGUUCUUUUUGUUUUCUUAAGAUCCAAUAACUAUUAAUUGAGUAAAAAAGUAAUACGACAAUUUCAAAAAAGUAAUAUAUAAUAAAAAAUUAAAAAAUACAAUAGAAAAUUCAUAAAGAAUCUUAUUUUUUAUGCAUUUUAAUUUUUUGAAUUUGUUAAAUUUUGUUUAUUACUUAGUUAAUAGUUAUUGGAUCUUAAAGAAAUAAAAAAAAACUAAAAUAUGAUAUUUAUGAAGAAAAAAUAACAAUAUAAUAAAAAAUAGGAUAGAGAGUAGGAUAGAAGAUCCGUUGUGUCCAUCUAAUGCUUACCAGGUUUGAAUAGUGGAUGGAUGGAUAGGAUUUGUUUUAGUAGUAUUGUAGCAGAAAACCACUUUCUUUGUGUGGACGAUCCGUUAUAUUGUACUAGGAGGGUGCGCGGUGGAAAAAUUCAAAAAUUUAUAUGCCCAGGAAUAUCCUGUUAACGGAGUUUUGCAACAAGGUUGAUAAUUGUGAAGUGUAAAACGACCAUACGAAAAAAGAUGAUAAUACAUAGAACAUCUAAAUUGCUGUAAUGUAGCUGCAAUAAUGCAUAAUAGAUGCAGGAAUGAAUAUAAAAACAAAGUGCAGAGUCUAAUAGCCAUCUGGCUGGAAAUAGUUUAAAAGUUAAAGCUAAGUGACCAAGAGCUUAGUUGUUGAUGUUAAGACCGUCAAAGUUGACAUCAUUGAUGUCCAUGGCUUCAUCCGCAACGUAAGAAGUAAUUAUUUCAUAGGCUACACAUUUGAUCCAGGCAAAUCUGGAAAAAGAAGGUCUAAUGUAGAAUAGAUUUGUCUUUCCAUGCAAAGUACGUAUGAGGUAUGAAGCCAUAUCAAUUCUCUGUUUGAAGAAAGUGACCAAAGAGAAUCAAUGUAAAGAGAAAAAAGCCGGAAGAAAAUAUUUGUGGUUGGAUAGCGAUCGGUAAGCACCUCUUCAUACAAAUAAUGGAGCUCAGCAGUUGAGUAGUUAAUUAACUUUUCAGCUUCAUUUCCCAUAGCAGUAGCAGUCAAUGAUCCACUUGAAACAGCAAUUGGAAUGGUAAUACAAGCUCUGUAAGAGAGAAGAUGGUAUGACUGUUAUGAAAAAGUUUGCAAGCAAUCAAUGUUAUGAAGAUGAGUAAUUAAACUGAAUAGAUCGAUAGAAUAGCUACAAAAACCUUGGUAACAGGUCAAUGUUAGCCUGACAGUAUCCAAGUGGCUGUAGAGCUGUUUGGUUGAUCACACUGGGGGCAUGCCAUAUAGAAUAACUUUUGGGGUCUAAAGGAAAUUUCGAUGAUUCCUCUAAUCCACGCAGUGUUUGUUCUUUGUAAAACAAUAAUAAUAAGGAUAGAAAGGAGGUAAACAUGAUUUAUGGAAUAUAAAAAAGAGUAAAAUUGCAACUUGUUGGAGCGCAGCAGUAAUAUAAAGAAUUAUAUUAUCGGCAACAGGAAGGAGAAGAACUCGCGGACCAGUGUAACUUCCUUGAUUAAUUAUAUUGUCUAUAGCAAGCGCAUGGCUAUGGUACCUGAUAUGAAAAAAAAUAGUCCUUAAGUAGUGUAAUGUAAACGGGAGAACAGUGCAGCAGAUAUUUAAAAUUUCUCACCAGUGAUCAAGAUGCAUUGCCUGUCGAGGGAAUAGAGGCACCAAAAUGGCUAAAUAAUGAGAAGUCGAGAAGCUUAGGUUUGAUAUCAAAAUAAAAAAACUGUUAAUACCAAGAGUUUUCAAAGCAAUGGAUGCAUUUAAUGUUUUUAAACAGUGAGGGUAACGAAUAUAGUUACAAUUGUUUGUUGUGACUUUGACUCUUAUCGCAACAAUGAUUAGAAAAUAGCGUCCAGGGGCUCUAAUGAUUGAACCAUAUAUUUCUUCGAAUCCAUUCCAAAGGGUUAGAAUCAUUGGUUUCAUACUGUGAAGAAAAAAAGGGCAUAAACUUUACUGAUAGAUUCAUUUUGAUUUUAUAAAUUAUGAUAGGAAAAGAACGAAAUGACUCAUGAAGGAGAUCAAUAAUUACAUAAUCUCGAGAAGUAGAAGGCGCUCCUUGACAAGGCAUUGUUUUAGGAGGCAAAAUAUAGACAACAACUCCCAUGACAUCUAACAUACAUUGUAUAAAAGAAAAUAUUAGAAUACGUAUGGUAAACUUCAUGGGGGGUGGAAAAAACACAUUAUGAAAACUGUUAGUACUUAAAUGAUGGGUAUCAGCAUAGAUAUCUAGCAUAGAAAAAGGGUUUAGGUGAAAAUAAAAAGGAAAUGAAGGAACAGGUUCCUAUAUUUCAUGUAUUAUGGUGUUUGUAGUGAUGAGUCAAUAGAACGGAUAUUCAUUAGCAUUAGAACAAGUUCGCGGUUCACGAAUAGCAGCUUUAGAUAUGUAGUAUUUUUUGAAAGGCACAAGCAAGUCGGCAAGUUGUUCAAUCAUAUCUCCAGCAGCGUAGACACUAAUGCUAAGACUUUGUUAUAAGAAUAAAGUUAUGUUUCGAUGCAAUUUAACAGCCAUAAUAGAAAAGAGAUAACCAGAUCAAUGUUACCUGGUCAUUUGCCAAUACAAACGUGCGAAGUGUUUGAUGAGACUAGGAAUUAUUUUUGGUAUGAGUGACUUCAAUUGCUCAGAGAAUAGCAUUCCAAUUCAGCAGAGAUAGAUCAAUAGCAGAUAGGGGAACAUCGUUAGCUUCCAUGGUAAAAGGUCCUAUAACAAAUUAGAAGAUGGUGGAGCAUAUAUUUAAACAAAGGAAUAAAGUUAAACUUAAAAUUAUAUAGGAUACAUAAAAUAAAGUAGUAAAAAUGGAUGAUUAAUUAAGACCAGCAGACUCGUCACAUCUUCAUUUCAAUAAUCAUAAUUAGAAGAAUAGAGAACGUAUUAACAAAAGGGAUGAAAAUAGCUGAUUUGAAAAGCACGAUAACUGGAAAGAAAGAUUAAAUUUGGCAUUAUACCAGAAAGUUUAACUUCGGAAGAAGCAAGGAAUAGAUUAGUAACUUUAGAAGUUACUUGUAAGCAGAAAAAAAGCUGUAAAAGAUAAAAGCAAAUAGAUGGUGAACAAUCAAAUUCUUAGUGAUGCAGUGGGGAAACGAACAGAGAAACAACAGGAAAAAAUAGCGAAGGCAGAGAGGAAAACAUUAACAGAUGACUGAAAAGGUUCAAAAGGUCAGGAAAAAGGUGAAAAACCUCUGGAAGCAGAGGAAAAGAGAAGAUGCAUAAGAUUAUUGUAGGCAAUAACUAAAUUUUCAUCAAAGAUGCCGAACUUGUACCUGUGUUAAUGCGAGAUGCAAAAUGGAACUACAACUAACUAAAAAGUAUCAACAAAGAUAAAACACGGAACAACAAUCAUGCAGCGAAAAGAAAUAGAAGAAGAGAAAAACUCACAAAGAAGAAGAAACAGAACCAACGUGGGAAAAGAAGUAGAGCAAAAAGUAAAAGGAACUUGGUUUGAUCUGAAAAGCAAAAGUAAUGUUAACGAAAUGUGACAUACACCGCUAGGCACGAAGUACGAAUUGCAGAGUUUAGGAUGCGCUGUCAACAAUUCAGAAGAGAAGUAGGACUAAAUCUAUAAAGUAAAGUCAAUACAUAAAAUUAGAUUUUAAUUGUUUGAUUUGAUAGUUGUAGAGGCAAAAAAUAGGAAAACUAAUUAAGGUAGCUAAAAUAUUAAAAGAAAACCAUAAAUUAUUGCAAAUCAAUGUACCUUCUGUUUGAAAGGAUCUGAGAUAUGCAAAAAAAAUUUUGGGCAUAUGGCAGGCAAAAAAAAUGUCGGGUGCACAUUCAGAGUAGCCAUGCAUUUGCUCUUGUUAAGAGGUAGUUUAGCGGUAGUCAACUAAAAGACCAUAUCAACUAAAAAACAGAGCUUCCGAUCCCACAAAAGCAGAUGGUUGCUUGUCAGAGCACAAUCGAGCAUCAUUUAUAUGAUGCACAACACCAUAAAGCUGAUUUUGGCAACCGGAUUGCAGAUAAGAAGAGGUGUUUCAGUAAAAAGUUGUCUAUUUUCAUUCCUGCAAAUAGACGGCUGAACUGUUUCAUUGGUGACAAAUGCUAAUUCCAUGUAUUGCUCUGCAGCAUUAACCACCAACCUACACAGGAUGACACAUAAUAAACAAAUUUAAAGUGGAAAGAAUAGAAAGAGGCGUUUUACGCAAGCAGAGAAAACUCAACUCGUAUCACCAGGAGAAGAAGACAGAAACAGACGGCGCGGUCCAGCAGUGAAGAACGUUUGAUUCUGAGAAUCUAAUGCAUCAAAUUUAGUAUUAAAAAGCCUAUUUGAUCAAUGAAUAUCCCCAGUGUCCCGCCUAUUAAGUGCAGGAAUACCUAGAUUAUUAAAAGAGUCCGGUGAAACUGACCAUAAUUUUUACCAUCGCCACGUCAAAAAGGACCACCAGGAAAAACACAAUCAAGAGAGGUUCGAGCAACGUGUUCGCUACCCUCCCCCUCACCAAGAGGUAACCCGUUUUCACGACGAAUAUUAGGAAGAGAAAGCUUUCUUUUCUUUGCAGCAUUAGCGUCACGGCGACUACACAAAAGAUCAGCUUUUUCAUGCUCUGGCAUUUUCGCAUAGCAUUUACGAUGCCUUGCAUUCCUAUCCAUGUUCUUGGACCGGAAGAUGCAAGAACAUAAAAUAAAACCAACAACCAAAAACAAAUGACUCAACAAUGUCCAGAGUGCAGGACAACCAGGGGAAAAAAUGGAAUAGAAACAAUUAAAUAUUAACAGACCUAGAAGCACACAAUUAGAGUUACACAACACAGGCUAGAACAAUCUUUCUAAGAAGAAGUUCUAGCGCAGGGCAACAAUAAACAAACACAGAACAACAUGAAAAAGUACAAGGCGGAACAAAGCUAUUUAAAGAAAGAAACAGGACGUCAGAAUAGCAAAAAAACCUGAAUUGGAUCAAAUAAGCACCGAUUAAGUACAUGUCUCCAAAGCAAAAGUAACACCCUGGUGAACAGGAUCGCCGCAACCAACCACUAUAGGAUUCAAAAAAAGAAGCAAACCUUUAGCCUGCACAGAACAACAGAAGCAAGAAAGAACAACACGGAAAAGAAGGUAAAAAAGGGAAAAACAGACUGCAAAAGGCAUGAACAAGCAUUGCAACAAACAAAUAAAGUACCAAAAGAAAGAAGGCCAAACAAAACUCAGCAACGAACAAAAAUAGAAGUCAGAGGGCAAGGUUCCAAGGAUGGAAAGGACUAACAAAUAGGUGAAAAGAGCUAAAAAAAGGAGAGAAAAGCCAGAAAAUCUCUGGAAGCAAAGAAAACACGAACAUAAACAAGAUCAAUGCAGGCAAUACUACAUAUUCUCAUCAUAAAAAGCAGAGGAAGAAAGAGUAAGAACCUGCACCCGUGUUUAUGGAAGAUGGCAAUGCAACAGUAACCAACUAAAAGCCAACAAACAGGACAAGAUACGGAACAAAAAGAAACAGAGGUAAAAACACAUAGCACAAAAUAAGGAAAGCAAAGGUAAGAACAAGGACAAAGCACACUCACCACAAACACAACAAGCAAGCAAUAGCAAAAACCAGCGAGCAGAAGAUGAAAUGAAGAGAAACAACCUAAACGAAACCCAAAAAAAGAAAAUGUCCAACAGAAAGCCGAGGGAAUUGUCCGACGGUUAACGAAAUAUCCUGCCAUAGACGUGCAAAGAUGAGCUGUCGGAUUGUUAAGAGUGGAAGCAAGUAUUUUCGGACAAUGAAAAUUUGGUGGUGGAGGCUGUUUGACAGAUAUGGAGACACGACCACAAAUUAUUACAAAACAAAUACAGUAGCAGCAAAACAAGCAAAAAAAUAAAGUCUUAAGGGGAAAAGCGUAAUUUCAUCAUUGACCAAGGAGUAAUUCUGACAAAAGAAUGACUAAUGACUAACGACAUGACUUUUGGAAAAAAUGGAUCCAUGUAAAAAAAAGAAACAAUUGGCUCCGUUUGAAUUAGCUAUUUUUGGGGAUAUUUUUGAAAAAAUUUACUGUAGUAGUGUAUAUGAAAAAAUUUUUACUAUAAAAUUUUUUUGAAAUAUUUGAUAUAUUGUACAGAUGAAAUGUUUUUUGAAUUAUAUGUAUUACUGUAGUAAUGUAUUUGAAAAACUUAUUUUUGAAAAAAUGGUCAAUCCAAAAGAGCUAGACUUUUGGGAAAAAAAAGGACGCAUGUAGAAAAGGGGAAAAAAACUAUCUAGCAUGAAUUCCACAUCAUCACCACCGACCAAUCCCCUCGUGCCACAUGGGCGGACGACCAUCCUAUGUGGCAGGGGGUUCCCUCUUUAUCUUUUAACCAAUCAUCACUACCGACCAAUCCCCGCGUGCCACAUGGGCGGAUGACUAUCCUACGUGGCAGGGGGUGUUCCCUCGUUGUCUAUAUGGUUAAUUAAUGAUGUCCAGCAUAAAACCCCCACAAACCCUCAACAUUCUUCACCUUUCUCAUACAACAGCACAACGCAGAGAAGCCUUUCAUCCACGCCUCUUAAGCAUCAGCUACGCAGAAUCAGGUAAGCGAAAAUGGAAUUGCUACAGCAAAAUUGUUUUUUUUUUUUUUUGCUAUUUUGUGGCAACAUUAGGUGGAGGAUUUAGUAAUUUACUUUCUGCCUCGGGAAAUAUUUUAGUUUUAAUGGAUUCAGAAUUCCGUUAUCUUCCUCCUGUUGUUUAUAUUUACUUCCUUUUUUUCGUCAGUUGGGUUCCCCAAAAUUGAAUUCAAUAUCUCAUUUAGCUCUGUGUACGAACCAAAAAAAAAAAAAAUUAUCAAAGCGCUUGUACAUUAGAUAUUGUUUAUUUGUUGGAUUUAAUUAUGGGAGUUCGAUGAAUUUUGACUAAAUGUUGCAUUUUGCAUUGGACAAAAUGGAACCUCAGGGGCAUUCGAUGCAUCCUUUGUACAAAAUUUUAACUUUAACGAAAGAGGCAUGUGCUCUGUGCUGACCUUGGACUUUUCCUUCAUUUUCUUCUAGGGUCAAUUCGGGUGUCAGGCUGUUACUUUCAAUUUUUUUUCUCAACUUUGUCAUGCCCACCGCCUAUGGAGCAAGUAGAGAACUAUUGCAGGGUGUUCCGACUGUAACAACCCCUCGGCAGGAGUUUUAUAACAAGGACUUGAAUACGUCAAUACUGAAGUUUGGUUGCUUCAGACCAAAAUUUUGCGUGCCAUCUGGGCUGUGCAAAAGAUUGAAUUCUAGAAGUACAAACAGUAGUCGUGCCCUUUCAAUUUCAAGUAGUAGUUGUGAUGAGAAAACUGAAGGACUCACGUAUAAGGAUGCUGGUGUUGACAUUGAUGCUGGAUCAGAACUUGUUAGAAGAAUUGCCAAGAUGGCACCUGGAAUUGGAGGAUUUGGAGGGCUUUAUCCUCUAGGUAGAGUUCGGUUAAAUAAUCUUUUUAUUCUUGUUCUUUGAACUAAUUAGCCGUUAAAUAUUCUUUUUAUUCUUGUUCUUUGAACUAAUUAGGCACAUUCAGUUAGCCGUAAAUAAGUUCUGAAUAUUGUUAAUAUAUAAAUAAAUUUGCCUUUUUUUUUCCUGAACGCUUCCUUGGAUGUCAUUGCAGAUUGCACCAAUAUUUCUGACGUAAUAUUUGCAAUUUGUGAUAAUGUGUUGAUGGAAUAUGUUUUUAGUUUAGUCUAAUUUAUGUGAUUGAUGGACUAUGGGCUUGAUAGGUCAGAAGGUCUCGUGAACAAGAUAGGAUGGCAAUCAUAAAUGACACUUUGGUCUUUGGGGUUUGUGCGAAUUAUUUGGGCAUUUAACUGAACUGAUCCAUUAGUGGUUUAUAAACCAAGUGAGAUUAGAUCAAAUUUGAUUGUCCUUUUUACGACUUAUCUUCCCAAAGUAUGUGGAGAAAAUAUAUACAAUCAUCUGAGGAAUACUAAUUGUAUUGUAUGCUUAUGUUGGCUGUUUUGUGAAGAUUCCUGGUGGUGUUUAAUUUUGAAAUUGGAGAAGUCGGGCUUUCUUCAUCUUGCAUUUGUUUGGUUACCUUAAGAUUUUGAGAAAAGUUAUGGCCAAAGAAAGAUAUAUAAGCUGUGAUCAAAAUCUUAUUGACUGCUGGUUUCAAAUUUGAUUUCCAUGGUUGAACGAGUGCUGUCUUGAGAAAUGUAAUUUUCCUAGUGAUGUGCCAUAAGAACGAAGUUUGGAUGGCCAAGAAGAAUUCGAGUCUGUAAGGAAGAUCAGAUAUUCAAUUGGAAAAUGGAAAUCUACCUCUCAAAAUACCAUGAUAUUUUUCUUCUUCAUUCAACAUGGUUCUUGCUUCUUGCUGGACAAAAAAUUGGCAUCGACUCUUUCUUUUUGUGCAUGGUUAUCACUCUUCUUUUGUUUAGUUUGAAGGUUGUGCAGUGUAUGCCCUUUUACAUUUCUUGUUCUUUAUUGCUCUGUUAAGAAUUGAGUCUGGUCUCAAGUCAGGUAGUGUUCUGUCUAGUUAUUAGCGCAGCAGGAUUAUGAUUUGUUUCUCCUUGAGCAGGGCUUGGCAGUGAUCUUUUAACUCUUUGCAGUUGCCAAAACUUUCCAGUCUUGUUCAUUUUUGACAAUUUUAGGACUAGAAUUUUUUGUAGGAAAGAUUCAAUGGCUGCAACUUUCUAAGAUUGUACAUUUCUGAUAGUAGUUUAUCCAAUACAGUUUUUUCCCAUUUAUGACAAACUGAUUUCUGAUUUGACGCUUGUAAUGUUUUGAGCUUGAAAGUGCUCAACAAAUAUUGAUUCCUUUUGAGAUGUUUGUUGUCUUUACCACAAAACCUGUGAGAACCUCAAUCAUUUUUCUAUCUGUACUUCUUCACUCAGGGUUUGUUUCUUGAGCUCAUCCUGCCCUAAUUUACUAUUCUUCUCUUAGCUUUUGGCUCUAGUUUCUCUUUAGCAGGCACCUUUCUAGUUUUCACAGCUGUGCAUGUAUAAGUUAUCUUUUCAAGAUUGAGAAAUUCGCUGCUUUGCUGCUCUGACAUCUAAUUGUUAUGUGGUUACCUACAGGUAAUUGAAAGUUAUAGGUAGUGGAAACAAAAAGGAGCAGGUUGAUGCUUUAGCAUAGCAUCUAUCAGUGCCCGUCAUGGUUUACAUGGAGAGAAAAGAACCCCUCCUCAAUUCUUUUUUGGCUGUCCCUUUCAUUUGAUGAUAGGUUCUUGUAAUAGCUCAUGAAAAUAUGAUACAAGAUAUUUGGAUUUGGUUAUGAGAAUGGUUUCACCCUUAUGUUGCAUGAUGGACUUGUGAUUGCUACCAUUGUCUCCCCUUUUCACAAGUUGAAUGAGUAUUAUAGAUUAAAAAGUCAAACCAAGGUGUUCCCAUCAGUGCAUAUUAUUUCUCUAUACAAGUUAAAUGUGAUUGUUGUCCUUCGCUGUGCCUUCUCUUUUGUAUCUUGCUCUCUGUUGUUUAAGGAAGAAGAUUUUCUUGUAGGGAUUAUUUUGUCCAUUUUUGAUUAACUUGCUGAUGGAUUUCUUUCCUUUGUUCUUUUGGCAUCGCCUGGAGCAGGUGAUUCCUAUCUCGUUGCUGGCACAGAUGGUGUAGGAACAAAACUAAAGCUUGCAUUUGAAAGUGGAAUUCACGAGACUAUUGGGAUUGAUUUGGUAAAUCUUUUUGCAGUUUUGUAUAUAAUUGGCUUUUGUUGCUAGAGUUAAUCAUUGACCUUCGGAUCAGGUUGCAAUGAGUGUUAAUGACAUCGUCACUUCUGGAGCAAAGCCUUUAUUUUUCCUUGAUUACUUUGCUACGAGCCAUCUUGACAUUGAUCUUGCUGAAAAAGUAUGUUAUUUAUGUCUACCAGGUAAUUUUUUAGUGGCUUUUACAGUUGAAGUUCUUUAGUGUGUGAUUUGUCAGUUUUUAUGCAGGUCAUAAAGGGUAUUGUUGACGGUUGCCAACAGUCUGAUUGCACUCUUUUAGGAGGAGAGGUAUUCUUCUGUAAUCUGGGGCUCUGAGAUAUUAUUUAAAUUUGUCAAUGAUUAAUUAAUGCCAAGCAGUUCAUCAUUAUUAAUGCCAAGCAGUUCAUCAUUCUUUUUCUCCUUGUGUUUCGUCCUGGGAAUAUUUGAAAAUGGCUCUCAAUUGAAAGUUAUGAUCUUCUGAUUUUUGUACUUGAUUGCCUUUAAUCAAAGUGAUCCUACGGUGUUGCAUUUUUUAAUUCUUUCAUGGUUUCAGCAGUUUUUGAGGUGAAACCAGCAGACUGGUACAUAUUUCAGAAAGCUCUUUUGCUCUUUCAAUUGUGAUUGAAAGAUUGCUUAUCCUUUCAGACUGCAGAAAUGCCAGAUUUCUAUGCACCUGGUGAGUAUGAUCUCAGUGGUUUUGCAGUCGGCAUAGUCAAAAAGGACUCUGUAAUUGAUGGGAAAAACAUCACAGUUGGGGACAUUCUCAUUGGUCUACCAUCUAGUGGAGUCCAUUCAAAUGGAUUUUCUCUAGUCAGAAGGUUUGAUUUCUUUAAAGGGGCUAUGCAGACUUUGCUAGGGACAUCACUAUCAGUGUCUAAUGAACCCUUCUGCCGAUAAAUUUCUCAUAUCUGUUGCACUUCCACUUUAUUCACAGGGUUCUCGAGCGAAGUGGUCUUUCUCUCAAUGACCGACUUCCUGGUGGAUCCGUCACACUGGGUAAAGCUUUGAUGGCUCCAACUGUCAUUUAUGUUAAGCAGGUGAUGGUUCAAUCCUAUUUUAGUUUUGCUUUCUGUGAAUCAUAGUACAAUAAUUGUUCUGUGAUUUCUUUAAUAAAGGUGCUUGGCAUAGUUAGCAAAGGAGGAGUUAAAGGUAUAGCCCACAUCACAGGAGGUGGUUUCACAGAUAAUAUACCACGAGUUUUUCCGAGAGGUCUUGGAGCUGCUAUUUAUAAGGACUCUUGGAUAGUUCCUCCCAUUUUCAAUUGGAUUCAAGAGGUGAGACUCUCUUUCUUCAAUAACCUGAGUUUGUGACUGAUAUACUUUGAAGCUAUGAAUCUUCAUAUUCAUGUGUAGGGUUGUAAUGUUCCUGUUGAUGUACUUUGGUUGUGCUCAGACUUUCACACAAGUAUUCACACUUUUAUUUUACCUGUGAACAUUAUAGGCCGGAAAAAUAGACGAGGCUGAGAUGAGACGGACUUUUAAUAUGGGGAUCGGAAUGGUUUUAGUCGUCGAUAAGGAGGCUGCACUAAGAAUACUUGGUGAUGGACAGGGGACAAGUUCAAUGUACUGCAUCGGUGAGGUUGUAAGUGGUGAUGGAGUGAGCUACCGAUAAUAGGUAAAUGAGAUGUUAUAAAACUACACUCUUAGGACGAAAUUUGUAUGGGAGAAUUAAGAGCUUGGAGUUACGCUUCCUUUUGACAUGUGUUCCACAAGUUUAAAUGAUCAUAUAACGACUACAAAUUUUGGCUCAACUAAAGGCACUUUAUCAGCUAAACCUUGAGUUUUCAACCCCUCGUACUUCUGUAACUUUUGUUGCCUGUAUGAUGUUGUACUAUGGAGAAUUCUGGUAUGUGUAAGGAUGGUGCAAACAAACACACACCAUUAGAGACAUUUACAUUGACAAAAUUUUUAAAUGGAGUUAGCAGAUGGGGAGAGCAAUACUCAUUUUUUGGGAGAGUGGACAGAUCUUUCUUGAUUUCCCUUUUUCCUACCUGAAUAUUUUUGUCUUUUAACUUUAGAAUCUGAAUAAAAUUGAUCGCUUCUUGUCUAUUGCUGCAUAUAUGGUGAAGAAAAUUGAACUCUAAUUUUGGUAGUAAAAAGGACCUGCAUUCUCUUUUUUUGAUACUUGGGUUUAGCGAAAAGAACUUGAACCAAAAAAAGGACACCUGAAAUUAUUAUGUAUAUCACAUACUAAUAAUUAUUAUCCUCCCUUACAUUUAUAUAAUUUUCUUAUUUAAUCUUAUCUAGUCACCCUUGUAUUUAUUUUCUUUAAUUAAUCUUAUAUUUUCAAAAAUAUGACACCUGAAAUAUAUUUUAAGGAGAGCAUGCGUCAGACAGAUACAUAAACUAUUGUCUCUUAAUUGAGUUUAAUAAAAUCAAAGUGAACGAAUUAUCUGCUUAUUCUGUUUAAAUCGUGCAAAUUACAUCUGUGGUACACAAGCAAAAAUUAAUGGUUGAGAAUAAGAAUCACGGGCUAAACCGUCCACCAGGGAUUAUGGGCCUUGCCCUAGGAACCGGAUUGAACUUAAAAAGAUCUAAUUAGCUGGGUAAAUAAGUUGUACUGUGAUUUAGUAAGGUUGGCCACAUCGGAUAUGGCCCAUAAAUGUUAGCAAUAGAAGUCAGCAAGGGAUUAGUAUGUUGGCUCCGCGUCCGUUUUGAGUUUUUAGGAAGAAGUAGCCUCCGUGUGUAGCUAGAGCCUCGUUUUGAUUAAUAGAAAAUUUCCCUUUGCCUCUGUAUCGUUUUUUUCACUUUGAUUGUUCUUGUGAGUUUAUGAUUUAUUAUCAAUUUGGAUCCAUCAGAGUGGUAUCAACCAAAAAAAUUAAGCGAAAAUAUACAAGAGAUAUAUUUCAUAAAAUUAAUAUAUAUAUAUAUAUAUAUAUAUAUGGAAAGGCAAUUUACAUACAUAAAAAUAUGUGUGGAAGAAGAGGAAUAAAACCAACAAUAAUAUAUUAAUCAUAUCAUAAGAAUAAGACUCUCAAUCCUUCACUUUUAUCAACUAAAUUCAAUAAUAUGAAGUGGGUGGAAAAAGGAAAAUGUCCCGACCAAUGGAGGUGCAUAUGACGAAAGAGGAGGAAAUGAAUCCAAAAAGAAACAAAAAGGAAGGUGAAACGGAAAUGCAAAAUGAGCUGAAGGUGAUGGAGACCAGCCUGGAGUGGUCUCCCGAUGCAAUAUGAAAGUCUUGGCGUGGAACUGCCAAGGUGCCGGGAGCUCUUUGACGGUUCCCAGUCUCAAGGAGGUUUGUAACCUUCACUCCCCAAAUCUGGCGCUUCUUAGUGAAACUAAAAAUAAAAAAAAAAACAUGAUGGAAAAAAUAAAAAAAAAGAGUCAACUAUGAUAAUAUUUUUGUGGUUAACCUGAUUGGUAAGGCAGGAGGUUUAGCUAUCUUUUGGAACAAAGAACUAAAGAUUGGUAAAAUUUUGUUUACAGAUUUCACCAUUGAGGUUAAGAUUACUGCUAAUCAGGAAUCAGACAGCUAGUGGUGUAUAUGUACAUAUGCAAACUCAGUGGCAUCGAUUAGGCAGAAAUAGUGGGAAAUCUUAACUGAGAGAAGAAGGUUGUGGAACAAUAGAAUUGUGCUCAUUGGUGAUUUUAACGAUAUAGUUUCCAAUGAUGAAAUGUGGGGUGGCAAGUCAAGAGAAAGUUGGUCUUUUAGUAAGUUCAAAAAUUUCAUUGCCAGAAAUGAGCUUGUUGACCUUGGUUUUGAAGGUUUGCCUUGGACCUGGAACAAUAAUUGGAGCUCUGGGGAAGAGAUAAAGGAGAGAUUAGAUAGAGCUCUAACAAGUGUAGAUUGGUGCAGAAACAAUAGUGGAGCAAAUUUGAUGCGUAUACAAACUGUUGCUUUUGACCAUGCUAUGCUGUUAAUGGAUACCAGACCCGUAAGGAAAAGAUGGAGAAAAUGGUUCCAAUUUGAUGCAAGAUGGCUGCAGUAUCCAGAAGUAGAAAAGGUGGUGGAUUUUGCCUGGGAGAAACAACAAUUGGGAUCCACAGGAUACAGAAUAACAAAGAAAAUUAAGGAAUGCAGACUAGCACUCAAGGUGUGGAAACAAAGGAUUUCAGUCCAACAGUAAAGCCAACAUUCAGGCUAUCAAAGACCUAAUUGAGAAGACACAGGAAAGCAAUGCACAGAACAAGCAAUCUUUGAUUAUAGACCUCAAAAGGAAAUUGAGUGUUGAGUAUGCUAAGGAAGAAGCAUUUUGGGCCCAAAAAUUAGAUGCAAAUGGCUAAAAGAGGGGGACAAAAACACAGCUUACUUUCAUAUGAGAGUUGCCAGUAGAAGAAGGAGAAAUAGGAUACCCAGAUUGGAGAAGGAACAAGGUGGUUGGUGUGAAACAGAUGAGGAGAUAGGUGAAGAAGUGGCAAAAUACUACCAGGAAUUGUUUAAAAACUCAUGGCCCACAAAUUUCGAUGAGAUUCUUUAGGGCAUUCCUAGAACAAUUACAGAACAGAUGAACCUUCAAAUCACUAGACCUGUAACAGAGAAGGAAAUUAAGCAGGUUUUAUUUUCCAUGCAUCCCAAUAAAGCCCUAGGACCAGAUGGUAUGUCUCCCUUAUUUUUCAAAGAUUCUGGGGUAUCAUUAAAAAGGACCUAGUGGAGACUAUCAAGAGUUACUUUCAGCUGGACCAUAUGUGCAAAGCUCUGAAUGAAACUUUAGUGACACUAAUUCCUAAGAUUGAUAUGCCAUUGAAUCUUUCUCAAUAUAGGCUAAUCAACUUAUGCAAUGUUGUUUAUAAAAUUAUUUCCAAAGUUCUUGUAAAUAGAAUGAAGCCUUUUUUGAAUGAUUGCAUAAGUAAUGGUCAAGCAGCUUUUGUACUAGGGAGACAAAUUUUGGAUAAUGUUAUGAUAGCACAUGAAUAUAUCCAUUGGCUUAAUCAUAGGAGGGGCAAGAAAGAGGGAUAUAUGGCUCUUAAACUAAACAUGUCAAAAGCCUAUAAUAGAGUAGAAUGGAAGUUUUUGCUUUGUGUCCUUAGUAAAAUGGGGUUCUGCCCCUUGUGGAUCAAUUGGAUCAAGGGGUGCAUAUCUUCUUGUUCCUACUCUUUUAAUAUCAAUGGGAACAAAACAAGUUAUGUGUGUCCUUCUAGAGGCAUUAGGCAAGGUAACCCACUGUCUCCAUAUUUGUUUCUUUUCUGUGCUCAAGGUCUUGUAAAUCUUUUGACAUCUGCUUGCAGGAACAAUCUGUUAACAGGAAUUAAAAUCUCCAGGACUGGUCCUGCCAUCUCCCACUUAUUUUUUGCAGAUGACUCGUUAAUUUUUUGUACAGCUAACUCUAAGGAGGCAAGUGAGAUCACUAGAAUUCUUCAAAUCUAUGAACUAGCUUUAGGGUAAAAGAUCAACAUUGAGAAAUCAGCAGUUCUUUUCAGCAGAAACACCUCCCAAGCAAAUAAACAAGAUGUCCUCCAAACUCUUGGCAAUAUCCAGCAUGUUUCUCAGGCAAAGUAUCUGGGUCUCCUCUCCCUAUGGUUAUAGGAAGAUCUAAAAACAGCACAUUCAGGUUCCUGAAAGACAAGAUGACUGACAAGCUGCAAGGAUGGAAGGGCAAGAUGUUAAGUAAUGCAGGCAAAGAGGUCAAAUCCGUGGCAUUAGCUCUACCAUCAUAUACCAUGUCAGUUUUCAAGCUUUCAGAUGGACUAUGCAAAGCAUUAAGCAACAUGAUGGCGAAGUUUUGGUGCGGAAAUGACCAAGGCGAGAAGAAAAUGCAUUGAAAAAAAUGAUGGGGCCUGACAGAAAUCAAAGGUAAAGGAGGACUUGGAUUUCGUGAUAGUUUUCAAGCUUUCAGAUGGACUAUGCAAAGCAUUAAGCAACAUGAUGGCGAAGUUUUGGUGCGGAAAUGACCAAGGCGAGAAGAAAAUGCAUUGAAAAAAAUGAUGGGGCCUGACAGAAAUCAAAGGUAAAGGAGGACUUGGAUUUCGUGAUAUAAAGUGCUUCAAUGAAGCCUUACUUGCCAAGCAAGCAUGGAGACUACUAACAAAACCUGAGUUGCUGGUUAGUAAGGUAAUGAAAGGGAAAUAUUUUCCGAACUCCUCUAUCUUGCAGGCCAAAGCAAAGUCAGGUUCCUCGUGGAUAUGGCAGAACAUUCAUAGUGCAAUCCCUUUGCUAGAAGAUAGACUUAGGAGAUAGAUAGGGAAUGGUAGAUCAACUGCAAUUUGGAAGGAUAGAUGGAUUCCCAAUGGUAUGAAUGGACGAAUAAGAUCAGCUAGACCUCAAAAUUGCAACAUAUAUGGAGUCCGUGAGUUGAUCAUUAACAAGAGAUGGAACAAUAAUCUUAUUCAGUCCAUUUUCUCAAGAGAAGAGAUGGAACAAAUCCUAAUGAUCCCUCUCAGUAUCCAGGAAAGGCAGGACAGGUUCGUUUGGAGGCAUAGCAAUAGUGGAGAUUAUACCACCAAGUCAGGAUAUGCUCAAGCCUGAUUGAAAUUGAGCAAGAAAGCCAAUAAGAUGCAACCAAAUGAGAGAUCCAGCACAGGAAAGGAUGAUCCUACACUAUGGCAUCAAGUUUGGGACCUAAACAUAAAACAUAAACUGAAGCACUUCCUAUGGAAAUGUCUCCAUAACAUCCUACCUACCAAUGAAGAAGUGUAUAGAAGAACUGGCAAAGAGGAUAAGUGGUGCAUAUGCUGUGGUGAAGAGGUAGAAACAUUAGAGCACCUUUUUUUCAACUGUAAAGCUAGAGAAGAGGUUUGAAAGACAUUCCCUAUCAAAUGGGACGGUAUUCAAGAAAGAUCGUGGAAUUUUUGGAAGUGGUGGGAAGGGUUGCAAGGUGCUAGAAGCAGAGUUAACGGCAUCAGUCACAUAGAAGCCACAAUAAACUUCUUGUGGCAAUUGUGGAAAGCAAGGAAUGCCUGCAACUUCAACAAGGAAAGCACAAAAGGUAACCUGAUCUCUUAUAGAACUCUGGGAGAAUGGCUGGAGUACAAACAGAUGUGGGACUUGGAGAAAAUGGAAAGCAAAAAGGAUGAUCCAAAAGUACCAAUGAUAACCAUGACAAAAGAACCUUAGGAUCAACAUGCCAUCCUAAUGUUCACGGAUGCUAGCAAUGGACAAAAAUAUGAGUAGAGGGGGAUUGGGCAUCGCAACAAAGGACCAUAAUGGAAAACUUGUCAAAACAUGGGCAAUCCCUACUGGAAUGAUGAAGGAUGCUGCCAUAUUAGCAGUUGAAGCAAUCAGAUCAGCCAUGCUCAAAGCUCUGGAAGAAGGGUGGACAUCUCUACUCAUACAUUCAGAUUGUAAAGGUCUAGUGGAUAGAAUUAAUCACAGAUGUAUUGGGUUAUCUCUGUUAGAUGUGUUGGUAGAUGAUAUCGUACAUCUUAGUCGAUCCUUUUGGCGAUGUUCCUUCAUAUUUAUUGGAAGGGAAUAUAAUCGCACUAGUCAUGAUUUGGCAAAAUUUGCUAUCAACCUAAUUGAUGAAACAAGUGGGAGCUAGACUUCCCUGUGUGGCUUAGGAUUGAAGCCCAUAAAGAUUUCCUGGCCGUGUGCCAGUAGUAUGUAUAUGCUAGGAAUAUUGUAACUUUUCUCACAUAUAUAUUAAAUGAUGACAUUUUGACAAAAAAAUGACUUAUCUUCCUUUCUGCGUUUCACCCAAAAGUACAAAUUUAGCACCAAAAAAAUUAAGUCAACCUUUGGGUACGAAAAUUUAUCAAUUUAUCUAUUCAAGUGUUUGUUGAAAGAUCAAUCUUUUAGCUUUGUGAUUCAUUGCUGAGGGGACAUUCUUGAGUAACUACUAUGUAGUUUGGAAAUUUUGAUUGACUUUCAAAUGACUGGAUUUGGAAUGAAUUUGGUUGAAUUAACUGAGUAGUUUUCUUCUGGAUAAAUUUGGACGUACGAAGUGAGUGAUUAAUCAGGAGAUGGACAAUCAAAAGGGUUAUUAUCACUUUACUCCCUUAAAUUAUAUCACCACUAUUAGCUUACCGCCUAAUGUUAUUUUUUAAUCAUUUUACCCCCCAAGUAAUUCAAUUUAACAUGUUAAGAAAUUUUGGACAAAAACACCCCUUAAUUUUAUAGCAUUAUCACAUUGUUAUUAUCACUUUAUCCCUUGAAAUUAUAUUGAUACAAUUGUUUUAAUUUCUAAAAUUAUUUUCUAGGCAUUUUAUCUCAUCAUCAAUCUAACUUGUAUUGUCAAAAAUUUUAAAUACAUUUACCCUUUUUAUAUAUAAUUAAAAAUAACAAAUGUUGGAAUGGUUAUUCUUUUUUUUUUUUUACUUUAAGAGAUCCAAAAAUAUAAAAAUAAAAGGGUUUUCUCAAAUUUCUUUUUUCACACUUAUUAAUACUAGGAAAAGAAAAGGAGAUAGGAGAGAAGGAGACAGAAAAUUAGAUUUUACAAACAAAGAAAAUAAAGAAAAGUUUAACAUUAUCGUAUUACUUUAAAAUUGUUGGGAUUAGAAUUGAAAUUUGGCGGUAAAUAGAAAAGUGAAAUAAUUUUAAAAUAAUAAAAGUAUUUAAUUCUUUCUUAUUUGUAUUUUUUCAAAAGAAUUGAGCUCUCUCUCUCUCUCUCUCUCUCUUUCUCUCCCCUCCUCCCUCCCCCCAUCCCCAUCUUUUUUUUUGAAUAUUAAUAAGAUUGUUAAGAAGAAAGAGAUUAAUACUUUAACCUUUUUUUUAAUACUAAAAUGAAGAAAAGCUACUCUAAAUUUUUUAUUGUUUUUAUUAUCCAAAGAGGAUGGUACUUUCUUAUAAAGUUCUUUAACUUACUGAAUUGAUUUAAUGGUGGGAUAAAUUGGCUAAAAAAAAUCCAGGGGAUAAAUUGAUAAUGAGGCUAUAGUUUAUGGGGAUAAAGUGAUAAUAAUUUUAAGGGCUAAUUAAGUCUUUUCACUUUAAUUAACAAACUCCGUUAAAUUUGACUAUUAAUUUUAGGGGUAAAGUGACUAAAAGAUAACGUUAAGGAGGAAAUUGAUAGUGAUACUGAACGUUAAUGGAGUAAAAUGAUAAUAACCCUCAUUAAAAUCACAAGCAAAGGAAGUAAUCAAAACAACAAGCAAAGGCAGCUACUUUGGCACUUGGUAGAAACUCUGAAAAGCAAAAACUAUGGCCGCCCUUACCUUCGUAUCUUGCAUGCAGGUGCCAUCUUGCCAACACCACGAAGUCUACCAAUUCCUUCCUCUGAAAGGUGAAGGUAUUGGGUGGGGCGUUUAGUAUCCGCCUCAACGGGACGAAAGCCGACAUAAGGCGUAAGCCUCGCAAAUUUUUAUUUUUUAAAUCCUUACUAUACUAAAAGUGCCAAUUGGAGUUGCUACAGUGCUCAUGGGCCGGUUAUCCGGUAAUUUUGAGCAACUUCAGUGGCAUUUUCAUAGGCAGGCCGGUUAUCCGGUAAUUUUGAGCAACUUCAGUGGCAUUUCAUAGGCAGAUAGACUGGUUAUGCUGUAAAUUUCGACAAUUCCAGUGGCAUUUCAUAGGCAUUUGUUUGGGCUUGCCCUCUUGCUCCUGAGUUCAGACGCUAGAAUUCUUUCCCCUCUCCCUCCAGUGGCAUUUUUUAGGAAGCAUAUAUGUGCCAUAUAUAAAACUUGAUACCCUUUACGGUGUUGCAUUGUUAGUUCUUUCUUCUUUUUUUUUUUAUUUUUUUUGCCUUUAUUAUAAAGGAUAAAAUGGAUUUAUUCUGUAACAAAAUAAUAAAACAACAAUUUUACCAUAAUUUCGAAUCUUCCCAUAUUUUUACGUUCAAUUUCUCCAUGUUUAUCUACUAUAUUUGACACACAUUUCUUCAAUUUUUCUUUAUUAACAUCACCCAAAUUAAGUCCAUGCACUUGUUUCCCCUAUAAUACUUCACUUUUAUAAGAGAAUUAUUAUUACAAAUAUUUUUAUUCUAAUUAGUUAUAUACACAUCUGAGUGCGCCUUAAUCACUAUUAUGUAUAACAAGAAAAGAUUUUUUGAACAUGUUUGAACUAAUUCUUGAUAAGAAAUUUCAGAAAAGUAAUGUACUACCUAACCUUUAGUUUUAGAUACUUUUAUUGGUAUUUUUUUCAUUCAGAGUUUUAGCUCUCUUGCCUAUGUAAUCUUGAGAGAAAGCCAUCUGAAAGCAACAUAUUGGAUGUGUUUCUUUCUUCAAUUGAAGACCUGGAUUUGGCAGUUUUACAAGGUGAAGUUUUCACACUCUCACCUGGCUGAUCUUGUUGAAACUUAUUUCAUUUUUGAUUAGAUACAAAUAGUGUGUGCAUAAUUUUAAAACUGAUCAGCGUCACCAUAUUUAUGAUAUUUGUAUGUACUUGUACAUUUUAAAUGAAUGCAUCAUUUAUUUAUAGUAUCAAGAAUUCACAAAGAUCUUAAGCCAAAGACUGACUAUCUAAGAGAAAAUUACAAAUCAAAUGAGUAAACGAGUAACAACAAUAUUCAAUUUACCUAAAGUCAAAAUCUCCACAUUUAUUAACACCUAUCAUGUAUUAAAUAUAUAACCAAUUUACAUUAAUCCACUUACCUUCAUUUGAUCUUGAUUAACAUAUAGCCAGGGCAUCCUCACGCAUCGCAUGAGGUUGAAAAAACUAGUAUAUAUAAAUAUGAUAUAUAUUAUAAAAAAAAGUCAUUUGAAGAUAUAAAUAUAUAUAAUAAAAUUACACAAAAUUAAGAAAAUUUAUACAGAUAAUGAAUUAUUAUUGUAUAACUCUAAUUAAUAAUUGAAGAAACAUACAUAUUAAUAUUAGCUACACAAAAUAGUAGAAUAAUUAACAUUACAAAAAGUUCAAUCUUAGAAACAAAUUAGUAACAACUCAGAAGUCUCCAUAUUAUCAAGCACUUAAAUUACAAACACAUAAAUUCAAGUAAACACAAAUUUCAAAAGUUAAUUGUUUCAAUAAACACACUUAACUAGCAUUAAAAAUAAAAUAUCAAAUUAGCACCCAUAUUGCUUAUAAUACAUAACAAGGAAUAACACCAAUAAUUAGAAAUAAACUAACAAAUAAAAUGAUACUAUUUAUCAAAAUCAAUAUCAUCCAUGUCAUCAUCUUCAUCUAGUAUAUAUAUACUAGGUAAUUUUCUUCCAAUAGUUGAUGGUGGUUUCGGACUUUUCAUCACAUCACAACAUCCAAUCUAUAGGUAACAAUCUCUUUUCCUUUACCUUUCUUGCCUAACCAUAUAUUAUAUUUCAAAUAAAUUCAUAUCAAAAUCACUUAAUGUCACAAUAUAAUAGAUAGUAAAUUAGUAAUAAAGCUGAAUAUUAAAAAAAUUUAAAACUUAAUUGAUGAAGUUAAAUUUUUUUCUUUUUUUUUUAAAGACAAUUUGUGAGGCGUAUACUUUUAAUGCCCCGUUUCAAAGUUGUGGCCAAAUGCUUGGGGUGUACACCCUAGAAUACCUUCGCCUUGUGCAAUCGGCUAGAGAUGGUAUUGGAACACCCUAUUCGGGACUCACCCCGCAAACGCCUUUUAAAACACUGCUCAUAACCAUAAAGGUCCACCAACAACCGUAUCAAACUGGAUUUGUGACAAACUUGAGGUCCCACGUUUGAAGGAAUUCUAUUCGAGAUUUACUUUUUGUUGUAUGAGUUGCUAGAUGUUAGUUCAUGUUUGCUUGCUUGAGGUUCAAAUUGUGGCUAUGUUUUUUCUUGAAUCAAAGCCUAAGACUUGGGAAAUUGUUGUGCUAUUAAUUGGAACCGACGGAGAUUGGAAAUUGUUAAAUGAAUGUCGAAGUAGCUAGUGGGGUUGCUUCUUGUUUCUUCUGAAAAUGAAAACCUGCUUACAAAAGAAAUGGUUUGUUCGUUUGAAAUUUGAAUGAUUAGCCAAAAAGAGAUCGAUGACAGUUUCAAAGCCUGCAAAGUCUGCAACUACACCUAUGUAACUUUUCUGGCGGUGAUGCAAAGAAGAAAGAAGAGUCAAGGGUUGAUGAGCUGUUUUGGGAUUUUCAGUGCAACUUUUUGCUGACUCGCUGAAUGUAGCAGUCAACGUUAAUUCACCAGCAGAAAGGGUCUAGUUUUAUGAUUUUAUGCAUUUGAGUGUUCAUUUUGAAAUUGGCCGAAUCUCAGGGACUAAUUGGUAGUUGGCUAAACCUCGAGGGAGGUAAAUGUAAUUAACCCUUUUUUAAAUUACUUUUCUGUUUAAUGUGUACAAGAAUCCUAAUUUUAUGUUUUUAGGAUCUAUAUUAAAUGUUAUUCAGGUAGUAUUAGUAGACUAACUGCACUUUACAACUUGGAACUUAUACCACAUUCUCACUUUAUACCUUAAAUUUUAAUUUUUGACACUUUACGUCCUAAAUUCUUAAUUUUGGACACUUUGCAACCUAAACUUUUAAUUUUGUCCAAUUUAAGUCUAAUCAAUGACAACUUUUGCAAAAUUAACAACAUUAAGGAUGGUGAAAAUCUAUAAAAAUGUAUCAUUUUGUUCUAAUUACAAUCCAUUGGCUCUUUUCUGACCACACACGUUGUUAUUGAUUUAUAUAGUCAAAGUUCUUAAUAUUGUGAGUAAAUUAAUGAGAUAAAGAAUGGUGCAAAUCAAUAAUAAUUUAUCAUUUUAUUUAUGCUAUGAUAUGUUGGCUCCUUUUGACCACUUUUACACAUUGUCAUCGAUUUUUAGGGUUCUAUAUGAUAUUAAUUUUGCUAAUGUUGUUAUUGAUUGUAUUUAAAUGAGACAAACAUGAGAGUUCGAGGUAUCCAAUAUUAAGAGUUUAUGGCGUAAAGUGUCCAAAAGUAAAAUUUAGAGUGUAAAGUGGAAAAAAGUAAUAUAAUUUUUGGGGUGCAAAUUGGAUUUAGUCACUUUCUUGAAUGCUUGUUGCAUAAUCUUGUAAUUUAUGUAGAUUAUUUUAUAAUCUGAGAAAAUGAUUUGAUAGUUUUGGUUUUAAAAUUUUAUAUUUGAUCAAUUUAAACCAUUCAUAUAUCGUACAUUUAAACUUUAAAAGUGCGAUGCCAUGAACUUGCCCAAUAUUAUAACAUAACGUUAAAAAAUAUACAUUUGGAUUAAAAAGUUCUAUAUUUGAAGUUACCGGACCCCAAAAAAUACAUGACUGGAGAUCAUUUUAAUUUAGAGCCAUCCACCAACUCCUUCUAUUGAUUUUCUUCUUUUUUAUAUUUUAUAAAGUUGAAGAAAUACUGAUUCUUAUAGUGCUUGUCUCUAGAGAUUUUGGUUUUCUUAUACGCAACUUUUCCAUUUAUCAGAUUUAUUCUUUUUGUAUCAUGCACGUCAUAGGAGGAUUAGAAGUUGGAGAAUAGUUUUGGACUACGGCCGGCAUGACUACUUAGGUGGUCUAACAUAUACUGUUGUUUUCUUGUAAACAAUUUCUUUUAAUGCAUAAUUAUAUUUAUUUUUAUUUAGUUAUGUAAAAUAUUUAAGGGCAAAUUCCACUUUAUCCCAUGUGGUUUAGCUUUUUUUUACAUAACCUCCCUAUAGUUUCAAAAGCUAUAUAUAACCCCCUCAUAGUUUGGAUUAAAGUGUCAAAGUGACGGGAAUGAUCAUUCUUAACGGAGUUACCUAAAAUGUCAAAAAUAUCCUUAUGUAAAGUUGAAAAUUAUUUAUUAACCAAGGGGGGUUAUGUCUAUAUUUUGAAAAUCAUAAGGAGGUUAUAUGGUAAAGUAUUAAACCAUAAGGGGGUUAUAUGGUAAAAUAUAAAAAUCAUACCGGAUUAAUGUGUCAUGUAUUUAUAAAGGUAAUUUCGAUAUUUUUAGAAGUUUCGUUAUGAAUGACUAUUUCUGUCACUUUGACAUUUUUAUCCAAACUACGAGGGGGUUAUGUAUAGUUUUUGAAACUAUAAGUGGAUUAUGUAAAAAAAUACUAAAUCACAGGGGGAUAAAAUGUAAUUUGCCUAAUAUUUAACUAUCGUAAGUAUUUUUUUCAUGAGAAAAGGAAUGAAUUUGCCUAUCUCUCUCGCCAUCACUAUAUUAAGGCGGGGGAUCAUUUCUUAGUUGGGGGGAUCAUUUCCGUAGAUCGGUGCUCUCUGUGUGCCUGUGCAAAGGAAUCUAUUGAGCAUCUAUUUUUUUCUUGUAAUUAUUCAGCAUAUAUAUACGGGGGAGAAUACUGCAGCCUUCUUUACUUUACAGAGGCAUCCAUGGAUAGAAAUAGAAUGGUGGGCAAAUAACAUUACAAAUGAAUCUUUGUUGAAUAGAGUCAAGAAUCGUGUUUUAUCAGUUAAUGUGAUUCUUCUUUGGCUGAAUUGGCUGAACACAAUCGUGAUGACAAAGCUGCUUCGCCCUACAUACAAUCCGGCCCAGUGAAUACUUUGAUUCUUCUUUGUUUUCAAUUGGCUGAACACAAUCACGAUGACAAAGGUGCUUCCCCAACAUACAAUCCUAACCAGCCAAUCAAGAUUCACAUCGGUAUUUGUAUUGGGAUUUGCACGCCAUAGUGCAAGGUGUACAUGCUGGAGUAAUCAAUCAUAAACUGUUUCAUGUGUGUAUCCAUAUUUGCGUCAAAGUUUGCAUUCAUCCAAUAUAUGAUGCAUCCAUCCAACAUCCUAGCCUAGUACUCCCUCCCUUUUUUUAUAACUGAUGUUUAAGAAAUUUGCUCUAGUGUACUUUUAUCUGUCGUUUUAUUAUCUCCGUACAGUAUUAAUUAUUUUUUCAUAAUUUUACCCUUUUAUCUCUCUUUUCCAAUACAGGGUUCUUAAUUACUACUCCUAGUAAUUAUUGCUUCAUUUUAGAAACAUUUAGUUUGGUGGGAGUUGGUUUGCAUUGCUAUUGGCCUAGUAAAAGUAGUGUAAAACAGCACCAUUUAGUACUCUAGUGAGAGAAAAUAUGGGUGAAUUGGACAAUUAAUGAGGGUACAAAAGGAAAGUAGUGUACAGAUUUAAGCAAUGAAAAACUUUUCUUAAUUAGUGUGUAAAACCUUAAACGUCAGUUAUAAAAAAAGGGAGGGAGUAUAUGAAUAUGAUGCAUAUGUAAAGAAUAUCUCCAUCCAUCCAAAUAUAUAAAUAUAUUAUAUCCAAAUAUAUCAAAUGGAAAGAAUGAAACAGGAGUUUUUAAUGGCAAAGCUACUGCAGCAGAAAUUGUGAUUUGGAGGAUAGCACAAGUGAUUACAAAUAUAGUAGCUGGAUGGAGGAAAACACCAAGAACUAAACACAAAUUGGGAGCUAAGUUUGAAGUGCAAUUCUGUUCCUGAGAUCUUUUUACUGAAUUAGUUAUGUUAAUCGUUGAUGUAAAGGGAUAGAGAUAGGAGUUUAUCAUAUAGAACAGGAAUUCACUGCCCUGUGGAUACUUAUUGCUAAUUUUUUAAUAAAUUCUAAUUUAUGACCAAAACAAUUUAAAUAUUUUUUUAAACAGUUUCUUGUUGUGCAUUAAUUGUUGAUAAUAUUUUUUAAAAAAAUUUCUUUUUCUAGUAGAGGAGGGGUGAGAUUUAAAAAGAGGGGAGGGGAAAGGGGGAUAAUUGUUGACAAUAUGUUGAUGAUGCACUAGUAUGCAUUAAUUGUUAAUAAGAUGUUUGUGAUGCACUAAUUGUUAAUAAAAAUAGAAAUUACAAAGAAUAAUAUUACUAAAUAUACACUUUUUAGUUGCUUAUAAUAAUUUACGGUAGUUAUACUUGACAGAAAAUAACUAUAUCUGAUUAAGUGUCAAAUAAAUUAUUAAUAAGUAUAAAGAAUAAAAGAAUAUGAAGAAAAAGAGAAAACAGAAGCAAAAUAUUUAUAUUAAAUGUUUAGUUUUUAUUUUUUAUAAUAAUUAAUGCAUAACAAGAAUCUAUUAAUAAAAUAGAAAAUACAUAGAAUAAAUGUAUAAAUUUUAAUUUCUUAUAAUAAUUAAAUUUUUUAUAAGAAACUCUUUAGCACAUUGUUAUCUAAACUUGUAGUUCAUAGCAGAAAUUGAGAAAGAGGAAAAAGAAAUUUAAACAAGAAGAAGAAAAGGAAGAACAUUUGACAAUAUUCUAGCAAUGAGGGCACAAUUAUAUUUUUACUAUCCAAAUAUAUUAGACUAUUAUUAUGGAUUAAUUUUUGUUAGUAUAUACAAUAACAAAUCUAGACGCAUGUUACAUCAUUUCAAUUUAAACUCAAAUAUUUGUAUAUGUGGUAUUCAUCUAGAAUUACAAGUGUAUACAAUAAUUGUGCAUAAAAGAUUUAUUGCAGGGGUAAUUUAUUGGUUUCAAGGUUUGCUAUUAAUACCUAAUUAUAAGGGAGCAACAGGUACCUAAGUCAUAAUGAAUAUUUGCAUAAACAAUAAAUUUGGAUUGAAUUUAUUCCACGAUUGGAACAAGAAAUAAAUUUAUCUAAAAUUAAAAUCUCAUGUAAAUUCUCCAAAUUAUGAACUUGAAACUGACUAAGACCUGGACCUAAAUUCAGAUUUGAUAAGGUUCAACGGAUCUGGAUCCGGGUAUAAACCCGUCAAGUAUCUGGUUUUGAUCGGAGUUGCAAAUUUCCAUACAUGCGGGAAUUCCGAAUGUUAUUUUUCUGCCCAGAAGCUUUUUCACAAGUCCUGAGAACCUCCAUUACCACCUUUAUAGCUUGCCCCACUGCUUUGGUAAAGAACAAGCUAUCAUCUGCAAAAAGGUGGGAAAUUGAAGAUCCUUCACUUCCGAUUCUGAUUCCAUUCCAUAAUCCUUGCCUUUCCAUCUUUCAGAUAAGUAAUGAUUAUCUUUCUGCGCAUAAGAUGAACAGUUAAGGCAACAGGGGUCACCUUGUCUUAGACCCCUUGUAGACUUGAAGUGAUUUGUAUGGCUCCCAUGAAUCAUGAUUGAGAAAGAAACUGACUUCAAACAUUCCAUGAUUAUAUUACUCCAUCUCCGGGGAAUAACUAUAGCUUGCAGCAUAUAUUCGAGAAAAUUCCAUUCCACUCGAUCAUAUGCUUUGGUCUUAUCCACCUUCAAGGCUAUAUACUUGUCUCGGUCCUCUCUUCUGUGCGCCAGCUAGUGAAACAACUCAAAAGCCACCAUCACGUUAUCAGUAAUAAGAUUACAAAUGCACUCUGGAAGCUCGCUUUAGUACUAUGUUCUGGGAGAUGUAACCUUCAAAUGUGAACAUAAUAUGGGGCUGUUCUUGUAUGAUUAUUUUACCUGAUUAUAAAGUCUAAAUUUUAGAAAAUCAAUUUUCUUUCUCUCAUAGUUCCAGGCAAAAUCUAAAUUAUCGAAUUAGAGGAGUUGGAAUCGUGUUUUACGGUGUAGCAGAAAAGGAUAAUAAAAUGUGAUCUGAUUAUCACGCUUGUGAGCAUUGUAUGAGGAAAGCGUGUGAAGGUAAAAGCGGAAUAAUUGUGCCUGAUUGCAUGUGAGACUCCCGAAAUUUGUCAGUCUUCAGCAAUUAAGCCAGAAAUAGAGCAACAAAUACACAACCAGCCCUUUGAACCUAGAGCUGUUAAAAGAACCGAGCUGUUCAUUAGCUCGACUCGUUCGGACUCAUUUAUGUUCGAUAAUGGCUAAUUCGAAAUUUUAUACGAGUCAAGUUCGAAUGAAUAUUUUGACUUGAUAAGUAAUUGAGAGAACAUGAACUCGUUUGCAAAUUUAAACGAUCGGUCGCAAAUAUGGACCUAAUUGUCAUUUUACAAAAUUUAUGGACCUAAUUCCUAUUCUAGGCUUAAUUGUUCACAAAUAUAGGCCUAAUUAUUAGCAAAUAGCUCGUUUAUGUUAAAUGAGUCAAACUCGAAUUUGAAUUCGAUCUAAGAUUUUGCUUAAUGAACUGAACACGGAUAUAGAUUUGGAGUUAGAAUAUUAUUGGACGAAUACAAGUUUUGUUCAAGUAGUUUAACAAACAGAUUUCAAACAGGAGGUACUCAGUUUGACUCGACUUAUUUGUAGUUCUAUGUAACCCCCCCCCCCUUCUUAUGUUCUCCUUUUUUUCUCAUUUAUUUCUUGGUGAAUUAGUAUAAUAUAGGCGACAUGGUGUUGUAAAAGGUGUUGUAAAGGGGUCGGAUCCUAGCUGAACUAAGAGAUGUGGACCCGAAUUUGACAAACAUUAUUGAAUGGAACUUGUGAAACUUUAGGGUGUGAGAAUUAUUUUUUAAGUUGGAUUUCUAGUGAUUGUUUUUGUUUUGUUAAAAAUAGGUUAAACGAAGACCGGUAAAGUCUACUACAAUAUGAUCCACUACAAUUGGGGCCUAAGUUUAUCUCAAUUAUUUAUUUGGUGUGAGAUGCAAUGUGUAGGGCCUGCUAUUCAAAUUAGGGUUAUCUUAAAGGAAGGUCCCACCAUAGUUGUGAAAGGUUAGGUCUCUCUCUCCUAUCUAACCCUAACAUCCUAUUGCUAGGGUGGUUUGUCCCACUGAUAGCCACUAUACAGAACUUGGAGAGGGAGAAUGAGCCACCUAUGUCAAGUACGCGAACCACAACGUGUUGAUCAGGGUUGUCACGCAUCUCUCAAUCUCUCAAACUAUUUUCGGAGAACAGUACGCAUUUAUUUCACACUUGUAUUCAAAUAUCUGAUAUUGGAAUGCUGGAAAUUCCUACAUAUGGGUGCAAGUGGAUGAUAUUGUCAUACAUGAUUGGCAGAUCAAAGAAUGUAAUUUUUGCUUCUCUGAAGGAUAGGAUAUGGCGUAAAUUGAAAGGGUGGAAGGAAAAGACUCUUCAAACCGGAAGAGAGGUUCUUAUCGAGUCUGUUGCCAAAGCAAUCCUCACACAUAAUGUCUUGUUUCCAGCUUAUGAAAGGGUUAUGUGAAGAGACCAAAGCACUGAUAAGGAGAUUCUGCAGGGUUCAGAAAGGGGAUGAAUAAAAGUGUGCUGGUUAAAGUGGGAAAUACCGUGUAAUCCAAAAUCUGAGGGUGGUAUGGGCUUUAGAGAUAUGAUGUCUUUGAACUUAGCACUCCUAGGUCCUAGCGAAACAAGGGAGGAGAAUGAUGAAGAACCUGACUUCACUUGCAUCAAGGGUCUUGAAGAGUAAAUAUUUUGCAAAAAUAGAGUUUCUAUUAGCUAAGCCUAGGCCUAAUCCAUCGUUCUUAGGGAGAAACAUAUUACAGGGAAGAAAGCUGCUUAAAAGGGGGUUUAAUUGGACAAUAGGUGACGGUGAACCUGUAAAUAUUUGGGAUGAUCCCUGGAUACUGGUGCAAUCAACGUUUAAAGUGGCUCAACAUGCAAUCUCGUUAUGGCCGGAGGCAAGAGUUUGUGACCUCAUUGAUUAUGAUUCAGGAGGCUGGAAAAUUCAUUUUCUCAAUGCAGUAUUUCUUAAUCAUGAGAUGGAACAAAUAUUGAGAAUCCCUGUAUCACCAUAGUGACCAAAAGAUGAGUUGGUACCGUAUCACACAAAGAAUGGGGUAUUUGAUGUAAAAUCAGCAUACCACCCAGUGAGGACAGUAAGAAAUUUGCUGAAAGGUAGAGAAGGGUCUUCAUCAGUUAGCAAAGAGAAGAGUUUCUUGAAUGGAAUGAAUUAUGGCAUCUUAAUACACCACCGAAGGUUAAAGUUCUCAUAUGGAGAGCAUGCUCUGGAAUCUUGCCGACUGGACAUAACUUAUUUGCUAGAUUAAAGGGCGAAGUUAGAGGGUGCAGCAGAUGUUGUGAAGCUGAGAAUUAUAAGCACGUAUUUUUUUACUCUGAUUUUGCCCAAGAGGUGUGGACUGUGGAGAGCACUAGAAACUCAUCAGUUUCUCAGAAAUUCAUUUGCUUCUUGUUUCAAAGAAUGGUUUGCAUGGCUGUUAGAAUCAAGGGGGAAACAAGCAGCAGAGAUUGCUGCGGUAACUUCUUGGUUCAUUUGGAGAUGGCGUAAUGAGAAAAUUUUUGAAGGAAAAGAGAGUGAAGCGUCUCAAGUUGCAGAGUAUGCAUUGGCUUUUGUUAAGGACUACUGGAUUAAUGUUCACAAGAACAGAUGAUCAUGUCAAAUGGACAGCACCUGAUGAGAACCUUUUAAAAAUAAAUGUUGAUAGAGCUUUUGCUGAAAAUGGAGCCGGAAUUGGCCUAGUGGUGCGGAAACAUCCGGGACAAAUAGCAGCAGUCAUGGCUGAGAGGCUUUUUGGUGCUCUUAGUGCUGAACAUGUGCAAUGCUUAGCUUUCUUCAAAGCUUUACAAUUCGCCCGCGACUUUGGCAUCUCCCAUUUCAUCCUGGAAGGUGAUGCGCUGAGCAUUGUGCAGAGAACUAAUAGUUAAACUUCAGGCUUGUCUAUGAUUGGUAACCUGGUCCAUGCAUUUGGCGGAGUUGUUCAGGUGAGAAGGCAAAACAAUGUUUCUGCCCAUGUCAUGUCUAAAUUUGGUUAGUAAACUUCCCAAGGAUGUCAUCUGCUCUACUGAAGCUAAUUUAAUACUAUAAUAUACCUCAUAUUUUUGGGGAAAAAAAAGUACUAAAGCUAGCUUCUAACCUAGUACAUUGAUGGCUAGAAAGAAAAAGUAUAAGAAUGAAGCUAGCUACUUGUAUGUGCUCAGGGGCGGAGGGAAGGGGGGGGGGGGCCUCCAAUUGUUAAAAGAAAAUUUCUAAGUAAAAAUUUUUUUAUUAUUUUGUUUUGCCCCCCCAAAAAUUGAUCAAAAAAUUCACUUUACCAUCCAAGGGCCCAAACAAAAUGUUUGAAAGUUAUUUGGACUUGAUCCAAAUAACAGAGGCUCACCCCCCCUUCCCCCGCCCCCCAAAAUUAGUUCCUAGCUCCGCCACUGGGUGACACCUUCUUACUGGCAAAAUCGAGUAUGAAAGUUGCUAAAUUCGGUUUGAAAUCCCUUAUACUCAAAAAGGGAUUUGAUUGGACCACUUUAGUAAUAAUUGUAUAAAUAACUAUAGAUGGCAGUUUUUUCAAACAAAAUUUUCAUUUUUCUUGUAUUUUCUUAGCACUCCAUCCGAGUUGGAGGCUAGAUAGUCAAUGACAUAAGCAUACUUAUGGGUGCUAAUAGUCAAUUAUGCAACAAUUGUAGACAUUUAUAAUUAACAGAAACUAUGGAUUCCACAGACACUGAAGAACUAGCCAACUUUUGACAUUUCUUAACCUUAUUAAACCAUCAUUUUCGUCACUAAGCAAAUUUUGGGCAAUUGCUAAAAUGGUGAUAGAUAUUUCCUAAGGAUUCUCCAAUCAAUAGGGGUGCUUCAAAUUUCAACAUAGGCAUUAAAAAUUUAGGUGUCACUCACGGCGCAAUCAUAAAUCAAAGCUUCAAACAAGAUUUAUUAUUGAUGACCGGUAAUAUAUUACAAGCAAAACACACUUUGAUGAUACAUUAAAAUCGCAUUACCCAACAAUUGAAGCUCAGGAAAAGAGCUACCAAAGAAAACAGAUCCUCAAUAUGUUUAUUUCAAUCAUCCAACAAGUAUGUGGACAUAUAUGAGGCAGCAUUGAUCAGUUGUAUACAUUAGGAUUUGCGAUGAGGUAGGCUUCCACAGCCUUGAACAUGGCUGAGGACGUUUCUUUUGCUGCCUUAAUUUCCUGAUUUGCUCCCUCAAUAUGUUCGUUGGUAUUGCGCUUGAGG